UCUUUUACAUCUUUAGACAUGACAACGGGGUAUUCAACCUUGCCUUUUACAUCCUUAUCUGACGGCGGUACUACCCAUUCUUGGCAGAUAGUAACUCGCGUCUGAUUUAGAAGAGUCAGAGUUGAGGCCAAAGUAUCUAGGGCAUCAGCUUGCUUAUUUCUUUCCUUGGCACAUGUUAAAGGGUUACCUCUCUCAGCCACCCUAUCAAUUUUUGUACAUAAUCAUGAUAUGGUCGUAGCUCAGGCUUUCUGACUUCAUAGCUUUCCAAAAACUGCUUGAUCACUAAUUGAGAGUCACCAAAGACUUGUAAUUGUAGUUGUUUCAUGUCAACUGCUAUCUCAAGUCCAAUUAUUAAUGCUUAAUAUUCAACAAUAUUAUUAUAGCAACGGUUUGUUAGGGUAAAAGAGUAUGGGAUGACCUCUCCUUGUGGAGUGAUGAACAACACACCGGCACCAACUCCAUCUCUAUGUGCGACACCAUCAAAGUACAUCUUCCAAGGGGAUCUGGCUUCGAUAACCAUUUCAUCUUCAUUACGAAGUUCAUCACUCAGUUCCCAAUCAUUAGGUAUCGGGUGGUCUACUAAGAAAUCAUCCAAUGUUUGUCCCUUUAUGGCCUUUUGGGGAACAUAUACAAUCUCAAACUAUUGAAAUUGAAGGUACCAUCUUGCAAGUCGGUCACUAAGGACUGAUUUUGAUAUUACAAACUUGAUGGGAUUUGUCCUAGAUACAAGACAGACAACAUGAGCUUGAAAGUAGUGUUUUAUCUUUUGAAUUGAGAAGGCCAAUGCCAAACACAACUUUUCGAUUAGAGAAUACUUUAGCUCUUUCGUCGUUAUCAUUCUGCUCAGAUAGUAAAAAGAAUUUUCUUUGCCUUCACUAUUUUCUUGAGCCAGUAGUGCUCCAACUGACCUAUCUUGUGUCGCUAUGUAGAGUAUUAAUGGUUUCCCAGAUAUGGGUGCCGCAAGACCUGGUGGCUUCAUUAAGUAUAAUUUGAUACUCUCAAAGGCAUUACCACAAGCUUGGUCCCAUUCGAAGGGAGUGUCCUUCUUCAUGAGAUGACUAAACGGUUGACAUUUUCCAGUCAGGUUUAAAAUGAACCUCCUUAAAUAUGCUAGCCUUCCUUGAAGGCUCUUUAACUCAUGACUGUUUCUAGGCUGGGGUAUCUUUAAAAUUACAUUGACCUUAGCUUGGUCAAUUUUAAUUCCUCGGUGUUGCACAACGAAGCCAAGAAACUUUCUAGAAGUAACUCCAAAGGCACACUUCAAUGGAUUCAUUCGAAGUUGGUAUCUUCGAAGUAACUCGAAUACCAUUCUUAGGUCUUUUAAGUGGUCGUCUCUCUUUCUUGACUUCACCACUAGAUCAUCCACGUAGCAUUCAAUAUUUUUAUGGAGCAAACCAUCAAAGAUUUUUUGCAUAUCCCUUUGAUAAGUGGCGCUAGCUUUCUUCAAACCAAAAAGCAUCACCUUGUAUCAAUAAAUACCUUUGGGCAUACAAAAUGCAGUGAGUUCUUCAUUCUUUGGUACCAUACGGAUUUAAUUGUAGCCGAAUGAACCAUCUAUGAAGGACAUUUCCUCAUAAUCAGUGGUGGCAUUAAUCAUCAAUUCUAGUAUAGGGAUUGGAAAGUUAUCCUUAGGGCAGGUAUUGUUGAGAUCUCGAAAGUCGACACAAACUUGAAUUUGGCCAUUCUUCUUUCGUACUAGAACAAUACUUGAAUCGACGUGGGAUAUUUGACUUUGUGAAUAAAUCCAGCUUCAAUGAGUUUGUUAACUUCAUUUUCAAUUAAUAGAACCAACUCUGACCUAAAGCGCCUUUGGGCUUGCUUAACAGGAUGAGCACCAUUCUUGACUACCAAUUGAUGGACUGUUACUUUUGGAUCUAAGCCAGGCAUUUCCUUAUAGCUCCAAGCAAAUACAUUCAUAUAUUCUUUGAGUAUGUCCAUAUAAGUGAUUUCCUCCUCCACUUCUAGAAACGCAUUCAAGUAAGUUGGUCUUGGGUCUUCAUCGGUUUUAAGAUUAUCUUCCUUCAAAGGAUCUAUUGUGGCUUUUACUCCUUCUUCAAGUUGCGAUGGAGCAUCUCUGGCAUCUUCCUCCUCUUGAGAAUCAUCGCCGUUGAUGGAUAUAUGAUAACACCAAAAGGCAUCUUCUAUCUCUUUAUCAACCUUCAUUAAAGAUGAGAUAUCUUUCUUAUUUUGGGUCGUAACAUGAUAUGAGAAGCCAACACUCUCUUCAUCUUCUUCGUGUUGCUUGGUAUAAACCACUGUAUGAGACUUUGCUUUUAGCACCUCAUUGCAUGAAACUACCAGUUCCAUUUUUUGCCUUAUUCUAGAAGGAAUCAAACUUUGAAAAUCCUUCUAGAUCUUAGGCAAAGAGUGCAUUGUUGUACUUUGAUGACUUCUCCGACGCUUGUUAUUUUUAUUCUUAUUUAGAGGACCCAACCUUUCAAACAUAGAAGUCUUGUGGUUGAUUCUCUAAGUCGAUCAAAUACAGAGAGUCUUUUAUUAGCAGCAGUGGAUUCUUCUUCCACGGUGAUGUAAUUACUGACUGCCCUUCUUAUGGUGAUGCGAAUUGGAGGUGGCUGCGUGUAUCCUAGGCCUUCACAUGCCUGCCUAGUUGUACCCUCUGAUGGAAGUUUUCCCAACCUUUAUGGCUUAUUAGGAUUGUAUCCAACCUUUAUAAAUCCAACGAAAGUUUUCUCAACCUUGAUAGCUCAUUAGGAUUGUAUCCAGCCUUUACAAAUAUCUUGUAUGUAUUUGGGUCGAAGCCUUAUUUCGUAUGCUUCAUAGGGAGUGUCAUAUCUUGUUGGUGGAUUUUAAACCACAAACUCUUCAAUUAGUCUUGAGGAUGGAUUUAUUGCAUCAAUCUUCUUGAUAGGUAAAGUUAUCCCCUUUAGCAUAUUAUUUUAGGAAUUCGAUGGGUGAUCUUUCUCUUUCUUUACCUUCGGUACGUAGCAAAGAACAGGAGUUGCCUUCUUUUUGUAGGAACAAUAUUUUCUUUAUUUGAAGUGGAGAGAGGCUUCUUGGUGGCAACUUUUUUCGACAGUCACCGCGACCUUCUUAGAUGCAAGAUCAUCGCACUUGGUCUUGGUGAAAUCUUCAACCAUUUUCUUAUCCACAACAUGAUUCUUUAAGUAGAAUUUUGCAUCGGCAAAAUGUGACUCAGCUUCAGUGAAUGGCUUUUCAUCGGCAACUAUCUUUCUCUCUAUUCCGCCUUCGAGGUACUUCAAGAAUUGAUUGUAAGAGAAUGAGAUAAUUUUGUUCCCGUGCACCCAAGGCCUACCAAGCAAUAUAUUGUAUGAAGUUUUGGCAUUGAUCAUAUGCAUCAAUGUGUUUGAUUGAAAAUCAUCCAUAUGAAUCCCCAACUUGAUAGAUCCCAUAGCCUUUUGGCCCCUUGGUUGACGCCUUGGAUUAUUAUACAGCUUUCGUUCAGUUUACAAGUAGCGAUGCCAAGUUCCUUCAUCAUGUGGAUAGGCAGAAUGUUGACUCCGGAUCCUUCAUCUAUCAAGAUUCUAUUAAUCUUGUUUCCUAGAAUUUGACCCAUCAUGUAUAAGGGAAGGUUAUGUAGGGCCUCGCAAAGCAGAAGAUUGUUAUUUGUGAAUGUGAUUUUUAUAUAAUAUACAUGUGCCUCUUGGCCAAGUAUGGGUAUAUUUUCACCCUUUGUCCCCUCUUUGACUAUAUUAAAAUAAGACGCCUCAAGGUUGGCUUGAGCAGUCUUUGCAAGAAACCAACUUGGUAAGAAUUCUUUCAAAGUUACUGGACAUUGUGGUUUUUGGUGGUGAAGCUCUUUCACCCUUGUCUUCUUUGGAAGUUCAACCAACUUCUGUUUCUUUGGUUUCUUUACCAUACUCUUUCUAUUUGGCUGCUCGGUUGUCUCCUUUCAUAGACUCAUCUUUUUGCGUCUAUGCCUGGUCACCAGAGUCCAACCUUCACCAUCACCUUCGUCAACUGAAGACCUGUAAGGCUCUAAUAUUUUCUUAUUAUGCUCUUUGACACAUAUUUAGACUGAGUCGAGCGAGCCAAAAAUGAUCGAGAUUUGAUGAGAACUGGUUGUCUCAUCGUCGAAGAAGAUCUUCUUCUCACUUUUUAAUUGCAUAACUUUUUCUUUAAAGACAAAUCACUUUUCAAGAGGGUGACUCACAAGCCUGUGGUAUUUGCAAUAAUCAGGGUCGUUGUUCCUUUCGACUUCGUUAGGUCACUUCAUCUCUGGGAGUCCAAUGAUCUUAUGCUCAAGGAGUUCAUCAAAAAUCUCAGCAACAUCAGAAUCAAGGAAGGGAUAUUCCUUUUCUUGCAUCUCCUUUAAAGUUUUCUGAUUUGAACGUGCUCUAGAAGUCGUCUUCACACUUUUCUUUUUGCUCAGUGGUGACCUUCACAGGAUACACAUCAAUAUUCAUGGACUCCUUGUUGUCAUUUUUGGGGACAAACUUGCCCCAUCUUUUAGGUUCCUGCUUAUCCUUUCCCCUUUGAGAGUCAUGGAUAGGCGUUGCUCCCUUUCCAGUAGAAGGCAUGCUCAACUCUAUAUCAUGAGCAUGGGUAGGUAGCUCUUUAAAGGAUUUAGGCUUAAUGCCUUGUAAGAUAUAGAAGCUCCCAGUGCAUUCCUUGUACUCACAUCUCUAUUGCAGAAGCUUUGUUGAUCCUAUCUUUGAAGUUUUGGCUAGCAUUUCUCUAUCGAGUGAUGAAGUCAAUGACUGGUUCAUCCUUUCUUUGCCGAGUAUUUGUGAUCUUUACCAUGCUCACUGUACACCUUGUGCUAUAAAAGCAAUUUAGGAACUCGUGCUCCAAUUGCUUCCAACUAUCGAUUGAAUUAGGAUCAAGGUCCGUAUACCAAUCAAAGGCAUUUUCCUUUAGGGAACAAACAAAUUAUUUGACAAGAUAAUCACCAUAAGUUCCAGCAUUGUUACAUAUCUCAACAAAGUGUGCGACAUGUUGUUUUGUGUUCCCUUUGCCCUCAAAUUAUUUAAAUUUGGGGGUUGAUAGCCGGUAGGCAUUUUGAGGCUAUCUAUCCUCGCAAUGUAGGACUUGCAUACGUAAGGGAAUAUUUGGUGACAUUAUCAUACUUGUCUUUGAGGGUCCCCUCAAUGAAGUCCCUCAAUUGCCCAAUCGGGAUCAUUCCCUCAAAAGAGACUUGUACUUUUUUAGUCGGUGAUGUUUGUUUCAUAGGAUUUUCUAUCUCAUGAACCUCUGGAGAUUUUCCAGGUGCAUGGCUAGACUCUCCGUCUAUCAGACCCUCCAACCUAUCCAUUAUCUUAUCAAUUCAAGCAUCUUGAUUCUGAACAUAUUUGGUCAGGCCCUGAAUCGUCUUUGCCAAAUUCGCAAGUUGCUCCUCCAUAGAUGAGGCAUCAGUCACAAUCGCUUACAUAAUCACUGGAGAUAUCGGAGAGUAGCAGGGAUUACCGCACAAGUUAAUCUUUGAAGUGCUCAAUUUAUGCGGUGUAGUCAGAGAUGAUGAGUUGCUUGAACGAUCAUCACUCUUUGCGCCAGAGUGUUUAGAACCAGAAUGCUCAAGUAGAGCUAGAUUCUUUGUAGAUAUCUAAUUUUGUCCCUCCCGAAACCCAUUUUAUUCAUUUUUACCCCACGUUACCAUACAUCCUUACCCAUGUGAUUAUACCCCACAAAAAUACAAAAAAUAACAAAUCCCAAACCAACCAACCUUAUCCAAAAGAUUCUUGUGAUAAUUAAUUAACACACCUCCCUAUCAAUUUUUGACAACACAUCACCCACCUCACCACCCCUACCCCUACCCUUUAACCCCACCUUCACAUUUCUUUUCCAAGAGAAAGUUAAAAGAGUAUAAAAAUAGAGAACCCAAGAGAAUAGAGAGGUUCAAUUUUUAUUCCAGGGAAUUACGAAUAAAAAUAUACACCUCACAGCAUAUACACAUCACUCACACCCACACCAUCCAUGAAUUCUCCAUCAUCUUUCACUUUUUACUCAUAGAAACUCACACAGAAUACACUUACACCAUAGAAAUGGCUUCUUCUCCACAAUACACUGAUUCACACACUAUAACUCAUACAAACAGAGUAUGUAUACACAGUGUUGAGAGAGAUCGAUUGAGAGAGGUAGAGAGAAAAUAGAGAACUGAGGGAGGAAGAGAAAUAGAGCAUCGAGAAAAGAGAGAAACUGUUAGAGAGAUAGAGAAAAGUGAUAAAAACGGGGAGAGAAAGAGAGAGAAAAGGGUCAACGGGGCUAGAAAUUUAUUUGUAUCCUUCGAUUUCCUCCAGCGCCGAGCUCGUCGAAGCUCCGGUGAAAUGCUAGCAAUGACCCAUCUCCCUCCCAUUACCAAACCCAUCGAAAAACAGAACCUCCUCACCGGAUUCAAUGCUGUUUUAAACUCAAAAUUGAUUGGGAAUUUGGAUUCAAAAACUGGGUUUGAUUCGAGUCGGAUUUUGAAUUUCGUUGUGGUUUCAAAUCGAUCGUUCUUAUUCAGGUUGAUUCCGACAAGGUUCCAUCGAAAUUGCAUAUCGUUUUAUUGUCUGUUCUCUUUCACAAUUUGGUUUCGGUUGUUCGGGUAUAGCUUCGGCUUUGAUUUCUGAUACUAAGUUGGAUUCGAGCUUGUCAUUGAGCUUUUCUGAUUUGGGAUUCUUCGGCACGUGGAUUCAUCUUCUCGAUGGACUGGUAUUUGGAAUAAAAUCAUCAUUGAGGUUCAUUUCUACUUUUUCCCUCUUUUUAUUUCAUUGUUGAUAGAAUAUGGUGCAUUAGAUGGAAUCCCGUGUGUUGUUUGAUCUUGAUUGGUGAUGAAUUGCUACUUUGAUAUUGACUUGUUGCUUAAUUUCAUUAAAGAGUGGUUGUGGAUUGUUGAAAUAGAAAUCGUGAAUUGGGGAAAUUUAGUGUUAAAGGGAAGUUGGGGCGGAAUUGAGAAAUUGAUAAAAUAGUGAAUUUAGAUUAACUUUGGUUUAUUAUUUUUUUUCGAAAUGAGCAUGAAUAUUGCUGGAACGUGAUAGAAUUAUGAUAUAUUGAUAUGUUUAAACAGAUAGGCAAAUAUAGGUUCAGGUAGGCAAAAAAUUAGGAAUUAGUGUUUUCGUUGAAUGUUUGAAUAUGAAAUAUUUUGCUGAAUGUUUGAAUGUACGUGUGAAUAUUUAUUUCUAGUUUAUCGCAUUUGAUUCAAGUGUAUUCAUUUGGCAGGGGAAUGCCCCGAGGUUUCAUGUAUUAAUUCACCGGGGAAUGCCCCGACAUAUUAUGUCUUUGAAGGAGGUUCGUGAUCAAAGAUCGAGGCAUCGGGUAAAGUACUGGAGCCUAGUUUAGGAUUAGUUUAGAAUAGCGUAGGUUUAUAUUUUUUGCAUUUUUCAUUUUUCGGGACUGUACAAGUGGACUGGACACUAAAUUUUGGAUUGUUUUGUUUUAUUUGCUUGAUUGAUCAUUUUAUGUGUUUUAGUGUGGUUUAUACAUACGUAGUGUCAAAAUAGCCUAUAUGCUCCACCAAGCGACCAUGGUCGAACCACGGGAUCGAGGGGUGCCUAACACCUUUCCCUCGGUCAACAAAAUUUCUUAACCAGAAUCUCUGUUCCUAGAUCAGUUUUCAGAAUCAAACUAUUUUGAAAAGGACCUUUCAAAGAUGACUUGGCACACCAGAUUAUGUCAAGUGGCGACUCUGAAUAAAAAAUGUAAAUAAUCCUUUUUCAAAAUAAAUUUUCAAUCUUUUGUCACUUUAACAAUAAAAAUCCUUUCGAAACUUAAAAUGAUCUUUUUGGAGUUGAAAAGGGGGUGUGACAGUCUUCUUAAGAGAUUUCGCCACACUGUUUCCUCCUUUCGAAGAACUUGUAUUGGACUUCAUUCCUUUUGGAGUUGAAGAUCCAAAAACUGGAGUUGGUGCGGACGACACUGGAUGUGUUUGUUAUCCUAGCAAGCCUGCCUUGCUCCUUGUGACAGCUCCUAAGCUUCCGAAAGUAACACCAAGGAUGCUCUCUAUUUUAGCAGAGAACUUUGAGUCAGCAGCCUUGGAAGCAGUUGAUUGAGAGUUGACCUUCUUGGAAGUCAUUUCAGUGUUGUUGAACUUUGCAGUUGGAAAAGUUAAGAUGAGAGGUAGAGAUUAUCCCACUGGGUAUGCCAGAAUUUAUUGGACUAUAAAAUUCUCGAGUUGGAAAAAUAAAUAAUUGAGGCAAGAAAAAUACUGCAACAAUCGAUUUAUUGAUUUUAAUAUGUGAGUGUUACAAUCUCUAUGAAUCCUCUAAUUCGCCUUUUCAAAUAUAAAUUCAAGGGCUUGAAGUUUGAUCUUGAAUUUGAACUUGAUUUGUUGAUUUAAGGGACUUGAUCUUGACUUGUGCUUGAAUUCAAGGGCUUUUGAGCUUGUUCUUGAAUAUUGCGGUCUUAAUCUUGAAUCUUGAUGAACUUGAUUUGAAUGCUUGAUAUUUUUAGAGAAAUCGUAGCGUUUGAUCCACGAGCUUUCUCUUGCUACUUGUUAGAGUUUUGGGGGUUCUUUUCUGAAUUAUGAGACCCCUAUUUAUAGUUGUAGAAAAGGAAGAGUCAUGAUGAAUAUGGACUUCCUUUGAUCAAUCAAAUUUAAGUGAUGUGGCGCCUUUUUAUGGGCUUUUAUUUCAUGGGUCUGCUGCAUCAUUUUGACAUGUGGCAUGGUCCUAUUGACUCCUUCACUUGACUUGGUAUGCCAUGUCAUUUGACAUGUGGCGCUUAUUUGGGCCUCUAAAUAUGACAAUAUCUUGGACUUAGUAAAGUGGGUUCAUCAUUUGUAGUCCAAAUCAAUGGGCUAGCCCAAUAAAAAUUGGACUUUAAUUAAACCCAUAUAUGUUUGAACUUAAAUAAUUAAUUUGAUUAUAUUAAUCCAUAAUAUUUAUUUGGGACUAAUAUAUUUUGAAUUUAAUAUAAUCCAAAUUUUGUACGGAUUUAAAUUUAAUAAAAUUACAUCGCCCACAACUAUACUCAACAAAUUCAGUUCAAUUGGAUGGAUUAACUCCAGGUGAUGAAAUAUGUAGUUUUUUUAUAUUUUGUUGUUAUAGUUUUUUAAUAUGAUAUAUUUAUUAACAAUAUAACUCAUUGUAAGUAAAAGAUUCAAAUGAAUUCUUGCAUAUUGUUAUCGAUGGAGUUAAAAGAUUUGUUGUAUGCCUACGAAGUAGAAAAUGUAGUUGUGGUUGAUUCUAAUUAGAUGAGAUACCAUUCUCUUAUGCAAUGACUGUUAUUAUAUAUCGAAACCAACAUGGAGAGGGUUAUUGCUCUGCGUACUACAACAAUAAAAAUUUUAAAGAUGCUUAUGCAAUACCAGUGGAACCUCUUCUUUAUGAAAGUACAUGGAGUAUACCUUAAGAAGUGUUGGAUGAAAUUAUUUUACCACCUGAUUCUAAAAGACCACCCGGAUGACCAUAUGUUGAGAGAUGAAAAGCACCGAACAAAGAAAAGUGUAAAAGAGCUAAGAUGACAUGUAGUAGCUGUCACAGAGAGGGAUACAACAGAAAAACAUGCCAUAAACAUGUGCCAACAGUUUAAUAAGAUUUUUUUUCUUUUUUAACUUUUUCAAGUAUCAUUUCGUUAUGUAUCUUGAAGUGUUUAAUAAAUAAAGCAACUUAUCUUUUGUUUAAUAUUUUGUGCUCAUUUUUCAACUUUAUAUUCAGACUUUUUUAUGACUUGUUAUGUAAACAUAUAUACGCUGUCAAAGAAGUAGCACUAAAUACAUGUAAUAUUAAAAUUUAAUUUUUAUAUAUGAUAUAUUAUAUCAAUUAAAAAUUAUAUUUAUAUACAAUAUAUAUUGUACAAUAUAAUAAAACCUAUGUAAUCAUAAAAAAUAUUACAAAAGACCAUAAAAAUCAUAAAAUGAAAAAUGUUACUAAUUGCAGAAUCCAAAAACAUAUAUGUAGUUGAUAUUAAAAUUAAUACCAUCUGACGCAAACUUAAUUGAUAUCAAAUUCAUUCAAUGAUAUGAAAUAUGAAACAACUGUCAAAUUAACAUAACACUAAAUAAAAUACUGCUUAAAUAUCAAAACUAAACUUCUUUCAUAACAAGAAUCAUAGAAAGACAACAGUCAUGAGCACCAAAAAAUAUUAAAAUACAUUAUUCAUGCCUAUGUAUGCCUUGUUUUAUUAGGGACAAUGGAACUAACAAUGUCUCUCAAAAUUUUUGGACCGCCGUCAGUCACCUAAUUUCACUUAUGCACCAUCAUCUUGCUUUUUUCGAGCUUAAUCCCAAAGUAACGCACCAUAUCUCAUACGAUGGUUGAAAGAAUUGAACUUGUUGAUUGAAAUAUGAAACACACCAUGAUUGACAAACUCAGCAAAGGCGCAAAUGCCUAUUAUAGUACUGCCCCAGUAAGAAGUUAGUGAGGUGCCGCUACAGCUUGGAUUAUAGUAGAAUAAGAGGAGCCGUCUUAGGAAAUGACUUAACUUAAAAGACAGAUGCCGCCGCUGCGAGGCGAGGGAGCAACUUGUCUGGUCUUGCGGUGCACUCAUUCCCGUUACGAGAAUGAAAUGACGCCCCAGCUUGACUCGAGACCAAGACUCCUUACAACUCGCACCAAUAGCGGCACUGAGCGGCCAGAUAUUGAUUGAAAAGGCAUGCAUACAUACUGCAAUCACUGUAAAAACAGUAACCAAAAAAAUUAGGCAUAAUACAUAAAUAUGACCCUAAACUUGACACCAAAUUAUAACUUUAACCUUAAACUUUGAUAGUGCAUAAAUAACACCUUUAACUAUUCAAAACCUGAACAAAUAUGACCUCCGAUUUUGCAACCUCCAUGCGUGAGUUUUACUUACGCCUACGUGGAUAUGUAAUCCAAUCAUAUGGUGCCACAUCAUUAAAAGGCCUGACUGGGAGGACUUUUGAUCUAGAGCUUAAAGCGACAUCGUUUUGCUUCUAUAAGUUAAAACAACGUCGUUUUGCUUAUUAUUAUUAUUAUUAUUAUUAUUAUUAUUAUUAUUAUUAUUAUUAUUAUUAUUAUUAUUAUUAUUAUUAUUAUUAUUAUACUUUUUUUUUUUGUUUAAAUCACCCGGUGUUCGAUACCCACUUUUUAGGAGUCCGAUUAUAUUCGGAUUCGCCCUGCGUCGAGCCCUAUUUAGGGGGAGAGCUCCCAACAGAUUAUUUGUCCAUACCCAGGGUCGAACCCUCAAUCUCUGGGUAAGUUGGGGCAGCCCCUUUCCGCUGUUGGUUAUUAUUCUACUACUACUAUUUCUACAUAUUACGUACUACUAUUGCUUCUAUCAAUAUACCACUACUACUACGACGACUAAUUAUUAUUAUUAUUAAUAACAAUAUUUAAAUAAAAAAAUUCAUCUUAACAACGUUUUAAUAACGUUAAUUUGAUAUACUACUACUACUGCCCUUAAUAACGUUUUCUUAAUAAAGGUUUAAUAAAGUUAAUAUAAUAACGUUAAUUUAAUAUACUACUACUACUGCCCUUAACAACCUUUUAGUAACGUUAAUUUAAUAAUGUUUUAAUAACAUUAAUUUAAUAAUAUUUUAAUAAUAUUAAUUUAAUAACGUUAAUUUAAUAACGUUAAUUUAAUAAAGUUUUAUUAAAACUAUAAUUUUUUUAUUUAUUUUUAGUAUAGUUUCAUCUUUGAGCUGAAAAUAAUGAAAAAAUAAUAGUGAAAAGUCAUUUAAAUAUAUAAAAAGGAAUUAGUAAGGGCAUAAUAGUCAUUUAUCCUUUUUUUAUUGUUGGAACGCUCAAAUUUUUAGCCCAACGCGCCCAGUUUUGCUUGUACAACACGCGUUUUGCCACAUAGGAUCGGAGGUCAUAUUUGUGCAAUUUUGAAUAGUUAAAGGUCAUAUUUGUGCACUAUCAAAGUUUAAGGUCAAAGUUAUAAUUUGAUGAGGGUCAUAUUUAUGUAUUAUGCCAAAAAAUUACGCACAGUUAUAUAUACAAAAGAUAAUAUAUAUAUUUUUUUAAAUAGACGUAAUUAGAUUGUGGAGCAUUUUGGAAAGCGUCCGUCACAAUAACAUCAAAAUAACACCAAUCAGAUAAUUUUUAUAUUAAUAUACUUUUUCACUUUUUAAAGAAUGUGUUACUAUAUCAAAAAUCAUAUAAUUUUUAUAAAUAAUUUAUACAAUCUGUAAAAAAAAAAUCAAAAAUCAAAUAAUUUUUAGAGACAAAAAAAAUAACUACACCAAAUAACAAAAACUUCGCAUGCAUUGAUAUUUCAAAGAAUCUACAAACACAAUAUGAAAAAUUAUACAAUUGUUUUUAAAAAAAUGUCCAACAAUGAUAAAAAUCAAACAAUUUUUAUAAAAAGAAAACAUCAUACAAACUGUUAAAAAAAAACUCAAACAAUUUUUACAUACACAACAAAUACCUUGCAAAUUUUUCAAGAUUUCUUAGAAUUCAAGACUUUACUUAGAAUUCACAUGAAAUUUGAAAAGAAAGAAACACUUUUAGAAAUAUUGUAUCAACAAAACUCAUAUUAGAUAAGAAUGAAUGAGAUGAGUAAAGAAAUAUAUUAACAAAGGUAAACCCCAGUUUUUUCUUCAAGAAAUAAUUUUCAACCCCAUUUUUUUCUUCAAGAAAUAAUUUGAGUGUGUAAAUGGAGAACAAACGUACUUUGGGAAUGAAAGUAGAAGAAACGUGUUUAAGUAAAAAAAGAGUAUUCUUUAAUAAAAGUAAUUUCUGAAAGGUGUAAAACCUCUUGAAUAGAUUAAUAUAGGGAUGAUGAAUGAAGAUAUUUAUUUAUACCACAAUAUACUCUUACCAUAAUUAUCAACACACUUUAAGGGGAAAGUGAAUGCUAUCCUAUAAAAAGGGAAUUGAUUUGAUUGUAUAAAAUAUAAAACUAAAUUUUGUAAAUAAAAUAAAAUAAAUAUAUAUUUUAAAAAGUUGUUAUAACUUACAAUUAAAAAUUUAUUAAUGCAAUUAUCUAACGGUGUUACUAUAACUUGUAAUUUCCAAUCUAAUAAUUGUAUAAAGGAUAAUUUUCACUGAAACAAAUAAGUGGAACCAAAAAUAUAACAUAAGUUCAAAACUCAAAAUAAAAUAGCUAACAUAAUACUCUAAUGUCAAAUUCAACUCAAUGUAUAUAACUAUAAAUCAAAAGAAAAGAAAAACAUAAGUCGUCGACCUUAUUCAACAAUAAAUUCUACUUUAAUUUAAAAAUUUAAAUACUAACACAAUUAUGUUAAAUGAAAAAUAAACAUAAAAAUAAAAUAAAAUAGAUAAUGCAAACAACUGCAUGAAAUCACAAAAAGUAAAAGUUAGAGAAAUACACUAUAAGGAAAUGAAAUACAGAUAAUAUAAAUUAAAAUUUUAUUUUUAUAGAAAUAUUGAAAUAAUAAUAAAAAAUUAAUAGAAAUCAAAAUAAAUUAAAAUGAAAAUAAACUAAAAUAAAAAGAAGUAAGAAACUAAAAAGUAACUUAUAAUUACACUAUGUAACUGUCUGUAAUUCACAGCUUGAGAAUUGAAUAGUGUACUUAUUCCUACCAAUAAUAUUUAAUUAUCUGUUAAUUAAAUAAUUAUUUGAUCAGUUAAAUAAAUUAAAUAAUGUAAUUACACCUCUUAGGUCAAAUCUAAUUCUCAAGGUGGUUUUUUAAACAGAAAGUAAAAGAAAUUUAAUUUUGAAUCAAAGGGUCAAAUUUUUAUUUGAUUAAAGUCAAAGGGUGCCUCGGCUGCGCUUUGUCACUUGCUAUUAACGGCCUUUGGCAUAACGAAGGAACCAACUACCAAUAUUAACAUGCAAUUUUCUAAAAGCAGAAUACAAAAAUUUUACCCUACUUGAUAUCAAAUUAUAACUUUGACCUUGAACUUUGAUCGUGCAUAAUAGGAUCUUUAACUAUUCAAAACUUGAACAAAUAUGACCUCCGAUUUUGCAAUCCUAUGCGUAAUUUCACUCGCGCCUACGUGGAAAGGUAAUCCAAUCACACGGUGCCACAUCGUUAAAAGGGCUGACUUGGAGGGAGAUCAUAUUUGUACAGUUUUAAAUAGUUAAAGGUUAUAUUUGUGCACUGUCAAAAUUUUAUUUUUUGUGUUAAAACGAUGUCGUUAUUAUUAUUAUUAUUAUUAUUAUUAUUAUUAUUAUUAUUAUUANNNNNNNNNNNNNNNNNNNNNNNNNNNNNNNNNNNNNNNNNNNNNNNNNNNNNNNNNNNNNNNNNNNNNNNNNNNNNNNNNNNNNNNNNNCACUAUAGCAGCAACACCUAACUUUUUUUUUAUUAAAAAAAAAAAAACCACUAGCAGGGAUCAAACCCACGCAGUAGACUAAAAGAAGCGCCCAAGAAGAGCAAUUAACACCACUGGGUUAUCUAAGUACCUUGUUUCAUGUGGUUCAACAUUAAUAUACGUACAUAAAUAUAGAUUUUCUACCUUAUAUAUACAACGUAAUUUUUUUACCGAAGGGGUUCAAGUGAACCCCAUGGCAAUCACGUAGGUCCUCCCUUGCGUUAAUUUAAUAACAUUUUAAUAACGUUAAUUUAAUAUACUACUACUACUAUCCUUAAUAACGUUUUAUUAAAACUAUAAUUUUUUAUUAUUAGUAUAGUUUCAUAUUUAAUUUAAUAUUUAAAUAAAUUAUAUUUAGAUAUAUUAUAUAACUUAAAUUCGCCCUCUGCUUUAUAAUAUAUAUACAUAUCCGCGCGAUUUUUCGUAUGAGGUUGAUCCACCUAAUUAAUAAAUCUUCAAUAUUUCUCUUUUCCCGCAAUGACAAAAAUAAAUUAGAUGCCAUUUUCAUCUUUGAGCCAAAAAUAAUGAAAAAAUAAUACUGAAAAGUCAUGUAAAGGUCAUAUUUGUGCAGUUUUGAAUAGUUAAAGGUCAUAUUAGUGCACUGUUAAAGUUUAAGAUCAAAGUUAUAAUUUGUUGUCAAGUUUAGGGUCAUAUUUAUGUAUUAUGCCCUUAGAUUUUAAGCUGGACACGCCCAAUUUUGCGUGUUGAACACGCGUUUUGCCACAUAAAAUCAGAGGUCAUAUUUGUACAGUUUUGAAUAGUUAAAGGUCAUAUUUGUGCACUGUCAAAGUUUAAGGUCAAAGUUAUAAUUUAGUGUCAAGUUUAGGGUCAUAUUUAUGUAUUAUCUCUUUUCUAAAUAAUACAUCUUGUUGUUAGAUCCCAAAUUUAUCUUUUGAUCCAUUAUAUUCUAACUAAUAAUAGGAGGGAUAAGCAGACAACAGAUCGACAUGUCUGUUAUCAUUGUCUUCUUUAGUUGAUUUAAUUGUAAUUUUAUUAUAUCACUUCUAAUUUAUUAUUAUAAGUUACGAAUAAAAAACUUAAUGUAAUAUUUAAUAUAAAAAAUUAAAAUGGACAUUUCUGUUAUGUCUGCUUCAACUGCUUCAAUCGUGAUUUUAUUAUAUCAUUUUAAAUUUAUUAUUAUAACCAUCUAAGUAUUAAAAAAUUAAUUAUAGGGAAUAAGCACACAACAGGUUGACAUGUCUGCUUGUGUUGUAUGAUUCAGUUGCUUCAGCCAUGAUUUUACUAUAUCACCUUUGAUUAAUUAUUAUAAGUCAUUUACGUAUUCGAGAAUUAAUAAAUAUUUAAUAAAAAAGUAAAAUAGACAUUUCUGACAAGUCUACUUCAGCUCCUUCAGCCGUAAUCUUACUAUAUCACUACUAAUUAAUUAUUAUAAGUUAUUUAAAUAUUAAAAAAUUACUAAUAUUUAAUUAAAAAAUAAAUUGGACAUAAAAUGAUAAAUUAACUCUUGAUGUUUUAAAUUAACUUGAUGUCUUAUAUGAAACCCACUUAAAUUUUUCUCACAUAUAUUUUUUAUAGUAAUUUUUUUUUGGUUUCCCAAGGUAUCCCCACAGCCGUGAGACUAAUCCUCCGUUCCUCGGUCAGCACAUUUUGCGGUAGGGAACUGGCCACAAAGUUUUCUCCAUUCGCCAAAGGUGGGGAUCGAAUCCCCGACCUCUUUGCUUAAGGGACAUAGCGCUAAACCACUGUUCCAACUCUGGUGGUUAUAGUAAUAUUGUUAUAUCACUUCUAAUUAAUUAUUAUAAGUCAUUUAAGACAUGUCUUCUCCGCUGCUUCAAUUGUGAUGUUACUAUAUCACCCUUAAUUAAUUAUUACGAUCAUCUAAGUAUUAAAAUAUUUAAUAAUAUUUUAUAAAACAAUAGACACAAAAUGAUAUGUCAACAUACAAAUUUAAUUUGACUAUUAAAAGUAUAUUAAUGUCACAUAAAUUGAGAUGAUACAAAGGAAGAUAUAAAAUAACAUAUAUUACUUAAAAAUGAGAUAAAAAAUAUUGUAAGUCACAAUAAUUAAGUACUUAAUAAAUAUAUAUAUAUAUAUAUAUAUAUAUAUAUAAUUGAUUGUCUGUCGAAAAUUUAUUUGUGUCACAUAAAUUAGAACGAAGAAAGUAUUCGUAUCUUAUUGAAAAAUUAUGUAAAAAAGCAAAAUAAAUCACACAAUAAACAACUUACAAAAAUUUAAAGAUAUAAAAUAUUUGGCUAAAUCUCAAAAUUAUAUCAGUGUCACUUAAAUUGAAAUAGAAGAAAAAAAUAUUAUAAAUCACAAUAAUAAUAAAUUUAAAUUAUUUUAAUGAUUGAUUAUCUAAAUUCUACGGCGUGUAGUGAUUCAUUUCAUUGCUAUGAAUAAUUAUUCAUGGAUUUUCGUAUACUCAUUUUCUAUACUGCUUUGAACUAUUUAUUUUUUAGUUGAGAGUCUAUAAGAAAUGGUUUCUCUACCUUCAAGGCACAAAUAAAAUCUACAUACAUUCUAUCCUCUCCAGACUUCACUGGAAAGUUAUGUUAUUAUUGUUGAAUUCUUAUAUAAUCUAUUUUUAUGAAACUAAAUUCUUUAUCUAUUUGCUCAGUUUCAAUGAGGAAAGAAUGACCUCAUUUGGCCUCUUUAUAUAUAUAAGAGACUUAGAGGCAUGCUGAUAUGGCAUGCCUCAAUGAUCAACAAACAUAUUUAUCUUUUUCCUAGUUUUUUGAGUUAUUUUUUUCAAUUCAAUUCAUUACCGUCUAUUUUUCUAAUUAAUAAAUCCAUUAAUUAUCUUUUAUCAUUAGUACUAUUAACCCACAAAAACCCUCCAUCUUUCGCAUUUUUUCCUACUCACGGCUUUUCUUAAUUACACCGUUUUGGAGGAAUUAAUUGAUCUACAGAAAAACAUAAAAAUGAUUUAAAAGAUAAAAUAUUACUCAUCGGAGUUUGCUAUUAUGCGUCAUUCGUGCUUUAUCUUAGUCGAAAAUGGGCGGUACAGGCGAAAACGGAAACAGAAGAGAAAGAGGGAUACAACCAUCGGGUGUGGCGAAGGCGCUGUACUCGACGUCAAGCAUUUCGGUAUGGUGGGAUAUAUAAUACUAUCAAGUAUCUAGAAAAUUUGAUCCUCAUGCGAUAGCGCAGAAUAUAAGUAUGCACUUGUGAAAUGAAUUACUGUGGACCUAUUUCAAUUUUUACUUGCGGUGAUACGAAUAAGAUCUCUGUAUCUAUUCAACAUGCACUUAAUAGUACUAGAAUUGGACUUGAUCAUGCUCUUGCAGGUAUAAUUUACAGUUUUUUUUUUCCUGUUUUUAUGGUUGUUAAUUUGUACAAUUUUGGUGAAAUGACUGAAUUUUGAUUGAUUUGAUGUGUCGUUGAGUCGAUCUAUGCAUAAAAGCUGAUUUUUCUGUUAUUGAAUAGGAUGGUUAGAUCUAUUUUAGAUCGAAGGUUGUAAUUAUUUUGGUGUUCGAUUUCUUUCUCCUUGCUGGCUGUUAUUUUUCAAACUCAAAUUCUCACUGCGUUUGUUUUGUGACAAAUGUUGGAUUUUGAUUUUUCAAAAGUUAUGGAUAUAACUAAUGACGGAGAAUCCUUUGCAACACGAGUUGUUGGAACCUAUGGUUAUGUAGCUUCGAAGUAAGCAACAUAACCAAUAAUAAGCAAUAUCACGAACUGAAAUUUCUCUCUGAUUUUCUUUGUUUCUCUUUCUGCGUAUGUAUUUGGUGUUAUUUUCUUGUGUAAUCAGAGAUCUUUUCGGUUAAAAUGCUAAUAAAUACUUGCUAGACGUAUGUGACGAACUUGAUGUAUAUGUCUGCCACUUCAUACCACAACACGAUUACCCGAUAAGGUCAUUUCCUUCCUUGCCAAUGCAUAUUGUUGUCAUUCCUAUAUUGUAUUUUUUGAGAUGAAUAGCAUGUCUAUUGAGGUAUUAAUAUCUAUGUGAUUGUUCUCCAGUUAGUUGCUCAUUUUGUUAAAGUAGACCUCAUAAAUCCCACUUUUAUUAUCAACCAUCCUUAGAUCAUCCACUGACAAAACCACACAGAUCAGAACCUAAUUUGACUGAAUGUUUCGAGUUUUGUCUUCAGUCAAUCCGUCACUUAAAGAAAAAAAAAACUACGAACUACAAAUUUUUAUUUCGAGGUUCUUUUCUGUCAGGUUCACGGUUGUAACAAGGACCUGAGCUCCUGAAAAGACUAUCACAGAAGACACAAAGUAUGUAAUGAACACUCAAAAACUGCUAUAGUCAUCGUUAAUGUAAUUGAGCAAAGGUUUUUUCAGCAGUGUAAUAGGUAUGGUCUAACUCAUCGUUGCUCCUCUUGUCAUGUAAUAAAAUUCAUAGAUUGCAUUCCUUAUUUCCGACUAGCAAAUAGAAGUAGAACUGAAUUUUUGUGUAUGUUAAAUGAACAUAGAAAAUUGUUGAUUUAACUUUUAAAAAAUCAAGUGUUAAGCUUACUCCAUGUAUUUCACAGUCUUAUUCUGCAAAAAAAAUGACUCCUAGAGACGUUUGGGGGAUUAUUUAACAGCUUGGAGUAUGCUUGAUUUGAUACAUCUGUUUUAGACUUAAGUAUUUUCUUAAGUUUAAAGUAGAAAAUCAUUUCUCGGUUUAGAGAUUAGGAUUUGAACUUUAUGGGUUCAGGGUUUCAAAUUCUACCACACAUAUUCGAAAUAAUGGGAUUGGAAUCCAUUAUUUGUACUUUAGUAGAUCUUUAACACAUAUACAGGGUCCAAAGCUAUUGGAUUAUAAUGAAUCCAAAACUUGUACACUAAGUCUAACACUGUCUCUGUUUAAAUCAAGCACCCAACACUCUCCAGUGCAUGACAUUUUAUUACAACAUGUUAUUAUAAAUGCAGCUUCUAUCAUGAAAAGUAUUUGUUUGACUUCUUAUGCUUAUGUAGAUGUUGAAAUCCCUUUGACUUCUUCGUGUGUUUUAUUCUUUAUAUUUUGCAAUCCUUAGUGAAAGUAUUGUCUACGCUACUACUUAAGAGGUGUUUUAAUUUAAACACACAGAAUGAGAGUCUGGAGACAGGUACUUAGAAAGUUGGACUGCAAUAAGGUUUCAAACCUUACAUAAUCAACCCUAGCUUCAAAUAAGUCAAGAGUGAGGCUUGAAGCCUUGAAAUUUACUUACUUGCGAGUUAUUUAUUCACAUCAAUCGUGUCCAUUCAUUGUUGGUAGUUUUAAACUUCUUCCAAAUCUGUUAAGUACAGGAAAAUGCAACCAACACAAGAACAGUUCAAUGAAAUAUCCCUUUUCUCUACUAAAUGCAGGAAAAGAGAUGCAACGAGUGAGGACCGUAAAUGUUUUGGGAAAAUCUUCCCCUUUGCAUACUUAAGCCUGACUCCAGUUCCAUUGGUCUCGACGAAGAAAUGAUGAGCAUGACGCUAAUGGCAAUAGUUCAUGUUGCACUGAUGCAAUGCCUAUUUUCAGCCUUCUACUCCACGGGGUACAAGAUCUUUACUGGAGACUGUUGGGCUUUGGCUUCCUUAGACAUUGAUAGUCUCUUUUUAUUGUUAUAGUGAGGUUUUUUCUUUGAUUAGCUUAGCCCUCUAAAGAUCAAGAAGUUAUCAAACAUUGUACUUUGGUAUUUCUUUUGGGUAUAAGCCAUUCAUACUAGCUGUACAUUUUUCCUCCAUCUAUAUAUUUGAACUUUCCUUUCACUUUUUUUUUAAAAAAAUAUCAUUGAGGCAUGCCACAUCAACAUUCCUCUAAGUCUCUUUUAUAUAUAUACUAGUUUCACGAGGCCCGUGUUAAGCCCGGGCCCAAACUCAAAAUAUAAAAGUAAUAAUUAAAAUCUUAAAAUAUAAUUUAUAUCAUACUAUUUUUUUACUUUAUAAUUAACAUAAUCUAGUGACAAACAUGUUAAACAUGUUUUCUUUGGGUCAAUUUAUUAUCACUAAAUUUAUUAAUCAAAUAAUUGGAUAUUUUUAAAUAAAAUUUUAUUUGUGUGGAAGGAAGUAUUACUGAAGAGUUAGAAUAAAUCAAAAUACCACAAGCAAUUCAAUAUUUUGUAAAAUAACAUGAUUUAAAAUAUGUUAAUAAUUACAAUUCAAUGAAGAUUAUAAAUAUAAAAUAUUGUUAUUUUUAUGAAUUUGUGGAUAUGUAAUUUCUUAAUUAUAGAUAGAAAUAAAUUUAUUUUAGUAUUUAUUGAUUUUUAGUUCAUUCAUAAUUUAAUGUGGCAAAAUUUUUUGAAAAACUCAAUUUUUGUUGUCUUAUACAACAAAAUAUUUCAAUGGCCUCAAGUAUAUAUAAGAAUAGUUACGACCUUAAUUUAGAGCCUUUACUCAAAUUAACUUAAUGAUGACCUAUAAGGAUAUUAAAUAAUAAUUAAAUUAAUAAAUUAUUUCAUUUGGUCCAUUUACUUAUCGUGUUUAUCUUUUACACUCACUAUAAAAGAAUAUUUUAUUCAUCCUCUUUUAACUAUUGAUUAUCCUUUUUCAUGCCCACUGAUUAGAAAAAUAAUAAAAAUAAUGUGUUAUUUAUUAUUUAUUAUGUUACCUUAAUUAUUACAUGAUUUUUAAGAAUUGAACAAUACUAAAAGAAGUAUAAAGGUUCUAAUUGAAAAUUAUUACAAACUUUAUUUUUGUAUUAAAGUUAUUUUGAAAAUAAUUUUUUUUUUUAGUUAAAGUGAUUGUUAAUUUAAAAUAGAGUUUUAAUUAGAAGGUCAUCUAUUAGGUAGCAAGAAGAGACCAAUUACAAGCACACAAGUGGAAAUGAUUCUAACAAAAAUAAUAAGGGCAAAAAUGAAAAUAUUUAACCAAAAACAUCAUCAAUUGCCAUGUGUGAUAACUUAAUUUACUUAACUAAAGAAGUGAAAUACCUAAAAUGCCCUUGUGAGGACUACCAAAAUUUGAGAUUCUCCCUUAUAUAUAGUAGUAAUAGUAAUAUAGAUUACAACAUGCACAAAAAUAAGGUGAAUUUAAUUCUUAAUAACUUGCUUAACAAAUGCUUUUAAACACUGUAAUUGUAAAACUCUAAAAGAAUUUACUUAACUUCUCAAAUGGUAAAUAUAUUAUGAUAGUUUUUUAAUAGGUUCACUAAUAUUUUUAAAUAACCGCACGAAGCACGGAUAAUUUUACUAGUUCUAAAUUAAAGUUGUAUCAAAUUGUAUCAAAAUAUUCUUUAUUCUUGUGGUCUUAAAUAAGUCAUGUAGAAGGUUGGAAUCAAAAUAAAACAACAACAUACCCAAUAUAUUCCAACAAAGUGUGGUCUGGAGAGGAUAAAGUGUAUGUAGUCCAUACCACUACCUCAAAUAAAGUAAAGAGUAUGUUUUCGAUAAACCCCCAACUCAGAAAAGUUGGAACCAAAAUAUUAUCUAAAAAGAAAAGAUCAUUCUUUUUUAAAUAAUAGAAAGUAGAUCGUUCAAAAAAGGAAAAAUAGCUCGGUGGAUCCUUGCACUUGUUCCUGUUUGUAAAGUGGACACUUUACUUAGCCCUUUAUCAUCUGAACCCCUCAACCCAUCAGAAUCCAACAUUUUGACCCCUUCUGACCAUGUGUUUGACUCGCUCUCCUUUAAAAAUUUCACAUCAUCUCCAUGUCAUCGCCAUGUCAUCUCCGCGUCAUCUCCACAUCAUAUAAAUCAAUGGCAUGUCAUAAUAUCUUCAUUAAUUAAUUAUUAAUUAAUAAUAUUAAAUAAAAAAUAAAAUAAAAAAAUAUUUUUUAAAAUAAAAUUCAUCUCCACCAUUAUUUAAAAUAACAAUUUAUAUCAUAUUGAUAUAGCUUAAUCAAUUUAGAAUAUAAAUCAAAAUUUAUAUAUCAUAAAAUUACGAUUCAAAAUCAUAAAAUCUUGUAAUUUAUAUUACAAAAUCAAACACUUAAACAACGAAGAUGAGAUUUUAACUCGAGAUUUCGCUAUAUAUCAUAUAACAAAAAACUUCAACAACAAAAAACUUCAUCUCCAAUAUUAUUUAAAAAAAUCAUCCCUGCCAUUAAAUAAAAAAUAAAAUAAUAAACUAAAAAUUUAUGUUUUAAAAUAAAAUUCAUCUCCACCAUUAUUUAAAAAUUAAAAAUAACAAUUAAUAUAGACCACAUAAUAGAUCCCCGGCAUUAAUCCUGCUCCAACAAUCUAUACUUCAUCAUAAUAGAUCACAAAACAGUAUCUCUAAGCAAUUGUACAACCUAAAGCAACAUUCAAUUCUGUCGUUGAUGUAUAUAUUCAACAAUAGAAUUCAGCAUCUGAUCUCAUAAGAUCAAAAUUAACGCAUUAAAAAAAAUAAAAUCCGAUUUUAUACAGUUCCAAAUUACACAAUAAUGAGAAAUUAAACAUAUAAAUUGUAGAUUUUGGAGUAUAGGAUAAAUUAAUCACCUAAUUAAGGAUGUUGCCGAAAAAUAGUGGACUCGGAGUUGAGAGAAUCGACGGUCAGUCGGAACAAGGUCAAUGCAAUGGGUUAAAUCGUAGGCAAGUGUAAAGAGUUAAAAGUUGCGCAUAAAAAUUGGGGGGUGCUCUUUCUCUGCGGCGGGGGGGGGCACUGGGGUGGUGGUAGUUGUGUUGCUUAGGGAAGGGUGGAAGACGAGGUGGGGAAUGGGGAGGGUGCUAGAUAGGGUGGGGGACGGUGGGGUGGACGAAGUGGGGAAUGAUGGUGGACUGGUGGAUGAGGUAGGGGAUGGUGGAAGGGGAAAUGGGGGGGGGGGUGGGGUGCUAGACGAGGUUGGGGGGAGGGGAUUUUAGAUUUUUUUUAAUUUUUUUAAAUAUUAUAAAUAUUUUUUUAAUCACGUACCCAAAAAAAUGUGUGCAAUCACGCAUUGUCCACCUCAGCAUUUUAAUGCCACAUAUGCAUCAAAAGGGUUUAAAAAAUGAUUUUAAAUAGGUUCAAGGGUCCAUAUGACAAAUGUAUAAGUAGGAGUAUCCACUUUACAAACCAGACCAAGUACAAUGGUCCACCGAGCUAUUUUGCCUUCAAAAAAAGAGGGACUAUUUAACUUUUUGUUGAAAAUCUCUCUUGACCAAGAUAUUUUCCUCCUAUUGUUCCACCUGGGUAUCCCUUUUCCAUCGUAGCACUAAGUUGCUAACUUAGUAAGCAUCUGAUGUGACUAAUACACUGUCAUGAUCUACACCUUGGAAUAGGCUGUUUGGGUUAAGGAAUAAAGACAAAUCUCGCAAACCAUUUGUUAUUAACAUGUUGAUAAAACUUAUUUGAAAUCUAAAGGUAUUUGUCAUAAUACAUAAACGUAUAUUUUAACUUAGCCUCAAUUGGAACAAUAUCCUUUGAUUUUUUAUGUGCACAAGUAGACACUUAAAUUUGUAUAAAUUAAAUAAGUAGACGUGUGUGUCCUGUGUGGCAUAAUACAUGUAGGAUUGCACAUAGGAUGCCACAAAACUAGAGUCCGAAGCUAAAAGGAGCACUUUUUCAGGUCUAGAAGUGAAAAUGGGCAGUUCUAUUUUUUAUGUACCAAAACAGACAGUUUGCCCCAAAAUGGACAAACUACAACUAACACUGUUUGUGAACGUUUGGGAAGGGAAAUCAAUGUUAAUAGGAUUUGCCUGAAUAUGGGCAAACAACAUUUUCAUUAAAAAAAUUUUAACAGUUUGCCCAUUUGUGGGCAAAUAGGCAAAUGGGGCACCUACGUAUCUCAUUGAAGCAGGAAUUAGGUCAAACAUAGUUCAGGAAUACGCUAGGGGUAUAUAGAAAAAUCUAAUAGGUUGACCGAAGACAACAUAGGCUGCCUACGUAUCUCAUUCUUGAGAAUUCAGGUCAUCACAUAGUUCAUACAUAAAAGAAAAGGAUGAAUUGUCCUAAGGGGUUGACUGAAGCCAACAUAGGCUGCCUACAUAUCCCUUUCUUGUGAAUUCAGGUCAAACAUAGUUCGUACAUAAAAGGAAACAAAUUUUAGACAAUUACACAUCAUAAAACAAAUACUAUCAACAAGGCAAUUAUAAGUAAACCACGGAAACAAGAAACUAAAACAUCCUACAAACAUUGUAUCUCUUUACCGCAUCAGAAUUGAUUGGUUUGGUCCAUUAUUGACCAUCCAUCCCAGAUAGAAUCAAAGCUCCUCCGGUAGUACCUUGGGAACCAUGUAUGAUCCUUAUCAAUUUGGAGUGAACUUGCCUUUGUACUCUUCUUGAUGAGAAAAUAUGUGUUUGAGAACCCGUUGCCCAAUUUCAAAUGUUCGAGCUCUUACUUUCUUAUUGCAUGCACGAAUCUAUCUAUUUUUGUUUGUCUAACCCUUAACAUGACAUGAUAUUGGCAGGUUUAAAAUUAUAGUUAUGGAAAUAAACCAUGUUAGAUGAUAUCAAGAUAAUAAAAGAUAAUAACAUAAUCAUAUUUCAAAAUAACUUCUUAAAUAAAGGGAGGCCUUUUGGGGAAAGAAAAAUGAACUAUGGCUCAUGACUCGAGCAACUGCGGGCCCAUACCUUUUUUGAAAGCAGUAAAACAUGAAAAGAAAAUUUGAGACAUAAAAUGGUGGAUCACGGGGCCUCCUCUGGAUCAUCACCAAUUUUUAAAACUACUAGUAAUUGCCCUUUCAUCUAACUCAACGGGCAAUGAGUUAUCAAUGGAGUGGAGGUCCAGUUUUGCAACGCCUCUCCUGGUGUAACCUUUCUCACCCCACCAGAAUUUAGGAAAUCCUUGGGUAUGACAUUACAUCCCACGAAAAGAUUUUCCAUCCCAUCCCCAAAACCAUCAUCUUUUGAUAUUUCGCGCACAAGAAAUGACUGGUAUAAGAGUGGAAACGGUUUGAAUAGACUCAUCUUUGACUAAUCUUCAAUCUCAUCUUCCUUUCUUGGUUGGUACCCUAUCCCACCCUUAGAUGAUUUUUCUGGGAUCAUAAUGGGAUUAAUAAUUCCUUCCAAAUUGUUACUCAAGACACUCAAAGCAGCCACAACUUUCUCUAUCUUUUCCACUCCUUCUAUCUUUUUGGAAUUUUGCAAAUCUACCUUAUAUAAUAAUCUUUCUAGAUACCAUUCACUUGCUAUUUUGAUCAUGUUAACCAUGGCUCCCCCGUGAUUAGUAAAUAGAUUACUAGUGACAUUUGGUGUUGGCGCUUGAAGAGUGAUGAUCUUCUGAUCAAUCAAGUCUUAGAUUUUAUGUUUCAGAUUGAUGCAAUCUUCAGUAUUAUGCUCAGGCUCUGCUUAAUAAUAAGCACAGACCUUAUCAGCUUAAAAGAAUAAGGAAUUGAGAUUGGUAGGCUUUGGUGGAAUAAGUUGUAAAUAACCAGCUUUCAUCAAUCUUCUGAAGAGAUGGGUACGACUUUCAGCCAAUGAAGUGAAUUUUCUAGGAGGUUUCUCUUCGAGAUUUAAACACAGGGGGUUAUACUGAUUUUGAUUAGUGGGAAGAGGUACUUGAUGAUAGUUUGUAGUCACUUGGACAUUUAUUUGGUUGUUUGAAAGAGUAGCUUGAACAUGAGACUGAUAAUUUAGCUGUGGAACUUGGCACUAGGGUAAAAUAUUUGGAAGUGGAACUUGAUAUUGGUGUUGAAUAUUUGGAAGCGGAGCUUGGCACUGGGAUUGGACGUAGAAUACAGGCUAAAAACUUGAUGAUCGGGGUGAGGAAAGAAUAUUCCUCGACUUGAAUUUCUUCUUCAAUUUAUCCACAAAAUUAGUAGAGACCGCAGUCACAUCCUCUCUUUUCUUCUUUGAGAACGCAGAAAAUUCAGAUGAGGUUGGGGUUUUGACAAUUUUUCCUAUUUGGAUGCCUUCUUGUAAUGAUGCCCCAAUCUUUACCAAAUCUAUAAAAGUUGCUCAGACCGCGGAUACCAUCCUGAUAUAAAAUUCUCCCUCCUGAGUGUGAGAUAAAAUUGAUACCAUUUCUUUUUCAGACAUGGGAGAUUGUACUUUGGCAACUUAUUUUCUCUAAUGGAAGGCAUAGUCUAAAAAACCCUCAUCAUUCUUCUUCUUGAUCCAGUCUAGUGAGUAUCGGUCAGGAACUAUCUCAUUGUUAAAUGCAAAUCUAUCAAGAAAAAUUUUAGCCAACGCACUCCAGCUAGAUCAUUUUCUCAGUUCUUGAAACAUGAACCAAUCUAAGGUUUCGCCGCUUAAGCUUCGGAUGAAUAAGCGCAUUAAUAAUACGUCAUUUAUUCAUAUCCUACCCAUUUGAUCAUAAUACCUUCUCAGAUGGGCCAUUGGAUUUUCGAUACUGUCAAACACUUCAAAUUUAGGGACCUUGUACCCUUCUGGUAGAUCUACUUCGAGGUGCACACUGAGAUCAUCGUAUCCCAAAGCAUCCUUAUCACUUGCCCUGUGAGAUUCCUUGAUCCUCAUGAUCUCUUCAUUCAUGGCUAGCAACUUUUUUUCAUGCUCGAUUCUCUACUCUUUUUCCUUAUCCUCGUAAUGAUCUACCUCGGGAUUGGGAAAGAGAUUAUAGAUGUCAAGGGAUAUGAUGACAUGAGAAGGAUUUGGAACGGUAGCUUAAUUUUGAGGAUAAGAAGAGAUUGGGUGGUAGGGAGGGAGAUUUUGGAAAUUGAUAGUGCUUUAUGGAAUUUGAGAAUAGUUUGGUGGAAUUUGAGAGAGAUUUUGUGGAUUUGGAAAUGAGUUUUGUGAAUUUUGAGAUGGAUUUUGAGGAUUUAAGAGAGGAUAUUGUGUAUUUGGGAGUUUGGAGAUGGAUUUUUCGGGGUUAGGGAUGGAUUUUGUUGAUGGUAAGCAUCUAGGUUAUUUUCUCGAUUGGUGUUUUGGAUAAGUUGAGGAGCGAAGACGGACGAUAUGUUAUUUGGAUGGUCCCCAAGAAUAGGCGUACUGAGGGGAAUGAUUUGGAGUGGAGUCCCGUGUCCUCCUGGAGCGGGAGCAUUGACAGUGAUGUCCAGGUUAGCCAAAUCUCGAGUAUGAUUCAUCUUCUCCUAAAGCAUUUCCAAUUAUCUCGUGAGUUCAGCAAUCAUCUCAUUUUAAUCCACUAUUACAUUAUCCUUGAUAGUUAAUGCAUUUUCUUCGUCACUUUCAGUCAUUUUUGAAUGUUGGUCAUAGGAUGGGAUUUUAAGAACUUUUGAUUAGGUGAAGUAAGGAUGUUCUGCUAGUUUAUUCAACACGGAGUAGUUUUCUGUUAUCUUUAAAGUAAAAUAACUCAAAAGAAGAUGUGUUAGUUUCCAUAUGUGAUAAGUAAUAUAAAAUAUUUGACAAGAAGUAACCACAUAGAGUGCGUCACAGGCAAACUGAUCCACAGGAGCAUAAUGGAUAAAUUUGUCUUUGAUUCAAACAAACGCACAUAAACACAUAAUUCAGUUAUAUGACAUAAAAACAUUAUAAUAACGUGUAUCCUGAAUGGGGUGACUCUUUUGAGCCAAGGUUUGGGCAUAACAAAUUUUGAAGAAAAUGUUUGCCUUUUUAAAGCCAAUCUAUUAUUCCCCAACUUCCAUAGGUAUACAUAAAGGGCAUAAAUGCUUACAAAAGUUGCACAAAAGGGAUACAAUUUGUAGGGAAAGGAAAAUAACAUGAGAAAAAGAACAGUAUCUCACGCAGGGGAUAGGGAAUACUAGUUCCUGAACACUUUUCAAUCGGCCUUUGCUCUCUUAGCUUUGUCCACUUCUGGUCAUGGGCGACAUCUGUUAAUGAUCAAGCGGUUUCCGUAUAACUGCUCUAGAUUCAACCAUCCAAAUCGAUUAAUUUCUUACUUUUCUUGCUUCAAUUUCUCCCUCAAUUGGUGUACGAUUGAGGCAUCCUUAUACGAAAGUAAGCAAAGCAAGCUUUCUCCCUACCCCACAAAGGAUAAUAGAUUGGAUUAAACAAAUAUAUAUAUUCUUCUUCAACACAUAGAUAUGAUUCGUCUGUAAUUAACUCGGGGUCAAUAGACGCAGGAAAAGUUUUCUAAUGGGCCCAAUACCCCCUCGGGUAUUGGGUCGUCCUAGUCUCAUGCCUAAAAUAGGAUUUUGGUUUCGCUCUAUCCUAGGUGUCUAGAGUGGGUUUGAACCAGGUUCCCAAGUGGAAGACUUGGGUUCAAAAAUACGAACAACCAUCAGAAGCCUCACGUGCUAAUAAAUCGUGGUAUUUCCAACACUUUAUUUGAAGUUGAACAACAGGGGUCGGGACAUUCAGGAAACCCCAAAACAAUUAAACAAUCAAUGCAGGAUUAUGCUAUGAGAUGCAAUAAUUAAAUUCUACAAAAUCAAAACAUAUAAACACAUAAGCAAUUUAAACAGUUAGUCAAAAGAUAAAAUCAAACAUUUGGUUAAAACCUAAUUAGAAUCCCCAGCAGAGUCACCAUUUCUGUUUUGCGGAAAUUUGACUUUUACUUUUAGAGUCGCCACUUAAUUUAUUUAGGAAAAUCAAGAAAAACCUUUAUAAAUUACUCAAAUGAUUCAAAACAGAAAAAUCAUUUAAGUUUUAAAAUUCUAGGUAAGCGGUUCCUAUUAACAUUUUAGGAAGGUUUUUAAGGUACCUAAAAUGUCCGCUAACUUGCGGUUAUCCAAACUGUUUGAAAACAUUUUUUUUGACUAACUUUGAAAAAGGAAAGUUGAUUUUUGAAAGAAAGUGAUUUAGGACAACAAUUGUGUAAAAUCAAUUUGAUGACUUAGUAGGAAAUUUAACUAGGUUCGAAGACAAAUAGCAAAUAAACAUAGAAAAGGAAAAGGUAAAAAUACGAGAUUAGGCUUUUUGGCCCAAACCCGGUUGCACCUGUCCUAAACUAUCCAUUUGGGCUUAUGGCCCAUCAUCACCUGUCCUAAUCUAAAUAUUGGGCUUUUAGCCCAUAACCUGUCUUGAACCAUCUUUUUGGACCUUUGGGCCCAAAAUUCGCUUCACUUGUAUUAGUUUACAACUUUGUCUUCGAGGCCUCAAAUGAAUGAACAAAUAGAUAAAUAAAUAAAUAAAUAAUAAUGCAGUAAUAAAAAUCGAGACUUUUCGAGUCUCUUAGUCGCCUCAUCAAUGCUUUUUGACCCAUUUUCCUUCUUCUUUCAUCAUCUUGCACCGGCACGCUAUAUAAUUGACUUUGGUCUUAAACUUUGGACUUGACUCGAAGAGGUGGGCCUCAUUGACCCAUUACAAAAUGCAAGAUGAGAGGAGUCCAUUUGGACUCGAGACAUUUUUUUCAUGCAAAGAAAUGAUAAAGAAAUUAAUAUACGUUCAAGGCAUAAAAGUGACAUUUUUCAAAGCAAAAGAAAAUAUCAAGAACCAAUUUUCGAAUGACAAUGAUAAGGUACGCUUGCACACGUAUAACAAGAAUGAGAGUCAACAGAUAAAAUUCAAAGCAAAGACGCCCACUUACAUGCCUCAUGAUUUAUGGUCAUAUUAAGAAUGAAUAAAAGUAAAAGGAACAAGGUCAUAUUCAAUGAAUUAAUGCGAGAACAAACAACGCAAGCUUACGAAAGUAAAGGGAUGAGGCAAUAAGAAAAAUAACCAUGACUUCUAAAAUUGAACAAACAUAGACACAAAUCCAUAUAACAAAAUAAAAUAAAGGCUAAAUUUUCAAGAAAGGAAAUCUUUAUAUUUCAAUUAAGGCCAUAUUAACGAAGAUUCAUAUAUCUAAAUAACAAUUAACAUUUUAAGAAAAAAUAUGUAACGGCCUAGGAUUUAUCUUUUUAAGACAUCGUUGAUUCUCUUUUGAUAUUAUGAAUCACAGAGAGACAAAUCGAGUCUUUACACACACAAAGAUCACAUAUAAUAAUCAAAAGGGAGUAAGAAAAUAGAAAUAAAGUUUAGCAUAUCUAAAAAGCGAAAUAUCAUUCAACAAUCAUACUAUGCAUGACUCGGAAAUAUCUAAAUAAUUUUAUUUAGCCACAAAAAUCAAAACUUUCUCAUUAUUUUGACAAAACAACAUGCGAAAAAAAUAACAUCUUGGAUGGAAAAUAAAGCUAGCACUUCAUCUCUCAUAUAAGGAUUUUGAUUCAUUAAAAUUAUUAGAAAGCAAAUGACAAGUUCUUGACUUAACCAAUUACUAUUUUAUUAAGGCAAAAUAAAUAAUAGUAACUACUCUUUUUGAUAUAAAUAAAAUAACUUUACAUGCUAAAAAUAAAUAUAUCCGCCAACAAUGAAUUUAAACAAAACAUAAAAAGUCUUUUAAGCAAAGUUUGAAACUUUAUUUAUAAUAAUCAAAGAAUAAAGUCAAAAAGGAGAAACAAUCAAUAUUAACUAUUCUUUUCAACAUAAAGGAGACAACUUUACAUGCUAAAAACAAACAUAUCUGCUAACAAUAAAUUUAAACAAAUCAUAAGUACAUUUUUAAGCAAAGAUUGAAACUUUAUCUAUAAUAAUCAAAGAACAAAGUCAAAAAAGCACGUACAACUAUUACUAGCUUAUUUUUAUACCAUGAACAUAAAAAUAAUUAUAAUAUCAAUGUCACAACGUCCUUCGGCCUUCAAGGUCGUCUACAGCAAAUAAUCCCAGCAAACAGAAUUAUAACUACCACAAUUAUAACUACGAACUACGAAGAAGAAAAAGAUGAAGAAGAAAACGAUAAUAAAACUAAAAAGGGAGAAAGAUGUCUUUACCUUUUUGGGGCCAGCAAAAUGAGACUACGAGCUUCGUCGGAAUCAAACACCAUUGAGAAAACGUCGCCGACACCUCAAAAAUUUUGAUUAGCCAACCAACUCUAUGAAACAAAAAUUUUUACUAACUAAAAAUAAUUAUUUUGCUCAAAAGAAUUUUUUCACCUUUCUAGCCUCUUUUUUUUUUUUAACUUUUCAACCCCACUUUCUAUCAAAGUAGUGGUAGUAUUUAUAGGAGAGAAUGGGGUUUUAUUUCCUUUCCUCCAUCAAUGUGGAAGAAAAGUAUUUAUAGGAAAGGAUGAGGAUUUAUUUCUUGUCAUCCACCAGUGUGGGAGAAAAGCCAUUUAGGGGUGUUUUUGGAAUUUUAAAAUUAAAGAUAAGGUGAGGUAGAAGAAAAUAUGGUGGAAAAUUGUACAAUGUAGUACAGUUUUUGAAUUUUAAAAUUAGGAAAAUGACAAGGUUGAGGGGGGAAUUGUACCAUGUAGUACAAAUUUAAAAUUAUUUUUGGUGGAAAUUGGGUAGAAGUUAUGAGAGUUUUUUGAGAAAUUUGGGUUUAUUUAGAAUUUAACCCCAAUUAGGAUUUAAAAUUUAGCCAAAUUUAUUUAAUUUUGACCAAAUUAAAAAUCAAUUGGCGGAUUACAUUACAAUUAUGGGCAAUUUUAUUUCAAUUAUGGUCAAAUCUAAUAGAUUGACUAAAUUAAAUUAAAAUUCGAUACUAAUUAAUACUUCUUUUAAUCCCGAGAUUCUUGAUUUAAUAAAAUCAAACAUAUAUUUAUCUAAAUAAAUUAUUUUUGAGAGUCAAUCAUAUUUAAAUUAAGAUUGUAACCAUUUGAAUUUAUUUUCAAGAAUAAUAUUUAAUUAAAAUUCGAUCCAUAGAAUAAAUAUUUAAGUAAUUAAAUUAUAUAAUCUCGUAUAAUUGAACAUGAUAAUAUAUAAUCGCUACUUAAAAUAACAAAAUUAUGUACAAAUAUAUUUUUAAAAAAAAUUAUUCGGAUGAAAUAAAUAUUUUGAUUUUAUUAAACCGAAAAAAUUCAGGAUUAAAUUUAGUCGUGCAGGGCAAAAAUUAGGUGUUAACAAUACCGUUAAUAUUUUGAUAUAUUUGACAUAAAUUUAAUUUAGGACCACAAAAUUCAAAAGUUUUUUUUUAUUUUCUUAAAAUCCUUGUCAAAUAAAUUAGAUCAUUCUUUUUUAAACAAAGAAAGUACUAAAAAAAUAAUAUAUAAGUUAUGUUCUAAGGAAAUAUUUACAUAAUAGAUAAAUGAAUUCUAAGAAAAUUUUUAUGAAAUUGAAUUUUUUUGUAGUAUUAAACAUCAUCAUUUCUAAAUUUAAAUUAUAGAUUUAAAAAAUAUAGAUAACAAAAUAUAAUUUACAAAAAUUUAAAAUUAUAAUAAAAAUGAAUAUCAAAUAGUUACUUAAAUGAAGUAAAAUGAACAACAAUUACUACAGAAUAACAAAUUUUAUUCGAAUUUAAAUUGAAAAAUAUAUUAAAUGACAUAUUCGAACUACUAAAAUUACAAAAGCAUACUGCAUAAACGUUAAACUUACUGAAAGACUACAUGAUAACUAAUCAAUGGUAAAAAAAUUCCAAAUCAAACUGCAAAUCAACAUAACACAUAAAAACUUUCAAUAAUUAUGUUCUUCAUUCCAUUUUCUUUUAAAAAUACAAUUCUCCUAAUCAGUUUCAUCAAGCAUAUCCUUCAAAUGAUUUUAUUUUUCUUCAAAUUCUUUUAGCAAUGUCCUAAGAAAAUCUCUAUCUUCUAUAGCUUUGUUGAAAUUAAACAGCGUGUCAAACUUUAUAGUGUUUUGUGAAGUCGCAUAUCACCAUCAGAUAUAGGUCUCUUCAAUUGUGAUAUAAUGGUGUUUGUUUCAUUUUUUUUGACAUACUUUCUACCCACAAAAAAUAAUCACAUCCACCAUUUUUCUAAAACAACAAAAUAAGAAAAAUGAUUAACAUACACAUAUUUUUAAUUGUACAACUUAAAAAAUUUUACUUCGAAUGCGCACAACUCCAAAACUUACGGUCAAAAUUUCUUGUAGUCCAUGAUGUUUUCAUUUUACAAUAUUGAUUGCAUUUACAUACAUCAUGUUCAAUUGAGCAUAAAGACAUUUCGGAUUGUUGAGAUAUAAUUAUAAAUUUUCAAAGUCCAAAAGAGAUGAUAUUAGUAGAAUAAUAUGAUAGAUGAAUGAGAUAAGAUGGAGUGAACAGCAACACAUAUUUUAUAAGUGAAAAAGUUGUGUAUCAUUUCUCAAAAGUUGAAGUGACAAAAUGCACAUAUAAAUAAGAAUCUUUUCAAGAAUAUUAAAAGUAUGAUGUUUAAUCAGUUAUCAGUCAAAUCUCACAGUAGAAGAAUCAUAAUUUGCCCAAAUAAAAGUAGUUUUUCCACAAAUAGGAAAACUACUAAAAAAGAUUUAUGAAAAUGUAGUUUGUGUUAUAAAAUAUAAAGUAAAGAAUAACAAGAGUAAAGAGAGAAGAGAGAGAAAUUCUUAUUUCUCUUAAGGGAUUCUAAAGGGGUAUUUACAAUAAAGAAAACCCUUCUAUUUAUAGGGAAAAUUACUCCUAGUUUCUCUCUAAAAGAUAGAUAUUUCAUAUCCUCAUAGAUAUCAGACAUCAACUAGAUCUUGAUAGAUCUUAUCUACAUUCUUGAUAAAUAUUCACUAUAAUGUAAAUACAUUUAUGACACUCCCCUUGAAUAUCUAAUUGACAGAUAAUGUGCCUCAUUAAAACCUUACUAGAAAAAUCCAGUGAAAAAAAUCUAAUGAAGGAAACAGAGUACACAUCUCUAAUAAUACGUAUUUCGGCUUCCUCAUUAAAAACCUUACAAGGAAAAUUCAGUAGGACAAAACCUUGAAAGGAAAAAAGACUAUAACGCAUAUUUGAUCCCCUUGAAAAGAACAUCAAUGAAUCAUGGCAUCCCGAUCUUGUGUACCAUCUUCUUAAAAGUUGCAGUUGGAAGAUACUUGGUAAAUAAAUCAGUUACAUUGCCACUUGAAUGAAUCUGUUGCAUGUUAAUGUCACUAUUCUUUUUGUAACUCAUGUGUAUAGAGAAAUUUCGAUAAAUUGGGCUUCGUUCUAUCUUUUCUUAUGAAUCCUCCCUUAAGAUGCGUUAUGUUUGCUGCAUUAUCUCCAUAUAAAAUUGUGGAUACAUUGUUACAUUUCAAACUAUAUUUUUAUCAAAUGAGAUGUAUCAUGGACCUCAACCAUACAUAUUCUCGACUUGCUUCAUAAAUAUCUAUUAUUUCAGCUUGGUUCAAUGAGGUAGCUACGAUAGACUGUUUUACAUAUCUCCAUGAUAUGGUAGUAUUCCCAUAUGUGAACAUAUUGCAUAUUUAAGAAUGAGAUUUAUGCGAGUUAAAUAAAUCUCCAGUAUUAACAUAAUCAACAAGAUUGGGAUUGCAAUCUUUAGAAUAAGAUAAGAUCAUGUGUUUGAUCCCAUUUCAAUAUCUCCUAGUAGGAGCAAAAUUAUACAUUGCAAAUAAAUUAAUCGAAAAGGUUAUAUCAGACCUUGUAGUAUUUGUAAGAUACAUGAGUGCACCAAUUGUACUAAUAUAUGGUAUUUUAUAACCAAUUCAAAUUGGUAUAUGUCUUAUUGCAUCAAAUAAUCUAUUGCUUUUGAAAACUCUCCAAGAGCUCCAAUAAUUUUCAAGCUACACGGUUAUACAAUAUAAGGAUUAUAAAUAAGUUUUUCAAAAAUUUUAUACGCUUCAAACAUUUUUAAUCCUUAAAAUAUUUUUAUAUAAAUUUUUUCAAGUGACAAUAUUCAACAUUUCAUGAGUGACAUCUUCAUGUAUCUGGAAUACAAAUCAAAUAAGUUUUAUGCUUACCAAGAUACAUCCUUUCACGUCACUUAAUAAAUAUUUUUACGUCAGCAUGCUUAAAUAAAUGUAGAAUUUAGGUCCUCAUAAUCUUUUACAAUAUUGUGUUAAUAUUGUAUCAAAGAUAUUGAUGAUAUAUCAUUCUGUAUCGAAUUCACAAUGUGACAUAACAUUUUGAUAUCUCAUCACUUCAUUAUUUUCAGGUAUUUGAAUCUUUCAUAAGGUUUCAUGAAGUGUUAUGUUGUAGGCUCUUCAAGAGCACAUUGCCUUCUUAUUAAUUUUUUAAUUAAUAUUGGAAUAAAGAUCCUUAUUAUUGAUAAUCUUCAAUUGGGUCCAAGCAGCCCAAGUACAUAACAAAAAUAAAAAACUGAUGACCCAACCCGGCCCAAAUAUUAAGUUGGGUCUCUAUAAAUAUGUCCCCUUUAGGGUUUUCUAAAUCAGUAGCACAUUUGGAGCCCCUCCACCUUAUCCAUCGCUAAUAAUGAUGAGAUCUUCUUUCUUCAAUCUUUAAUUUUAGCUCCUUUUGUUGUGGGUGAUGAAUUAUCUUCACAUUUUUUUGUGGUCUUUCUUCUUGCUCAGUUUGCAGAAGUACGGACAUUCCCUUCUUAAUUAUUUCUUUUAUUUUUUUAUUUUGUCACUAACUUUAUCCCUUGCAGAUGUGUGUUUCGGUGGAUGUCCUUGAGUUUUAAAGUAACUCAUAGGAGAAUUAGAACAUUGUAUCUCUGCUUUGUAGAUCUGUGUAAGUAACUUGGAACUUUCCACUUGCACUUAUUUCAUCCUCUUUACUGAUUGAUGACUCUUUUAUAGCUGAAGCAGAAGAGGAGAAAAACAAGUUGCUCCCAGCGUCCAUCUUUCAGAUCUCCUAGCUAUGAACAAGUGUUGUAUUACUAAAUCUGUUCCCCUGCUCUCGAUUUUUGUUGGUGAUCCUUUUUGUUGGCUGAUGUAGCUCAGUCUAGUUAGCAAUCUCAUAGUUAUUUUGCCCUUGAGGCGACCACAAACUAUAUUGUACAAGUAAUCACUAUGAGACUCUGUGGUUUUUCUUAAUCCCCUCCCUAUGCUUAGUUAUGCGUGCUACUUAUCUUCCUUAUUUUUACCCUUAUUGAUGGAAUUUGAUGUUUGUCUAUGUUUAUGAUCUUCUUUCCUUUGCUUGGUAGCUGAUUGAACUCAUAGUUUUGAAUCUUUUGUUCUUGUUCAAUAGCUAUAUUUUUCAUGAAGUCUGCUAGUUGAUUAGCUUCUCUGUAUAUAUUACUUAUGUGGAUGUUUAGCUGAGAACUUAGAACUUUAAUUUCCUCAAUUAUUUCCAUUAGAGUCCAAGGAAUCUUCCACUCACCCAUAAUCAUCUUUUUUAUGCUAAGUGAAUUUAUCUCUAAUUGAAUUUGCAUCCAAUUCUAACUAAGACAAUAUGAAAUAGCUUUUGGGAUUGCAAUAGCUUCAGCUUCCAUGUUUUUUGUAAUUCCCACAGUUUGAGCCUCUGUAUACAUCAAAUCCUUUUCACUGUUUCUAAUACAAAAACCAUAAGAACUCAAACCUGGGUUUCCUUUUCUAGCACCAUCCGUGUUGCACUUUAUCCAUCCUUCAUCUGGCUUAUCCCAUUCACUAUGAGAUAGAGAAGCUUGGGUUUGUAAGUAUGCAAAACUUUCAAAUUUUCCUUCCAGUGAUGUGGUAGGUCCUUUAUCCAUGGAAAUCUAACUUUCACAAUAUAAAACACAUUCUUUUGAAGUUGGUGUUUCAUCUUUUCUAAAGUAACAUCCUUUCCAUAUCUUUUAGCAUUCUUUCUCUUCCAAGGCUCCCACAUCCAUAUCUUUUAGCAUUCUUUCUCUUCCAAGGCUCCCACAUCAACAUUAAUGGAAUUGCUUGAAUAAUGGUAUUUUCUUUUGGGCUGCAUUGAUGAUUCCACCAUCUGUGAAUUAUUUGUUGAAGAGUGAGUCCUUCCAUGCUAAUACUUGUACAUAAAGCAAACUGCUUUCAUAGCUGUUAAGCUAUGGGACAUGUUAAUAAUAAAUGGACCAUAGUAUCUUGUUGACCAGCUUCACAACAAUGAUAUUUAAAUACCAUUUGAAUGUCCAUUCGUUUAAGAUUGCCAUCUGUUGUUAUCCUUUGCCUUCAUACCCUCCAUAAGAAAAAAGCAAUCUUAAAUAGAACCCCCUUAAUUCAAAUAUUUCGCAUCCAAUUGAUUUUCUCCAUUUUGUGUCUCAUAUUAUGAAAAGUUGAGAUAACCGUGAAUUCACCUUUAGAAUUUCCCAUCCACCAAGCCUUGUUAUUAUCAUCCCUUCCCAUAUGAGGCUUUAUAUUUUAAUUAUAUGCUCAAUUAAUUCCUCUCUAAGGUAUCUCCUGAUUUUUUCCACCUUCCACUCUCCAUUAUCAAUGAAUUCUUUUACUUCUAUUUCUUUCUCUCCUUCAUUCUACUACACCACAUAAUAAAGUACCCCCAUCUUUGUCCUGUUAUCAAACUAGAAGUUGGAAUUUCUAGCCUUGAGCUUCCACCGUAUAUCAUGCUCCACUUCUUGUCUUACCUCCAUUAUUUUUUUCCAGACAUGAGAUAGUCCUGAAUUUCUUGUAAUCACUGGAUGAAGCUUCUUAUAAUAUUUGUUGCUCAUAAAAGAUGCCCACAAGGAGUUGGUUGAAACUUUGAACUUUCACCAUAAUUUAGCAAAUAAUGCUUUGGAUACGUCAUGCAGAGAUCUAAAACCUAGACCUCCUUCUUCUUUUGGAUAACACAUAUCUUCCUCAGCAACCCGAUGUCUUCUCUUCACACCUUCAGAACUACCCCAAAAGAAUUUUGAAAAGAUUUGAUGUAAUUGCUCAAUCACUCUUCUAGCUGGACUCAUGGAUGCUAAAAUGUAAACCGGCAUUGACUGUAAAACGUGAUAAAUUAAGAUGUAUCUACCUCUAAAUAAAAUUAGUUUGGUCUGCCACAUUAGAAUUUUUCUUGUGACCUUUCUCAAGAGGUCAUCUUAAUGAUUCUUGUUUAUCCUUCCAUAGAAAAUAGGACAUCCUAAGUAAGUAAAAGGAAAGUUUUCUUGCCUUAUACCUGUCAAUCCUCUUAAUCUUAUAGCCACAAUCAAUGGAGUCUUGUCACGCAGAUAGAAGAAAAUCUUACUUUUAUUGAUGAGUUAGCCUGAGACGUUCACAUAAUAUUUAAGAACUACCACCAUCUUCCUAAUUGAUGAUUUGUCUCCUAAGCAAAAAAUGGUUAUAUCAUCAACAUAAGAAAGAUGAUUAAUUUCAGGACUCCACUUUGGCAACCCAUUUCCUUUGAACUGAUCAUCAUCCUACAAUUUGUUAAGAAACUUAGAUAACACUUUCAUCGUAAUAAUGAAUAAAGUAGGUGACAGAAGAUCACCUUGUUUAACACUUCUUGUGGAUUGAAAGAAACCAUGAGAAUGCCCAUUUAUAAGAACUAAGUACUAGUUGUUGGAAAGUAAUCUCCAAAACAUAUCAAUGAUCACUUCUGAGAAGCCAAACUUCCUUAACACCUUUGUGAGAAAUAUCCAAGAUACCCUAUCAUAUGCUUUAGUCAAAUCCAGCUUGACCUCCACAUUGAUGUUCUUAUUCCUGAUGUUGAUAUCUCAAAUAAUUUUCUGGGCUAUCAAAACAUUUUUAGUAAUACUUAUCCCUCUCAUAAAUCAUACCUAAUUCUGAGAUAUAAUAUUAGGUAAUACUAUCACAAUUCUUUCAUGUAACACUCUGGAGAUAAUUUUAUCAGUGAAUGUACUUAGACUGAUCGGUCUAAGGUUUGAGAACUCCCUCACUACUUCCCUUUUAGGUAAUAGCGCCAAAUUGGUAUGACUAAUGAAUUUGGGAAGCGCAUACCCACAGAAAAUGCUCUUACUAAUUUGGUGAUAUCAUCUCCAAUAAUCUCCCAAUAAAUAUGAAAGAAUACUCUUAAAAACCAUCUGGUCCACAUGCACUAUCCUCAUUGAGCUGAAAGACCACCUUUUUAACCUCCUCCUUAUUCGACAGUGCUAUCAUUUGCUUAUUUUUUUUUCAGUAAUCUGCUUAGGUAUUCAUUGCAACUUGUCCCACCCUUGAUUCCACCUUUCCUCAGCAAAUUAAUCUUUAAAAAAUUCCACUACUUUUUCUUUUAUCUGCUGAUUAUCAUGAAUCAUGUUACCUUGCCUAUCAUUGAUCUCUGCAUUGUGCAAAUUUUUCCUUUUCCCUUUCACAUAUGAAUGAAAAAACUUUGAGUUUAUAUCACCUUUGGAAAACCAUUUUUUCUCAGAUUUUUGCUUCCUGAAAUCGUUCUUAAUUUUUAUACAUCUUUUCAACUCUGAUUCUGCCUUUUGAAAUUGUGCCCUAUUAUCUGCUGAAGGCAGAAUUUCAAAUUGAACGUCUUUAACCUUUAUCACAUGCUCUAAUGUAGCAAUAUUUUGGAAAAUAUUUCCAAAAGUUGCUCGACUCCAUUCGGAUAAUGCUUUUUCACAUUCUUCAUCUUAGCCUGAACUUCUAUAAAUGGGUUCCCCAUAAAAUUAACAUUCCAAUUCAGCUUCACAAUCUCCUUGUACUUUGCAUGUGUUGCCAGAAGUUCAAAAAUCUAAAAGGUUUAAUGAUAGGUUCCUCUUUCGUAUUACAUACUAGAUAAAGUGGUGCAUGGUCAAAACCUUGUCUAAUUAGAUGGUGUACCUUAGUAGAAGGGAAAAUAUCUAUAAAAGCUUGAUUUACCAUUACCCUAUAAAGUCUUUUAAAAAUACACUCCUCUUCAAUUCUCCCAUCCCACCAGGUAUAUUUGCUACCAAAAUAGCUCACAUCAUUCAGUACACAGUUAUUGAUACAAAGGGUAAAAUCUGUUGCUUCACUCUGGGUAAAUGGAAAACCUUCCCAUUUCUCUUCUUCUGUAAGUAUAACAUUGAAAUUACCCCCUAUAAUCCAUGGUAAAUGAUGAUUAUCUGUAAUAUAUUCCAUCUCAUCCCAUAAUUCUAAUCUCUCCAAUGAACUACAUCUAGCAUAAACUGAAGUGAUAAUGAAGUCCUUGUUAUCUUUAAUGAACUUCAUUGUAAUCUGUUGAAUGAUAUCUAAUACUAUCUGACCAAUCCAAUCCUCCUUCCAAAAAAUCCAAAUUUAGAAGAAAAGUUAGCAAUUGCAUUUGUGAAACCCAUCCUUGUUUUAUAAUGAUCUACUUCAUGAGGACCUGGAAAAGGUUCCAUAAGAGCUAUAAAUGAGUAAUUAUUUUGUCUGUUAAGUUCUAUUAAUCUCUCAAAGGAAUUUUGUGUCUUAAUAGAUCUUAUAUUCUAUAAUAAAUCUUUACCUAUCAUUAAUUGCUUGGGGAAUCUUUGUCUCUGCUCCUUGUUCUGACCUGAAGAGGUAUUGUUGAUUUUCCUUUCCUUGCUCCUUCUUCAAGCAGUCAAUCUGCCUCGGGGAAAGAUCUCCUAACCUACUGAUUUAUUUAAUAUUACUCUCAAUACAAUCAUCUUCCUCAUUAUCCCUUUUAAUGUUUAUAUGCUCAUCAUUUUCUUAUACUAAUUCUUGCAAUUCCUUUAAAGGGGUUUCAUUUUUGUCCUGUCCUACUGCACUAUUUCUACUUUUUGAAGUAUGCUAUAUGUUUUCUUAUUGAUCCUUGCUAUAAGUCUGUUGUGGAGUAUCCUGAACUUCUGGUGUUGUCACUUUCCUUGCUUCUGCAGCUGAUCUCCUACCUUUACUUGAUACAAUCUUACUACUUCCUUGUUCCUUGUUUAUUUAAGGGCUAAAAUCCACUUGAGCAGGACUUUUAGUUAUCAACUUUUUUCCUUUGUCGUUCAGAGAUUUUUGCCCCCUUCUGCAGUUUGAUUCUGUGAUUCCUUUCCCUUAUCUAAAUCAUUCCCUUAUUUCUUUUCACAAUUCUGCAGUCUAUUUUAAUCUCUGAGCUCUUUCUUUUUGAUUUUCUCUGUGUGUUGUAAAGCCUCAAACUGAUUUCCUGUGUUAACACCUACAUUAUUCCACCUAGUUUCUUGCCUCCGAUUGUUGAAACUAUUCCUUUUGUGCCCUCUUUUUUUCUUUUUUUGAACUUCGAAUUUCUCUACAUUAUUAUCCACAGAUCCCUCUUCAGCCUCCUUCUUUGAUUACUGACUUUUUUUAUUAUUAUCACCUGCCUUCUUAUUGUUAUCAUCUUUUUUACCAUUUUGAUUUUCCUCCUCCUUGUUAGGAUAUAAUUCUGGAUGGCCUACAUAACAUUGUUGUUUAUUAUGGCCCUGAAUCAUACAAGUUUUAUAGUACUUGGGAACAAAAUCAUAUUUUAUUCUAAUCCACUUUUCUGUGACUUCUCCAUUCUGCUUUUUCACUCCUAUAUUAAUAUAUUAGGUUAGGAGUUGGGGUCAUCUUGGGGGGAGUUGGGGCUAAGUCUAAAAUUUAGAGUUGGGGUCGGUCUCUAGUUGAGAGUUGAGGAUGGGUCUCAAGUUAGAAAUUGAGGUCAAAUCUCGAGUUGAGAUUUGAAGUCGAAUUUCGAGUCGAGAGUCGAGGUAGGAUCUCGAUUUAGGUGCUGGGUUUAAGUCUCGAGUUAGGAGUGUAGACAUGUAAUUUUUUCCCUUCCGAGAGUAUAUUUUUACCCAUUUACCCCGCCUUAACAUGCACCCUCAAUCAUGUGAUAAUCUCCCCACUAGAAGACAAAAUAACAAACCCCUAACAAACCUAUUCCCCAAUAUUCUUUUGAUAACAAAAUAACUACUCCCCUCAAUAAAAUUUUGACAACACAUAUCACCACCCCACCCCUUAACCUACCUCACCCCUACCCCACAUACCCCUUCUCUCAUGUUUAUUCCCUCUUGGACAACAAUAUACAUACACACUCAUGGGUACACUCACAGUUGUAGCAUGGACAUUAUAUUGUUUCUUCCCUCUUGGGUAAUAAUAUAAUGUACACAAAGGAGGUUCGUGAUUAAGGCCCGAGGUAUCGGGUAAAGUAUUGGAGCGUAGUUUAGGACUACUGUAGGUUAGCGUAGGUUUAUUUCAGUAUCUUUUAUUUUCGACUGUAAUAAUUGGACUGGAUACUAUUUUUUCAGACUUGUUUUGUUUGGUUUGGUUAUUUAUCUGUUUUGUGUGUUUUAUGUGGUUUACUCACUUUAUAGUGUCAUUCUAGCCGAUAUACUCCAUUAAGCGACCGUGGUCGAACCACGGGGUCGAGGGAUGCCUAACACCUUCCCCUCGAUCAACAGAAUUUCUUAGUUGGAAUCUCUGUUCGUAGAUCAAUUUUUAGAGUCAAAACUGUUUUGAAAAAGGAUUUCUAAAGGUGACUUGGCACACCCGAUUUAUGCCAAGUGGCAAUUUUGAGUUAAUUGUAAAACGAAUCCUUUUCGAAACAACUUUACUUUUUGUCACUCAAUAAGAAAACCUUUUUUGAACUUAAAAUCUAAUCUUUUUGGUGUAAAAGAAGGUGCGACAGCUUUGGCGACUCUGCUAGGGAUAUUUUCAGAAUUCGAGCUUAUUUUUUAGUUGUAUCGGCUUAGUUUGACACUAUAGGUGUAUAGACAUUUUGUUUGUGUUAUUGUUUUAUCUUCAUUGAGUGCCUACAUGCUAUAUGUUUAUAGUUCUUCUCUCAUGUGUUACCAUUUUAUAUCUGUCAUCAUUUGCAUAACUCGAGUCAUUUCUUUCGCAACAAUUCCUGUAGUACACGUGUGUACACUACCUCUAGUUGAGUCACCCUUAUUUUUAGGAAGGGGAGCCGUUGGGUGUAUGGGGUAAGUAGAAAGCUAUCACAACAACUAUCGACCAUAUGCUCCCCCGAACAGCCUUGUUAGUGGACCCUUACGUAGGUCAGUUUUUAGGUCACGCUUAUCUGUAUCAUAUUGAGACCUAGUGGUACCCACUUGGUUCAUUGUAGGAGACUCACCUCUAAAGCAUCCCUACGUGUUAAUUGUUGCAUCUUUGAAAGUAACGGGCCCAUUUGCAAGACUGAUUUAGGGAAAACAUGUGUUAGAAGUAAAGUGUGUAGGCAAGAAAAUGUUGAAAAAAAAAGAGGGAAAAAGAAAGAAAAAGUGAGUCAAAAAAAUGAGUUUCAUAGUUUUUAGAAUUCUUUGACUUUUGUUUUUCACAAUUCAAAAAUUCAAAAAGAUUUUAUUUUUAUUUUUUGCAUUCAUUUUCUCAAAAUAUAGAAAACAUCAAAAAGAUUUUAUUUUGUUCCCUUUAUCAAGCAUUCAUAAUUUGAAAAUUUUAAAAAGAAUUUUUUUCAAUAGGAGCUUUUUUUUAUAAAAGAAAGAUUCAAAAAAAAUGGUAGAAGUUUUGUACAUUUCAUAUAACGAAAAUACCAAAAAGAUUUUUCUUUCAUAGUUGUUGGUGUCAUUUUUAUGUGAAGUGUCUAAUUAAAAACCCAAAAGAUUUUAUUGACGUUGUUCAUCAUCUGUCUUUGGACGUGUCUCUUAAUUUAGGGUCAAUUUAUUAUUUAAUCCUUAAUUGUCCUAUCUGAACGAACUACGCACACCUGAUUCUCCUCUUUCGAGAGUGAGAUAGGUAGGCAACCCUUCUAGGGUUCGGUGAUCUUAUUUAAAAAAUUCAUUAAGAUUUUCUUCACUCUUCAUUUAGAGUAGGUAUUUCAUAUACAUCUUUAAAAGAAAACUAAAAAAAGAUUUUUCUUUAAUAGGUUCAAGUUUCAUUUUCAUAUGAAAUUCAAAAUCGAAAAGCCAAAAAAAAAAUUCUUUGGAAAUCAUAGGUUUUAUUUUGUAUAGGAAUGUUAAAGCUGAUUUUCAUCAAUUCUUUUGACAAUUUGUUAUUUUCUUUUCUUCUUAAAGUUAAAAAAAAAAAAGUUUGAUUGGCCAUUUUUUGGCCAAACUUCAUGAACUACGCACACCUAAUUCUCCUCUCUCAAGAGUGAGAUACGUAGGCGCUCUUCUUGGGUUCGGUGAUCUUUUAAAAAAAAUUUUGAGAAAGUGUUGAACUCCAACACGUUUGUUAUCUCUUGUUGAGUUAGUUUAAGGUGGGUGAUUUGUGGCAUUGUAGCUGGUCCUCCAUAUUACACCAAAUCCAAAAGAGAGUUAGUUCUUUCCAAUCAAGAUAUAGAGACUGACAUCAUGGAUCAGAAAAAGAUUCAGGAAAAUGAGAGUUUAAAGAAAGAGAUUUUAAGACUAAGGCAACAAAUAAGAGAAAUGCACCGAGCUUGGGCCAGUGGGUUGCCUCCUCCUCCAUUUCCCGCUAUUAACCAUGGAAAUCCCUUGAUUUUUCCAUGACAAUUGGAAAGUCAAUUUUCUACUGUUGCUGAUAUACCACAGCAUGCCUCAGAAUCCAUUCCACAUCAAAUACAUCCCAAUACUUCAACCACUCUUUCUUUAGCUCCUCAGUAUAAGCCAACCAUAUUCACAGCACCACAUACUGUAUGUGUUUUUAUUUCUCAACCUUCUACUGAGGCCCCCACUUUAGAUAUCAACCCAACGAUUGUGCUUUCCUAAUCUUCUAAAGAGCAAGAGAAAAUGGCUAGGAAAAUAAAGAAUGUAGAAAGGGUUAUGAAAAAUUCUCUAGGCCUUGAGAAUUAUGAAGAUGUUUUAUAUAAGGAAUGGGGUAUGUAUUCAAGUUUUAACCUCCCUCCUAGCUCUGAGGUAUCAGGAUUUAAGUAACAUGAUAGGUAUAAGGAUUCUGUAAAACACUUGGGAUGAUAUUGCCAUCAGUUGAGGGGGACUGAAGGAAAGAAGAAGAAAAGCGUACCUAUCAUCAUUCCAGGGAAAAAUAGAGCUCAAGAGGUUCAACUCAGCAAUAUUAUCAGUCUCAAUCCUGAACUUACACAUCAAAUCCACAUGCUCACCUACAACAAGGUUCCUCUUUGAAAAAUCCAAGAUAUUUUAUUCCAGUUCCUCAGUAUCCUUUGAACAAUGCACAGCAGUAUACUAAUCUGUCUUCUUAUCCACAAUGGUGUGCACCGGUCCUUUAACAUCAUCCUUGACCCACGCAUAUUUACCAAUGAACUUAUAAGUUUAAGUUUUACCGAGAUCGGAGUUAUCAAAGAGGAGAAAGUCAAAGGAUUAUUUUACACCAAUUGAGGAGUUGUAUGCUAGUUUAUUUCAGAGGUUGAGAGAGUUGGGUAUGAUCACUCCUCUCCUUGGGUAUACUCUUGACCCGCAUUCAAGAAAUUUAGAUCCUAAUGUACAAUGUGAAUAUCAAUCUAAUGUUCAGGGUCACAGUAUUGAAAACUGUUGAGAUUUAAAAAGAGAAAUUGAAAAGAUGAUUCAAGAUAAAUCAACUAUGGUGUAGAACAUUGACAAUAAGGAAAGCUCUAGUCAUGCUGAUAUGUAAAAAAAAUGGCUAAGAUGUCAAGCUCAACAAUUGGAAAGUCACUCCCCUCCUUACUUGGAAGGAUUGUUGGUAGUUUGUUUUGUUUUGUUUUCCUUUCUGUUUUACGAAUUAUUUCAGGGUUGUAGUUCAAAAUCUAUCUUGUUUUGUUUAUUUGUCGCCUUUGUUUAAACCCUUCUAUUUUUUCUUUAAAUGAGAUGUGGUGUCCCUUGUCAUUUUGUUAUAUUUUAAGUUGUUUGUUCAUUUUCUUUACAUAGUAAAUUUUAUUUUGGUUUUAGCGAUAUGACAUACUGGCAGAAUUUUCAGCUAGAUCUUUAAAUACAGUUUAAUCUUGAACUUUGAAUCAAAGUGUUUCAUUUAGAAAAAAGCAUUUGAGAAAUAGGUAGAGUGUUAAGACACUUGGUGAUCAUGCUGAAGCCUUCUUUCAAAAUUAAGGCAAUUAUUUUGUGACUCACAAUAAUAAAUUGGUCAUCAGUUGAAAACCAUAGCUCAAUUAAGUUAAAUAGUGGUCGUGUGAUUCCUAUAUCAAGAGAAACAGAAAGAAAAUAAACUCCAUAAAAGCAUGAGUCAUUUGAUAUGAGGUGUUGCAAUAAGGAUGGAGCUGUACGUUUGACAAGAGCAGAAGAAGAAGCGACACACAUGCUCAAGGAAAGUUAGUGCUCUAAAACACAUCACAAAUGAUCUUCAUUUAUCAUUUUUAUAUUGCAUGAUACGUACUUGCAUUUUCAAAGAGUGAUAUGACGAAGGUACUUCAUUCUACUACCCAAACAUUAUGUCAUCCUUUGUUCACCCCAUUGAGAUUUGGUUCUAUUUUCUUUCAUACCCCUCUUUUGGAAUCAAGAUAUAGUCGAAAAGUUCCCAAUAAGAUUGUCGAGCAAAAAAUAAAGUCAAAAAGACCAAACAAAAAAAGAGAGAAAAUAUGUCCAAAAAAGAAAGAAAAGAGAUGAGUGUCAAGAAAAAUAGAGUAAGAAAAGUUUCAAAGAAAAAAAGAAAAAAAAUCAGAACCAAAAUAAAGAACAAGUUGUCGGAACUACGUGUGACAUGAUUAUCCUCUCUCGGGAGUGAGCUACGUAGGCUGCCACACUCUAGGCUCAAUCUAACCAAAUAAACAAUUUAGAAUUACUCGAUCAAAAGAAACUGGGCAUGAGUUAAUCCUCAUUGUUUAAGUCAAGUUGUAAAUCCUACCCCACUUCAAGUGUCGUUUGAGCCUCAUGCCAUACUUUCUUUCUAGCCUUAUCUAAAAGCUAAGUUACAACCAUAGAAAGGCCUUCAGAUCAAUCUUUAAGAAUGAUAAGGCUAAGCAUGUAAUGCAUAUGAUAAUACAUUUUUGGAACUACUUGUCUUCCUCAACAUAAGAAAUUAGGAAAGAAAUAAAAAUGUCAGAGUUUUAUUGGUGGAAACCCCUCAUGGGCACCAAAGACGAUGGUAAGUUUGAGAGAUAUAAAAAUGUAAGAGUCUUAUCAAUAAAAACCCUCACGGCAUUGUAAGACGAUUGUAAGUUGAUAGAAAUGAAAAUAAGAGUCUCAUUAGUGAAAAACCCUCAUGGACAACAUAAGGCAAUGGUGAGAUGAGAAAAAAAAUGAGAGAGGCUUGUUAGCAAAAACCCUUCAAGGCACCACUAGCCGAAUGAGGUUUCCGAAUGCAAUUGGACCAAGGAAGAAACUCAGUUUCAGGGUCAUUAACUCAACAAUAAUUGGUGAAAAUUUUGGAUGAAAAGAUUAGGUAGCUUAGUCCAAAAUACAUGUCAUAAUCAUUAGGGUUGACUGUUAUUUUUAGAUAAGUUUUCUUUUCUCUUUUUCAAAUGGGGAUAUUCAUUUUCCUCUCUUUAUUUUUAUUAUAUUUUCUUGAGUCAGUUAUCCAAAUAAAAAUUAUUGUCAUUUUUAUUUUGUCUUUGAGUCAAGUCCAUGUCAAAACAAGUGAGAAAAGAUUUCAAAACUGGCUACCAGCUUCUUCAAUGACGCAGAGCAAGACAAAAAGCUAGCACAUAAAAAGAUACAUGAUUGUGAGCCGAAAUAAGGCAUGUAGAAAGUUUUGUCAACAGACAAUUUUAGGGAACUAUGGGAAUACCAAGGUUCGAAGGGUUUAUCUAAGAAACAUGGCAAAACAGAGAUAUUGUGUUUGUUUCAGAGUCACUUUUAAUAAUCUGAGUUUGGGUUAAUGAUGUAGUAAGUCAAUGACAUAUACUAAUGGUUGGAAGAAAGGUUAAAUAUGAUGGGGGCAAGAGCGAUCAUCGCAAAAGCUAAAGCCACAAACCAUCCACCGUGUUUUAAACUCAUAAGUUUUCUUUGUAUGAAACAAUAAUAUAUGUUACUUUCAAAUCAAGGACUUCAAAGCCUAAACAUCAAAGGUCGUAAUUUCUCACUUCUACAAAUGCAAGAGGCAAUGUUGUUGCACAGGUUUGGUAAUCAAAACCAUGGUAAAACUCAUAAUUCAAUAUCUUUAGGAGACAUAUUUCCUUGGAUAAUUCAAGUGGCAUUUGUAAAGAGACACAUUUUCUUGUCUGGAUAAUUUAAGUGGUAUUUAUAAGGAGACGCAUUUUCUUAUUUGGGUAAUUUAAGCAGCAUAUGUAAGGAGACACAUUUCCUUAUUUGGGUAAUUCAAGCGGUAUUUGUAAGGAGACGCAUUUCCUUUGGUAAUUCAAGUGGCAUUUGUAAGGAGACGCACUUUCUUAUUUGGGUAAUUCAAGUGGCAUUUUUAAGGAGAUGUACUUCCUUAUUUGGGUAAUUUAAGCGGCAUUUGUAAGAAUACGCACUUUCUUGUUUGGGUAAUUCAAGCGGCAUUUGUAAGGAGACGUACUUCCUUGUUUGGCUAACUCAAGUGGCAUUUGUAAGGAAACGCACUUACUUGUUUGGGCAAUUCAAGCGACAUUUGUAAGGAGACGCGCUUCCUUGUUUUGGUAAUUCAAGCGGCAUUGGUAACGAGGCAUACUUUCUUGAUUGGGUAAUUCGAAUUUUACUUGUUAAGUGAUUCACAUCCUAACUUAAGUCUUGACUCCUAGAAGAUGUACUUUUUAGUUGAGUCAUUCCCCUUGACUCUUAGAAGAUGCACUUUCUAGUUGAGUCAUUCCCCUUGACUCCUAGAAGAUGUACUUUCUAGUCGAGUCAUUUCUUUUACUCCUAUAAAAUGUACUUUUUAGUUUAGUAGUUAACCUUUAGGAGACGCACCUCCUUGUCAGGAUAGUUCAAGUUUGGCUUGCUAGGUGACAUACUUCCUAACUUAAGCCUUUACUCCUGGAAGAUGUACUUUAUGGUCGAGUCCUUUCAUGCAACCCUUAGGAGAUCCACCUCCUUAUCUGAGUAAGUCAGGUUUUAUUUAUUAGGUGAUGCACUUUCUAAAUUGAACCUUCUCUCCUAGAAGUCGUAUUCUCUAGUCAAGUCAUUGCACUUAACCCUUAGGAGACGCACUUUCUUGUCAAGUGGCAUACUUCCUAACUUAAACCUUUAUCUCUAGAAGACGCACUUUCUAGUCGAAAUUACUCACUUUAAUUCUUAGGAGACGCACUUCCUAGUCUUGGUCAUUUAAUCUUACUCCUAAGAAAUGCAUUCCUUGGUCAGAGUCUUGAUUUAUCAUUGCAACAUGCAAGUAAUUAUGAUUGGAUUUGACAUUCAUAAAAGUUUUCUGAUGAUAAAUUGGGGAAAAAAAUUAAUUCAUGUUAUUGAAAGUAACAUUUAGUAUCCUCUUGAAAAAUGGAACUUUAUUUUUUGAAAAGUGAGAUUUCUAUCAUAACCUUUGUUUGGGAUAAUUUUCUUUCUAAUUUCAAUGUGAUUUCAGGAGCCCGCCUGAAGAACAGGGCGAAUAAAUAAAAAGUCAAGCAACAAGGUGAAGAAGUUGAAAGUCAAGCAACAAGGUGAAAAAGUUGAAAGUUCAGCAACAAGGUGAAGAAAUUGAAAGUCAAGAGAUCAAAGAAAUAGCAAGUCAAAAGCUCGCCUGGAGAAUAAGGUGAGGAAAUUAAAAGUCAAGCAACAACAUGAUGAAAUUACAAGUCAGGAGCCCGCCUGGAGAAUAGUGUGAUGAGAUAGCAAGUCAAGAGCCAAGGAAAGCUGCAUAGAUAGGAAUUUUGUAGUUUUAUUUAUGUUUUUAACUUGUAAUUUUCAUUUUUUGAUGUAAUGACAGAGCCAUGGAAAGGAACCUCGACAGGGCCUCACUCGACUCUCUAACUCGGUAUGGUCCCGUCUUUCCAACCCUUUGAAAUACAUGUAAAUCAAUCCCCUCAUAAUCUAGGUAAGUAGGAUGUCCAAAAUCAAGAAUCAGUUGCAUUCCUUCCUUUUGUUUCCUACAUUCAAAUAAUGGUCGGGUCAAAAUUUGGUCUCGUUGCUUACUUCUUUGUCUGAAAACACAUUGUGUUUACACCCAAAGAGGGGCAUGAUGUAGACACAUAAUUUUAUCCUCCCUAGAGUAUAUUUUUACCCAUUUACCAUAUCUUACCAUGUGCCCUUAAUCAUGUGAUAAUCUCUCCACUAGAAGACAAAUUAACAAACCCCUAACAAACCCAAUCCCUAAUAUUCUUUUGAUAACAAAAUUAACCUCUCCUCAAUAAAAUUUUGACAACACACAUCACCACUCCACCCCUUACCCCAUCUCACCCCUACCCCACAUACCUCUUCCCUCGUGUUUCUUUCCUCUUGAGUAAUAAUAUACAUACACACUCAUGGGUAUAGAAAAGGGAUGGCAAUAAUACACCAAAAACAUACAGUACAAAAACACGCAUCCUCAUAGUACACACAUCUUACAUAUACACAUACUCACACAGCAAAAAAGGAAAGGGAAAAAACUCACUGGAAUAAGCAUAAACUUACAUACAUAUACUACCGAAAAAACACACGCCCUACCAAAAAAUUGGUGAAGGACUGAGAGAGGAAAAAAUAGUGAAGGGGAAGAGAAAAAUUGAGGUGAUCUAAGAGAGAAUGGAGGGAGUUUUGAGUGAGAAAAUGAGCACAAGAAAGAGAGUUAUGUUGAUAGAGAUAUUUUUCUGGCGAGCUCUCGCCGAAAAUGUUAAUGUUGCUGUCGUCCAUUUCUCUUAUUUUUUUGGUUACUGUCGGAGAUCACCGGAGUUCCGAAGAAAUGAAAAUACUGAACCCCAACUCCAUUCUUACUAAACUAUCAUCGAAAAACACCACCACAAACCACUCGUCACCUUGUCGUUCUUCAUUUGAAAAAUAUACUCAAAAUUGGGUUGACAUUUAGACUUAUUUUUGUUAGACUUGGACAUUGGUGUCUCAGUUUGCCUGAAUUUCUAGUGGGCUACGGUUUCAAAUCAUAUCGUAAGAAAUUUCCGUGGGAAUUGAGAUUCGCAAGUUGGGUUUUGAUAUUCGAGGUUGAGGUUGCUACUGAAAUUUGAUUCGAGGUUCCGACGUGGACUCCAUCUUAUUUAAUCAAAUAAUACAUGAUUAAAAGCAGCAUUGAGGUCCAAUUCAUUCUUCUCUUCCUUUUAAUUCUUAUGUGAUUGUGAACAUGCUUUAAUAUGUGAAUUGUUGGUGAUGUAUGAGUGUUGGAUUGGUGAAUAUUUGAUAUUCAUGGUUGGUGAAUGUUUUCUUGUUGAAUAAUUAAUCAAUUGGGUGAUCGACAAUAUAUUGAGGGACUUGAAAAUUGAUAUAAAGUUGAUAUUAUUGUAUUUUUGAUUCAUUGAUUAUGUUGAACGUAAUAGAAUCAUGAUAAGUCAAAAUGGGUAGGCAAACGGUAGGCACGGGUAGGCAAAUUUAGGAAUGGUGUUUUGUUGAAGGUUUAAAUAUGUGUGUGAAUGGUUCUUUUUACUUUAUUGCACAAGGGUCAAUUGCAUUUAUUUAGCCGGGGAAUACCCCGAGGCCAUUUGUAUUUAUUCAUCAGGGAAUUCCCCAAAGUAUCAUGUACGCAAAGGAGAUUUGUGAUCAAGGCCCGAGGUAUGAGGUAAAAUAUCGGAGCGUAGUUUAGGACUAGUGUAGGUUAGCGUAGGUUAAUUUCAGUAUCUUUUAUUUCCGACUGUAAUAAUUGAAUUGGAUACUAUUUUUUCAGACUUAUUUUGUUUGGUUUGGUUGUUUGUCUAUUUUGUGUGUUUUAUGUGGUUUACUCACUUUAUAGUGUCAUACUAGUCAAUAUACUCUAUGAAGCGACCUUGGUCGAACUACGGGAUCGAGGGAUGCUUAACACCUUCCCCUCAGUCAACAAAAUUCCUUAACCAAAAUCUCUGUUCGUGGAUCAAUUUUAGAGUCAAACUGUUUUGAAAAAGGAUUCCAAAAGGUGACUUGGCAUUCCCGAUUUAUGACAAGUGGCGACUAUGAGCUAAUUGUAAAAUGAAUCCUUUUAGAAACAACUUUACUUUUUGUCACUUAAUAAUAAAACUCUUUUCAAACUUAAAAUCUAAUCUUUUUGGUUAAAAAGGGGGUAAGACAAGGAAUCGGUUCAGGUCUCGGAUCGAGAGUUAUGGUCGGGUGUAACACCCCAAAUUUUUUAUCCUUGAAAAUUCCUUGACCUUUGAUCUCACUGCCUAGACUACAACUCUCCCUACGAGUUAUAGGGUGUCAUUACAGGUAGUAUAGUCCCUAAUCGUAAGCCAAUCAGUGUACUAUCCUAAUAUUUUAGAUGUCACUACGACUAUACUUAAUAAGUCAUAUAGACUCAUUAUGAGUCAUAAUGUGACUUCUAUAAGGUAACCAAUGUAUGGCCUUGGUGGUUCUGUCUUGACUAUGACUUGGACACUACGAGUCGUAAGGUUAUUUGACGAGUAAUAUGACUCAGUUAUAACCAAACCAGUGUGGAUACCCAUGGGUACUGUCCAGUCUACGACUGGAUCUCACGAGUCGUAGAGUGACCCUACGAGUCGUUAAGGUCACCCGUAACGGCUGGCGAUGAUUUUUAGCUUUAAUUAGAAGGGGCACUUUGGUUAUUUCCCUCCUUACCCCCUUAGACCCCACGCCUAUAAAACACUAAGGAUGGGUUAUUUUCAGUACUUUAACAUAUCAAAUACACUCUUCACUCUCUUAAAUUCCCUAUUCAAGUUAAGGCAAGGGUUUCAAGGGAAGUGGUCAUCUAGGGUUCUAAGGGUGGUUUCUUUCUCAAUUUUCUUGGUAAUUAAGAUAUGUAUCUCUCUCCUUACACUUGGAUUUUCUUAAUUGCAUGAAAUUAAUUUACUAUUCACAUGGUUUUAAUAUUGGAUUUUGAAUUAUGGGUUGAGGGUUUUGGAUACAAAUUGUUUGAAUGUUCUUCUCAUGAUUACUGUUAAUUUAUUAUACAUUGAAUAGUUGGUUUAUGCACUCAUUGGGGUGCAUGGGAAUGGUGAAUGAAUUUAGGGGUACAAGGAUUCCCUAAACUUGUGAACAAUAUAAUUAAGGGUACAAGAAUUCCCUAAAUAAUUGGAUUUUGGUAUUGAAAUUGAUAAGAACCCCAACCCACUUGCAUACUUAACUUUGGAAUGUGAAUUAUCAAUUGGUUUGACUUAUUUCUUUAAAACUAAUGCAUUGUAUAAAUGGCAAAAUAGUUAAGGAUGACUUUGAAAACCUGUAGGGUACAAGGAUUCCCCCAAGCAGAUAAUAAUGGUAUUGAAAACCUUAUGGGGUACAAGGAAUCCCCCAAGUUGAUUUUUAAUAAUGGAGUCUAGGUACAAGGAUUCCCCAAAGUAUUGGCUUAGUUAUAUUGCUUGCAAGCUAUUGUCGGUAUGACGAUACCACUUAAUGAUGACUUAAUUAUUGACUUCUUAAUGUAAUGGUUGGGUUAUAUGUUAAAUGUUUUAAUUGGGAUUAAUGGGGGUUGUGUUAGCUAUUCAUGAAGGUGUAAGUCCCGAAGGACUGCUACUGAAAACUUAUGUUGCCGACAUGAGGUUUGGGUUAUGUCACAUACUCUAUAUAUAUAUUUGUAUCAUGGAUGAAAAAGGUACAAAGAUUCUCCAGCCUCCUAUGAUAUCCUCAACUCGUGCUGCUAAUACGCAUUUGGGCUCGAUCAAGGAGAGACACUGGACCCGUAUAGCCUGUGGGAAGUUUUAAGACGGUCAAGCUAUACAAUCCAUGCUAAUAUUUUCAAAUUGCAUGCUAACCCUUGUUACCUGCCCUGUUACAUUAUAUAUAUGUAUAUGCAUAUGCUUGUGUGUAUUUGGAUUUUUGGACUGAUUUAGGAUUAUUCAUCAUGGCAUUACUUUAUCCCUUAUCUCUGAGUUAUAUGCUAGCGAUCAACUCAUGAAAUGUCUUCAGAUGUUGUAUUCCCAUGAGAUGCAGGCACAAUAAAUACUUAUACUUUUCCUGCGGAGUGACUAGGUGAUCGUGGGAUAGCUCGUGAGUCAGAUUAAAGUGUUGAGCUUCCAUAUUUUGAAAGACCUCAUUUUAUAUUUUAUUUUACUAUUGUCAUAAACUAUUCUAUUUGCUCUUUUUCGCUACCAUUAGGGGCAUGUCCCAACUUAGAUUGUCUUUGGUUUUGAUAGAGGCUUUGUGGAUAUUACUGUGGACUUGGGUAUUGGUUAUUGGUUCUUUUGGCAUAUCAUAAAUGUCUUUGAAUUCACCAUUUUGUUUUGUUAUAUGUUCAGAAUUCAGUCUCUACAAGUGUGUAUGCUCUAUUGAUUAGGCUAAAAGGGAGGUCUUCAGUCUAUGGUGGACUUGAGAUACCCGUCAUGGCCAGGUACUAGUUAGGGUGGUGACAAAGUUGGUAUCAAAGCCUAGGUUCAUGGUCAAUUGGGUGUCCACAAAUCCGUGUCAAGUAAAGUCUCUUCCAUGGGUGUGUAGCACGCCACACUUAUGAGGGAGAGGCUAUGAGACAUUUUGGAGUAUUUCCCUUUCUUAUUAUUUUAUUUUUAGGAUAUAGAGUCUAAGAUCUUGAAUCUCCUCUAAUUCCCAUUUGUUCUCAUUUCAGAUCAUGUCUCCCAGACGAUUUGAGGCUAGUUAAAACUCCUUUGUCCCGCCUAAGAAAAAUGUGGAUGUAACUCGUCCUACUCAUAGGGUACAAACCUAGUCUAGGUUCGCUUCUUCUAAUUGCUCCUAUGGAGUUCUAUCGAUCCCCACUGAUCCUUCUCCAGAGGGCGACACCCAUGCUCAGUAACCCCAAGAAAAUAUUACUAAUGUGGAAUUCCAUCAAUCUAUUCAUCUAUUUUCCCAGUUGGUGACCUCUCAAUCACGUCAGUUGGGUUCUGUUGGUACUGUUAUGAGUUAUUCUUAGGUUACUCAAGUCAAAUAGUUUAUGAGGCUCAAUCCUUAAACCUUUACUGGCUCUAAAGUUGAGGAGGAUCCUCAAGGAUUCAUAGAUGAAAUAGAGAAGAUCUUCUGAGCUAUGUGUGCUUCUGAUGUAGAGGGUGUGGAAUUUGCUACUUAUUCGUUGAAAAAUAUAGUGUAUCAAUGGUAUAAAGAGUGGGAGCAGCUUAGAGGUGAUGAUGUUGAUUUUGCUUUUUGGGAUGACUUUAUGGAAGCUUUUUUGGAUCUAUUAUUUCCUUAAGGGUGAGAGAGGUAAAAUUUGAGAAGUUUGUGAAUUUGAAGUAGGACAAAAUGAUUAUAAAGGAAUAUAUCUUGAAGUUUCAUCAGUUGUCACGUUAUGCUCCUGAGCUAGUAUCUAGCAUAAGGUCUAGAAUGAGGAAAUUUGUUUUUGGGUUGUCCCGUGAUUUGACUUUGGAGAGCAAGGUCGCUUUGUUGAACAAGGACAUAGAUAUCUUUAGACUUGUGGUGUAUAUGCAACAAGUUGAAGAAAAAAAAGAUAAAACAAAACAAAAUAGGGAAGAGGUAGAGUAAGAAGUUUUGGUAUUCGGAUCAGGGUGGAGGUCAGCUGCAGAGUGGUAGAGAUGGCGAAAAAUGGUCUAAUAAGAAGUGGGGAAAUUCUGGUUUAUAUUCGACGACUAGUGCUCCUUAUCCAAAGUCAUUCCGUGAUCAUUAUUUUUAGAGUGGUGAUGGUCCUAAGGCACAUGAUGCCUAAUCUCAAGCUAAUGGGGUCCAGUCAGCUCCGUCCUAUCCUCCUUGUCGAUUUCGUAGUCAGUUGUAUCAUGGUUUAUAUAGUGAGGGGAGGAACCGAUGUUUCAAUUAUGGUUAACCUAGAAAUAUAGAGAGAGAAAUUAUCCCGUAGGUAAGGUUUUUUUGGGAGCCAAUAAGGUUCAUGCGGCUACUUUUUCAACUCCAGCAACAAAGGGUGCCACUUCUAGUGACUACAUUGGCCGAAACUGUCUGUAUGCUCUUACCACCCAUCAGGAGUCGAAGGCAUUUCCUAAUGUCAUCACUGGUAUGUGACAACUCUUUUCCCAUGAUGUGUACUAUUUACUCGAUUUAGAGUCCACUCUUACUUAUAUGACCCUAUAUGUGGUUGUUCAUUUUUGUUUUGGUCCCAAGUGUAUUUCUGAACCCUUUUCUGUGUCUACCCCGGUUGGUGACUCUAUCAUGGCUAGAAGAGUCUAUAAGGGUUCUGUGGUAUCUAUCUGUGAUAGGGACACAUUGGUGGAUUUGAUAGAGUUAGACAUGUUAGAUUUUGAUGUUAUUUUAGGGAUGGAUUAGCUCCGUUUUUGUUAUGUGUCUCUUGAUUGUAGGACCCAAAGUGUCAGUUUCCAAUUCCCAGAUGAAUCGACGAUUGAGUAGGAGGGGAGUUUCCUAGUGCCUAAGAAAAGGUUCGUUCUUAUCUAAGAUCCUGGAAAUUGAUUUCCAAAGAAUUUCUGUGUGACCUGGUUAGGGUUAAAGAUUCUAAUUAUGAGGGUCCUUCCUUGUCAUAUGUCCUUGCGAUCUGCGAGUUUCCUGAAAUGUUUCCUAAUGAUCUUUUGGUGUCUCUCCCAACAAGGAAAUUGAGUUUGGGAUUGAUCUUUUCUUGGACACUCAUCUUAUCUCUGUCCCUCCCUAUAGAAUAGCUCCAACUGAGUUUAUGAGCUUAAGGAUCAGUUUAAAGAUCUCUUUGAUAAGGGUUUUAUCCACUCUAGUGUAUCUCCAAUGGGUGUUCCUAUUCGUUUUGUGCGUAAUAAGAAUAGUUCUCUUCAGAUGUGUAUAGAAUGCCGCCAGUAGAAUAAGAUGUCGAUAAAGAAUAAGUAUUCUCUCCUUAGGAUUGAUGACCUGUUUGACCAGCUUUAGGGUGCUAAGUACUUCUCUAAGAUUGAUCUUUUGUCUAGGUACCAUUAGCUGAAGAUUAGGAAUGUUGAUAUCCCUAAGACUGUUUUUCGAACUCGCUAUGGUCAUUUUAGGUUUUGGUGAUAUCUUUUGGUUUGACUAUGCCCUGGACGCAUUUAUGGAUCUUAUGAAGUAGAUAUUUUGUUAGUUCUUGGAUUUGUUUAUGAUACUAUUUAUAGAUAAUAUUUUGGUGUAUUCAAAGAGUGAGGUGGAUCAUGCCGAUCACCUUCGUAUAGUGUUGCAGAACCUUAAGGAUCAACUUUUGUAUGCUAAAUUUUCCAAGUAUGAGUUUUGGUUGAAUUCUGUUACUUUUCUUGGUCAUGUUGUUUCUAGUGAAAGGAACAUGGUGGAUCCACAGAAAGUUAUGGUAGUUAAGAAGUGGACUCGACCCACGACUCCAAUCAACAUUCGGAGCUUCUUGGGAUUUGGCCUAAUAUUAUAAGAGGUUUAUGGAGAGUUUCUCUUUGAUUACUGCUCCGUUGACUAGACUGAAUCAGAAGAAGGUGAAGUUCAUGUGGUUCGACGCUUGUGAGGAUAGUUUUGAGAAGUUGAAAGAUAAAUUGACUUCUGCUCCGAUUUUGACCCUGACCGAGGGUACUGAUGGCUUUGUUGUUUAUUGUGAUACACCCUGUGUGGGACUCGAUUGUGUGUUAAUGCAGCAUGUAAGGUUAUGGUGUAUGCUUCUAUCAUGACCCGAGACUACCCCCUAGUCGUAACACGGUGCUUAGAACCACAAGUGAUCCCAAGCUAAUCCAUGAACUGACAUAUUGUUAAGAAACUGAUUUAAAAUAUAUUAAAUAACUGGUUCUUCUUUGCGGAAAUAUAAUCAUGACAAAAUCUGAGAAAAAUAAUACUGAUACAACUUAUAAUUUGAUAAAUCUGAAGAGGGAAUUGAAAUUACAUGACUGACUCUGACUGACAUCUAUGAAGCCUCUACUAUACUGACUAUACAUAGUUGGGACAUACCUCCAGCUACUACUAAUCAAUACAUGUGAAUAAUACUAUAAAGUACAUGAAUAACAUCUAACUGGAGUGCCCAAAAUAGGAGAACUCAUCACCUACUGACUGGAAACUACAACUGUUUGUGUUGUCUGGGCUACAAAUGGUACCUACAUUAUGAAAUAAUGUAGCCACACAGACGUAUAUGUAGAUCAGUAAUUCUGGAAUGUACUGAGUAAGCGAGGGUGAGUGUAAUAAGUAAAACUGAUUAUGUAUGAAAUCUUAAAGCAUGCAUGUUAAGUGUAAGUAGACUCACCAAUAGGCUGGAAUAAACUAAAAGAUAAAAACAUCUUAAAACUUGAGUAACAAACAUAAUCUGGUAAGAUGGUGAAUCACUACACUUAGUUUCUUAAAACUCGUUACUUUUGUAGAAUAAGUACAACUAAAGUUGGGAUAUGGUAAAACAUGGAUAUUGUAUGAAUACUAGGUCUGAAACUACGUGAUGAAAACUGACAUAAAUCAAGGAUCUAAAUAUAUAAUUAUACUGAGCACGAAUGCAUAAACAUACAAAACCAAACGUAACAUAUACUAGGCUUAUCUGAUUAACUGAAUGACUAAUAGCUGAAUACUGGUCAUGUAAGACUGGAUUUUACUUAGUCGGAAUAACUAGAUUGAAACUGUGGAGUACUAUGCAUAUGAGAUAAGGAAUAACUGAAAAACAUGAGAUAAUUGAACAUAAAUGCAUGAAAACUGUAUUAUCUAAGAAUGCAAGACCAAGCAUAAGCAUAUUUUUGAAAUAAUAUGUAAAUUGAAAAACUAAAAUUUGAUAACAGAAUAACUGAGAAUCUGUAUAUUUUGGUUAAGAAAACAUGAACUGAAACUACACUGAAUACUGUACUGACACUGUGGGAGGAUCAUCUAACCGACAUACCCCAAUCUAAGCUAAUCGGGUUUCAACCUGUAACCCUAGUUGGAAGGGUGUCUGUACCAUACCACAAGUACUAAUAAUGGUUGUGUGGAUCCACUAAACUAAUGUCCCAAAGGACCAGGGUGUCAAGCCUAAACUGAUGGGUGACCCCUAAAAGGUAGUCAAGCCUAAACUAGUGUGUGACUCCUUAUAUCCUACGCUGAAUAUGUAGUUCUGGAAUAUAGGGAUUGCUACUAACUACUUUGCCUAACUGACAAGGAAGACACCAUCCCUGCAUCAACUCGGUAUUAAAUCCUACUCCCAACUAAACUGACUCGAAAUAUUGAACCGGUCUAAGUUUAACCGAUUAUGAUAACUGAUUGAACUAAUAAUGCUCAUAACAUGUCUGAAACCAUUCUGAAAAUACCAAAAGUAAGUAAACAACUAAAUUUUAGGUAUUCAAAACCCCCAGGACUCGAUGACACAUGAAAGCAUUUGAAACAAUGAUAAGUAAGCAUUAUUCCAAACUCAUUACUUAGGCAUUUCAUCAAACACUUGAGAUAAUGAAUUUAAGCAUGGGAAAACAAUAGGAUAACAUGGCUAAAUUCAUAAUUUGGGAUUUAUCCUGAAAUCAAUGGAACGUGAAAUGGGAAUUUCAAUACUCAAACCAUAAAUGACUCAUUCUAAUUGAAAACACUUGUAACCAUGACUUGAGAAUAUAACAUGAAAUUCGCUUGACUUAACAUGGGAGAUUGAAACUUGAAGCAUAGAUUAACCGAACUUUUCAUAGAAUCAUUUUUGAACAUGAAUUAAGUCAAAUUGCUAAGGAGAAACAUGAUUAAAUGCAUCUUGAACAAUUACGACUUCAUAAUAAUGAAAAAAAACUCAUACUUUAAAUCUAGAAAGGUUUUUGGGCUCUAUGGGUGAAAGGGGACCCAUGAAUGAAUUCCCACAUACCUUAAUGCUUUAAUCUUGAAAGAGAAUUAACUUUUCUUCAACGUUCUUGGAUUGGAAUCUUGAAUUCCUUGAUUUCUUGUGAAAAGCACUUGAAUCUUAUUCUUGGGAAUGGAAUAGGACUUUUGAGUUACUUACUAAUUACUUAGGGUUAAGAAAGGGGAUUUUAUGUAUUUAAUACUUUAUAAAAAUGAUUUGAAGUGAUUAAGGAUGGUUUAUGGGAGUGAAAUGACUUCAACACCCUUGAUUUAGGUCAAAAUAGAGUAUUUUUGACACUUGGCAAGGACCUAGGCGACGCCCAGUCAAUCGCCCAAGCCAAGGUUGGUGACGCCUAGCCAAUCGCACACCCAUUCCAGUAGCCUUAGGUGAUUGUUAGGAAACGCACACCCCUUUCCAUGACCAUAACUUUUCGCUCGGUAUUGGAUUAAGGAAAAAUUGGUAUUGUUGGAAAGCUAAUUCAAUUGUCUACAAUUUUGUGGUUCUUAAGCUGAAAAAUUCCACAUAUAUCAAAAUUUAUACACGUUAAAAGUAGACCCUUGUAGAAUCAAAUACCAAACUUUGGACAAAUAAAUGCUCUUAGCUCAACUUUGUUCCAAGAGAUUCUUAUGAAAUAUUUUUCAUGUAGAAAGUACUUCACACACUAUGAUAAAUAUCAUGACAAUUGUAUUGACAUACAAAUAAUGGCAUUAAAGUUUUACACACAUAGCACCAACAGCUCAAUUUCAAGCUAAAAAAUACGGGGUGAUAGAGCUUUUAUGCAGCUUAAGGUGCAUGAUAAGAAUUAUCCGACUCAUUAUUUGAAGUUAUUAGUUGUGGUUUUCUCCAUAAAUAUUUGGUAUCACUAUUUUUAUGGAGUUCAUGUUGACAUAUUUUCUGAUUAUAAGAGCCUACGUGUUCACCCAGAAGGAGUUAAAAUUCAGGCAGAGGUGAUGGCUUGAGUUGCUUAUCUAUGGGGAUUCUAUCUCAUACGGAAGAGGAGAAACAUGGAUUAGUGAAGGAUAUUCACUGUUUAGCUAACCUUAGAGUUUGUUUUUUAAAUUUAAAAGAUGGAGGUGUAGUUGCUCAAGAGGUGUGAGGUCAUCUCUUGGUGCUAAGGUAAAAGAUAAGAAGGUUUUGGAUUCAAUCUUGAUGUGGAUUAAAUAUGAUGUGGGCCAGCAAAAAGUAAUGGUUUUUUAGAUUGGUGGUGAUGGUAUCUUAAGAUACCAAGGUAGGUUGUGUGUUCCUGAUGUUGAUGGGAUAUGAGAGAGGCUCUUGGCUAAAGCUCAUGAGUCAUGGUAUACGGUUUAUCCUGGUUCAACAAAGAUAUAUCAUAACUUGAAAGAGAUUUAUUGGUGAAAUAACAUAAAGUGGAAUGUGGCAAAUGUUAUGGCUAAGUGUGUGGUGUGUUAACAAGUGAAGGCAGGACACUUGAGGCCUGGCGGGUUGUCUCAAGAGAUUGAGUUACCCAUGUGGAAGUGGAAAGUGAUUAAUAUGGAUUUUUUUAAUGAUCUUCCAUGAUCUCGCCAUCAGUUUGAUUUGAUUUGGGUCAUGGUGGAUAGGAUGACUAAGUCCGCUCACUUUCUUCCAGUAAGGACUAAUUAUUCUGCUGAGGACUAUGCGAAGUUGUUUAUCCAAGAGAUCAUGAAUUUGCAUAGUGCGCCUAUUUCUGUUAUUUGUUAUCGUGGUACUCAGUUCUCAUCACAUUUUUGGCAAUCGUUUUAGAGAGGUUUGGGCACUAAGGUAAACCUUAGUACCGGUUUCCACCCAUAUAUGGAUGGACAAGCGGAAAGGACCAUUAUAACAUUGGAAAAUAUGUUUUGGGCUUGUGUAAUUGACUUUGUUGGCAGUUGGAUUGAUCAUUUGCCUCUCAUCAAGUUCACGUAUAAUAAUAGCUAUCACUCUAGCAUUAGAAUGGUCCCUUUUGAGGCUUUGUAUGGCAGGAGAUAUCGUUCGCCUAUUAGGUGGUUCAAAGUUGGUGAGACAAGGUUAUUUGGUCCUGAUUUGGUUCAUCAAGCUAUGGAGAAAGUGAAGGUAAUUUGGAAAAGGCUUAAGACUUCUCAAAGUUGCCAAAAGUCCUAUGCGGACGUGAGGCGAAGGGAGUUAGAAAUUAAAGUUGGCAAUUGGGUAUUUUUGAAGGUGUCUCUCAUUAAAAGGGUGAUGCAGUUUUGAAAUAAAGAAAAGCUCAAUCCUCGUUAUGUGGGCUUGUAUUUGUUUUUGAAGAGAGUGGGCAAUAUGGCCUAUGAAUUAGAAUUGCCUUCUUGUUUGGGUUUCAUUUAUCCGGUAUUCCAUGUUUCAAUGUUGAGAAAGUGUGUAGGUGAUCCGUCUUUGACUGUUCCUCUUGAGAGUGUAGGUAUUAUGGAUUCUUUAUCCUACGAGGAAGUCUCGAUUGAGAUUUUGGAUCAUCAAGUCCAUUGGUUGCAGACUAAGGAUGUGGCUUCGGUGAAGGUUCUAUGGAGGAACCAAAAGGUUGAAGAAGCUACUUGGGAAGUCAAGGAGGACAUGAAGUCCAAAUAUUCAUUCUUGUUUCCCGCUUUAGAUAAUCAUGCUAGAGGUAUGUGUAUUCUCUGACAUCUUUGUUUUCGUCUUUGUUAAAGGUAAGUGUAGGUGUGUUUCUGUGUUAAAUUAUGCCAAAAGAUACCUUGACAUAUCAUUUGAGGAUGAAUGAUCCUAAGGGGAGGAGAAUGUAAUACCUCGAUUUUUGGUCCUUACAAAUUCCUUGAUCUUUGAGCUCACUGUCCAAACUACGACUCUCCCUACGAGUCGUAGGGUGUCAUUGCAGGUAGUAUUGCCCCUAUCAUAAGCCAAUUGGUAUACCAUCCCAAUGUUUCUGAUGUCACUACGACUAGACUCAACGAGUUAUAUAGACUCAUUACGAGUCAUAAUGUGCCUUCCGUAAGGUAACCAGUGUAUGACCUUGGUCGUUCUGUCUUGACUACGACUUGGACCCUAUGCGUCGUAGGGUCACUUGAUGAGUCAUACAACUCAGUCAUAGUCGGAUAGUAUGGGUUCCUGUGGGUACUGUCCAGCCUACAACUGGAGCUCACGAGUUUUAAGGUCACCCGUAACGACUGGCGAUGAUUUUCAGCUUUAUUUAGAAGGGGCACUUUGAUCAUUUUCCUUCUUACCUCCUUAGACCUCACGUCCAUAAAAUACUAAGGAGGGUUAUUUUUAACACUUUAACAUAUCAAAUACUCUCUUUACUUUCUCAAAUUCCCCAUUCAAGUCAAGGCUAGGGUUUUAAGGGAAGUGGUCAUCUAGGGUUCAAAGGGUAGUUUCUUCCUUAAUUUUCUUGGUGAUUAAGGCAUCUAUCUCUCUCAUUACACUUGAAUUUUCUUAAUUUCAUGAAAUUGAUUUAUUAUUCACAUGAUUUUGAUGUUGGAUUUUGAAUUAUGGGUUGAGGGUUUUGGAUACAAAUUGUUUGAGUGUUUUUUCCAUGAUUACUAUUAAUUUAUUAUGCAUUGAAUAGUUGAUUUGUACACUCAUUGGGGUGCAUGGAAAUGGUGAAUGAAUUUAGGGGUGCAAGGAUUCCCCAAACUUGCGAAUAAUGUAAUUAGGGGUACAAAGAUUUCCCAAAUAAUAGAAUUUUGGUAUUGAAAUUGAUAAGAACCCCAAUCCACUUACAUACUUGGUUUUGGAAUGUAAAUUAUCAAUUGUCUUGGCGUAUUUCUUUAAAACUAAUGUAUUGCAUAAAUGGUAAAAUAGUAAAGGAUGACUUUGAAAACCUUGUGGGGUACAAGGAUUUCCCCCAAGCGGAUAAUAAUGGUCUUGAAAAUCUUUUGGGGUACAAGGAAUCCCCCAAGUUAAUUUUUAAUAAUAGAGUCUGGGGUACUAGGAUUCCCCAAAGUGUUGGCUUAAUGACAUUGCUUGCUAGCUAUAGUUGGGAUGAUGAUACCACUUAAUGAUUGACUCCUUAAUGCAAUGGUUGGGCUAUAUGUUAAAUGUUUUAAUUGGGUUUAAUGGGGGUUGUGUUAGCUAGUCGUGAAGGUGUGAGACCCGAAAGACUCAUAUUUGUCGACAUAAGGGUUGGGUCUUGAUGAUCGUGUGCUUAUGUCACAUACACAGACACACUCUCUUUCUAUAAAUAUAUAUAUAUAUGUAUAUAUAUAUAUAUAUAUUAAAAGUGUGAAGACCCUUAGAAAAGUGAUUUAAAUUUUUUGCCCUUCAUUAAAACACCAUGUAAUAGACAAAAUCGUCUUCUCACUAUUUUUUAAUAUUUAAAACAUAAAAUUUAUUUAAAUUUAAUCGCUAGACAUUUACUUAAUUGAAUUAAGUUAUAUACUUAAAUUUAGGACUUUAGAAAAAAAAAACAAAAAAAAAAAAGCAUACAUCUAAAAGAAAAGGGAGCAAAAAAUUUGUAAGAAAUUACCUUAUUCCUUUGUACCUCUAAUAUAAUCAUUAGACCUUUAUUUAAUUGAAUUAAAUUAUAUGCUUAAAUUUAGAACUUAAAAAAAACAAAAAAUAAAAUUAAAUACUAACUAAAUAAUUUAGUUGUUGGGAAUAUACUAGGUUCGUUGUUGUUGUUGUAUAAAUAAUUUACUUAGCAAAAAGAAAUAUCAUCAUAAAUAAUUUAUUAUCAUAAUUAAUUUUUACUUUUUCAAAAAAAUAAAAAAAAUGCCAUAUUUAAGUAACCUUUUUUAAAGAAAAAAGAUGUUCGACUUCUAUAAAUUGAAUAAUCUUCCUUCUACAACACGUAAUAGAACAACUAAUUAUUUUUAUAUGUUUGUAAGUAACUUUGUUAUUGAGUUUCUAACUUAAUUUUUUUAUUUAAUAUUCAAAUUUCAGAUUUCUUUUUUCUAUUGUGCGGGGGUUAUUGAUCAAGAAUAACAAAACAACUUUUUAUAUUUGUAAGUAACUUUCGUUAUUGAAUCUCUGACGUAAAUCGUGAUUUUCGAUUUCAGGUUUUCUUUUUCAUUACACUGAAUUUCUUGAUGAUUUUUUUUUUAUUAUGCUGGUGUUACUGAUCAAAAAUAAGAAAACAUCUUGUUGUGUUUGUAAGUAACUUCCGUUAUUGAAUCUUUGACGUAACUUCGUGGUUUUCGAUUUCUGAUUUUCUUUUUCAUUACAUUAAAUUUCUCGAUCAUGAAUAAUGAAUGUUCUUUUAUGUUUGUAACUAUAGCCUCGAUCGAGAUUUAUUUCACACGCCAAUCUAAAACUCAUAAUAUUGUUAAAGGGAAAAGAAUUAUUGUAUAUUUUAAGUACAAAAUAUUGUGAUAAGUAAAAGGGAGCGAAUACUUUUUUUAUGAAUUGACACAAUAUACACAUGCAACACACAUACUUUAGAGGCUUAUUAUUUUUAGAUAUUUUCUUUCGAAUCGUUGAAGAUGAAGAAUUUUGUAAGAUACAAAAUAAACUUUUCUUUAUUUUCUUGGCAUAGACAAAAUAAAAAAUUUUACUGGGCACUUCAAUAAACUUAACGAAUUAUAAUUUUUGUUUUUUUAUCUGAUAUUUUUUCAAAUAUUUAUUGUAUUUUCUAUGCAGAUUUGUUGCCUAUCUUUUUCUGUAAAAGAAUUGCUUUUGUUUUAGGAAACAUAUAUGAAGAAAAGGUAACGGUACAAUUUAGUUGACUUGGUUAACUCCCUGAAGAAGUUUUUAAUUUAAUUUUCUUGAUAUUGGAUGAAUGAAAAAUACCAACUUAAUAAACUCUAGACUAAUUUUAAUUGUCUUUACAUUCCCAUAGAAAAUUUCUGAACUGUUUGCAUGGAAUCCAAAGGUUAAAUGUCGCACUUUUAGGAUAAAAUCAAGUCAAAUUGCACAACAUUAUUGUCAAUCACUAAUCGGUCUUCUUAGUGAAGACACCAAGGCACAAAACAUAAUCACAUCGUACUUCACAAAGGAUAGAGAAUUGAAUCACAUGAGUUCACAUUAGAGCGGACACUCCAAACCUUUACAAAUUUUUAAACAAUGAAAAGUACAAUUUUUGACUAAAUUCUGAUGUAAAAUCUAAACACUACUUGUAUUGCAUGUUAAAAUAUCUUUAAUCCUCAGCUAUUACGCAUGUACUUGCUGAAACUAAAAUAAAACCCGACUAGUUUUUCAAAUUUUUCAAUGAAACUAUAAAUCAAAAGUAUACAGUUAACUUACAAAUUUGAUAUACACAUGAGUACAAAAUUAUUUUAAAAAUAAAAUUUACUGACAAAUAUAAGGGAAUCUCAAUGUAUUCCAUAUUCUCACUAUCUUAUUUGUAUUUUAGAUAUUACAAAUGCUAUAUAAUUAAUUAAAUAAAUUAUCUAUCUUUACAUGUUCAAAAUUCACUUAUAUUAUUUAAACAAAUAUCAUUUAGUGUAGCAUUUAAACUCAUUAAAGUGAGAUACACGCGUGAAGCGCAUACACCUAAACUAGUGUGUAUAUAUAUAUAUAUGCAUAUGCUUGUGUGCAUUUAAAUUUUUUGGCUGAUUUAAGAUUAUUAAUCAUUGCAUUACGUUAUCCAUUAUUCCUGAGUUACAUGCUAGCGCUCAACCCGCUAACUGUCUUCGAACGAUGUAUCCUCACGCAAUGCAAGCACUGAAAAUACUUCUAUUUUUCCUGUGCGGUGACUAGGUGAUCGUGGAAUAGCUCGUGAAUCCGAUUGAAGUGGUGAGAUUCCAUACUUCGAAAACCUCAUUUAAUGUUUUGUUUUCCUAUUGUCAUAGACUAUUCUUUUGGCUUUUUUUUGGCUAUCAUCGGGGGCAUGACCAGACUUAGAUUGUCUUUGAUUUUGAUAGAGGCUUUGUGGAUAUUACUUUGGACUUGGGUAUUGGUUAUAGGUUCUUUUGGCAUAUUAUAGAUGUCUUUGAAUUUACCUUUUCUAUUUUGUUAUACGUUUGAAAUUCAGUAUCUAUUAGUUUGUAUGCUUUGUUGAUAAGGCCAAGGGGAUAGUCUCCGGUCCACGACAUUCUUGGAGAUAUCCAUCACGACUAGGCCCUGGUUUGGAUCGUGAUAUUGGGUCUUGAGUCGGGAACCGGGAUCGGGUCUCGAAUCGAGUAUUGGUUAGGUCUCAGGUUGGGUGUUGGGGUCAAUUUUUGAGUUGGGUAUCAAAGUCGAGUCUUGGGGUCAAUUCUCGGGGUUGAUUAUUGGCUAUCGGGUUCGGGUCCUCGUUCGAUUGUUGGGUUCGAUUAUCGAGUUUGGAUUUUGGGUCGGAUCUCAGAUCGGGGGUAGAAAUUGGAUCCUUAUUUAGAUGUCAGAGUCUGGUCCUGAAUCAGCCACCUGGAUGGAUUUUCGGGUCAGAAAUAAUUUUUCGGAAAAGUAAUUUUUUACUUUCUAGCUAAAUACUAAAAUAUGUAUUUUGAAAAAUAAUUUUCAUCCACCAAACAAAAACUAGAAAAUAUUUUUUGAAAAAUAUUUUUCACUCAAUAACCAAAUAUGAGAAAAUAAGAAAAAAUCAACUUAUUUUUUGAAAAAAAUAUUUUUCAUGAAGAAUAUUUUUCCUUCAUACCAAACAUACCCUAAGCCAAAAUUAUUCUUGUAUUAUUAUUCAUUUAAAAGAAACAAUGAUCAUAUCUUGACCCAGAAACAAGAUUGAAGUAGAUUUUAGAAUCUGGAAACUAGUCUUCCAAAAACUAAACAAAUUUGGCAAUUUUUUCCCCCAAAAAGUGCUUUCAAAAGCUACCGUCAAUUGGUUCCAUAAUGUGUAUUAAUACUUUGUUUGACUAAUAUUUUAAAACAUAGAAAGUGAUUGGUUUAGAAAUUUAACAUAUUGCUAAAUACAAACUUUUACUCCCCAAAGAUAUUUUUAUCAAUAUAUUAUAUAUUUAUAUUAUUUUUAUUUCUACUAUAUAGAAAUGUGAAGAAGGGACGACCAAGGACACUAGCAAAUAUCCCACAUCCCUAGCUCUAGAAUAAUUCAUAUUUCUCAUACUCAGUCCACACAAACAAUCGGUAUACUAUUUCACUUUUCUCCAUAUAUCUAGAAGAAUCAACAUUUGUUGAAGUCAUCCUUGCUAUCAUUCUUCCUCAUGUUGGUGUUUUCCUCUGUUAUGGCUACAAUGUAAGAUUCUUUUUCCUAAUUAAACAAUAAAAAAUUUCUAGUUAUUAGUUCAAGGGCGUGGUUCAGUUUCGUGUUAUUUGCGGCGGUGUCUGUGGUAUCAACGUCGUUGUUUGUGAUUAGUCUGUGUUGGAGCUGUAAUUCUUUUGAUCAAUUAAAGCCAAUGAGGUUGGUGAUAGGGAAAUUAGGGUUUUGGGGUUUGGAGAUUGGGUUGUUCUAUGGAGUGCAUUAUGUGUAUACAAAGCGAGAGGUUUUGCAGUUCCCGAUUAUCCAGGUAUAAAAAUGGAUUCUUUAUUACAAGUUUAUUAUGUUAUUUCAUAAUACAAAGACUUUUAUAUAGUAUGUGUCAUGAAUUUUGAUCUUCAAUAUGCUUCAAACAGUUUUAGUAUUUUAAUCUCAAAUCAAGUGUAGUGAAUUUGCUAUGUAAUUAACAAGUUGACCACUCAAUUCGAUAAUAAUUUACUCCCAAUCCAACAAUAAUUUGAUUCAAGUUCGUAGAAACACAAAAGGUCAAGUCAGUAAUUGAAUGGAAUAUAACAACUAACAGUAACCAGGAAUGUUGAUUUAAAUCAAAAUGGUACAGCGUCAACUCCCAGUAAUCAGGUCAUCACUAAGAUACUUGAAAUGAGAAUGAGAAUGCAGCUUUCAAUAUGAUCUAUAGCUCAAACUAAUUAGCUCAUUCAUUUAGGAAAAUAGCAAUUUGAUAAAUUGGUAAUUAGUAAAGAAUUUGAUAGUAUGUGUUGAGAGAGAAGAUAAGUAAGAGCAAGAAGAACACGAGAGGGGGUUAAGGAAUUACCAAUUUUUCACAUGCUCUCACACUGGAAUUUUGAUGUAUGAUUGUAUUCAUAGUUGUUUCCUUAUGGUAUCCUAACCCUUCAUUCUCUUUAAUCGGAGCCAUCCACGUGUUUUAACCUCUUUUUGAACAUUGUCCAAUUUACUGUGAAUGAGCUGACUAACCUCCUGUUUUAAAAUUUCAACUAUCUUUUUGGAUGAGUUCUUUCAACUUUUCAUCCACUUUUCUACAUUCAUCAUGGUGCAAUUUCAGGUGAGAUUCAUGCAUAAAUAUAGCUAUUUCUUGAUCAUAAAUCUGUAAGAUAUGCACAUAAAACAUGUUUCUUGAUUAAGCUUUUUUACUAUUGCGAUAAUUGAAACACAAUAAACAACAAUAAUGAAUAUCUACAGCUAAAUCGUAAACUAACAUACUAUGUUGCACGAUAAUACUCCUCCCCAACUACCUUCUACUCUAAUAAGCGUCCUCCACAUCCCCCUAUCUAAGGUUAUGUCUUCGAUAACCUGAAUGUGCGCCAUGUCCUGCCUAAUCCCCUUUCAAUUUUCUUUUUUUUUAAUUCUGAUAGCUUUUAUCAUUUAGAUUAUUUUCCCAACCAAUGAUUGGAAGGAGGGAGAAGAAGUCAUGUUGAUCACCUGCCACCUUAUUAAUCUAGACCUAGACUUGGUCAAUAGAGCCAUUAAAGAAAAACUUGAGAAUUUCUGCAAUGAGCUGUUAGGAGACUCUGACUAAGAUUGUUUAAAUUGACCUUGGUUAUAUUUGUCUCAGUUCUUGCUCAUGGUUUUGUUUUUACAGAUAUGAAAUGAGAUUUAACAUGAAGAGCGAUGCAGCUUCACAGAAGUAAUUAUCCGAGUGUUAUUGAUUUUCCAAGGAUCAAUGAGAACUACACUGGCAGGUCAGUCUCCUAUACUAAAAUUAUCAGGCAAUUUAAUCAACGUAGCAUAAGUAUCGAUCACAUAAAAUGCUUGGUGAUAAACACCUUCAUUUAUCAUCUGUCUAUUCUUUUGUAAUUAUGUUCAUGAUUUUUAAGAUGUGUUUUUCGUAUGUAUUAGCUUUAUGUUCCUCUUUGGUUUUGAUUGUUUGUUCUGGUUUCCCUAAAGUUUUAUCAGUAGGCCUUUCUCUCAUGUUGGUAUAAUAAUAGUAACUCUGUUGAAAUUUAGAAAGCAGCAUUAUGUAUAUGGAACUACUUUGAACAACAUUGCUAAGGUAACUGAAUCAUCAAAUUUGAUUUGCAGGCUGAACCAAAGACUGGAAAAUCACAGCUUGAAGUUGGAGAAAAUAUUCGAGGCAUAUUUGAUCUUGGACCUAGAAGCUUUAGUUUGGAGGCUGUAUUUGUUCCUAGUCAGCCUGGUAUAGAAUGUGAAGAAGACGAUGGCUACUUGAUAUUCUUUGUGGAUAAUGAGAACACUAGGUACCUUGUCUUUCACUCCCUUAUUUGCAUUAUCAUGAGCAUCAAUAAGACCAUUCUGCAUUGGUGGUCUUCCAAAUGUUAGGAAAUAAGGAAAAUUUCUUCUGUUCUACUAUUUAAAGUGAUGGUGGCAAAGAGUCGGCUAAGAAGUUUGUUGUGUCUAACAGUUGCACCCGCAUAAUGUAAAGAGCAUAACGUAUUCUACUUCUUAGAAUUGUGUGUGGAGAGAGAAAGUUUGCAACCAUAAUAUACUGAAUCUACAUGCUUUUAAGGUCAUAUGAUGCUCAAUUGUCUAUUUCUUGUUCACAUUGAUAUGAGCAUAGUUAGAAAAAUGCGUACAGGAGAGAGCCUUCACUAUUUAGUUAUAGUUUUCUUUUGACUUUAUUUAGACAAAAUUGAAAGUAGGAGCAUGUCCUUGUUUCCCUUGCACAUGGUGUACCUUCAUCUAUCAAUUAUGUUUCUAUCUUUGUUCUUAGGCUCAUAUGGAAAUGAAAAGUUUAUAACUGAAAUUUAAAACUGAAAUCACCUUAACCGAACCAUUCUCUUAUAAAUUUAUGCAAAAAGUCAGUUGUGAAUGUAAUUGAUGCAAAAACAAUGUCCGUGGAGCCUGUGGCAGUUGUUGAAUAGCCAAAAAGAAUUCCUUAUGGAUUCCAUGCUUUCUAAGGAGGUUUAAAUUGGUGUUCCCUUAUGACUUCUACGUUCAUAAUUUGAUUGAUUUUUAUCUAGGUAUUUUUUUAUUGUUAGAUAAUUGAUAAUGAAUUUGAGCUAAAAAAUAAUUUUUUGAAUAGUGGAUUUCUUUUAUAUCUAGCUGGGUAUUGGUUUGUUGUUAGAUAAUCGAUAGAAAAUUUGAGCAAAAAAAUGAUUUUCUGGAGGUACAAAUCGGGUCAAAAAGUGAAUUAUGAGCCCAACAUAGUUAUUAGUAGCUUCUCAGCACAUUCAUAAUAUGUAGUGUGUUGUGGCACAGAAUUGCGAUGGAUCAGGUUGGGGAUAUUUGGAUUCAUGAUUAAAAUUGGGUACUUUGAGUCGGAUAUUUGGGUUGGGGUGUGCAUUCAUUGAUUUGUUUACUAGAGAGUUUAUUGAUUUGAGGUUACCUAACAAAGUGUUUGAUAGAAUGCCCGAGAGAAAUGUUGUUACUUGGACUUUGAUAGUUACUAAAUUUUCCUUUUCAAAAGGAAAAGACGUGAAAAUAUAGAGGACUAACUUUCACAUGGAGAUCUUUUUUGCUUGCUUCGUGCUGCUCUUAUUAGUAUUUUUUUCCUGAUUUCUAUCCAUUUUGGGUUCAAUAUAUGAUUCCAAAAUAUUAGUAUUAUUUACUCCCUUCUUGGCUUCUUCCCAAUUUAGGUGUCCAAAAUUGAAUUUAAUUUCUUUGUAUUUUGAAAAAACAAUAGUAUCUGAUAUUUAAAAUAGAUUUAAAUUUAUCAAUUGAGUAAUUAGGUUUUAACAAUAAAAGUUUGCAAAGUAUACAUCUAUAACAUUUGCUUUAUGGGUAGUCUUAUGUGCGUAUAACUAAAAAACUCUAUUUACACUUCACUAUGAAGUAAUAUUUGAUUUCAUGUAAGAUCAAAGUUUUAAUUGACACCCCAUUCUUAGAUUGGAAGAGGUGGGAAAGCUUCUUUUUUCUUCUUUUUAAUUUUCAUUCACACUCGAGUUUGAUUAUUGUAUCAAUAGUUACUGUUUUCUAAUAUCCGAUGAUAUUGGUUUGAAAAUGAUUCUGAUGAUCUUUAAGUUAAUGCAGUCAACCCUCUGAUAGCUUUGGUGCUGGUAGAGGUUAUGGACGAGGUCCAGGUGGAAGAAUGAUGGGUAGACGUGGCGGGCGAGGCUUUUGGUAAUUCAUUCUCACUUGUCCUGUUAAUCUACUAUGAAUAUUCCUCUCCGUGUCGGGUUGGAGGAUAUUGUUUCAUUCUGUGUUUGCUAACUUAACAUAAUAGUCUUCCAUGCCUUCAUUUCAUUACAACCAUUGUGCCUCGAUCCGAGCAAGUUGCUGCGGAUUUUAUGAAUCCUUACUGUUCAAGUAUCCCAUGCACCUUCAUUUCAUUCUUUUGUAGAAUUUAAUAACAAAAAACUCACAAAGUUAAUUGUAAUUUGAAACUUUUUAGAUCUUGUGGUUAAGUUUCUCUGACUUGCCAUGUUGGUCGGAUAACUGUCAGGAUGCUUUUAUGUAUGUAUUACAUUUUCAGGUUGCGACUGGUUAGAUGAAUUUCUGACUGUGAUUGAGUUUGUUGGCUAUUUUAUUUUAUUAUUAUGCUCAAACUGGAUGCUACUCUUCUAGGUUGGGGUGGCGGGUUGGAACGAAAAACAUCACCACCAGGUUAUGUAUGUCAUCGUUGUAAGGUGCCUGGUAUGUUUCUUAUGUUUCAUCCAUCAAGUGGUCAUUUUCUAUAAGAAAUCUGCUAUUAGCAUACUGAGUCAUUGUAUCCAAUUAUGACAAAAAUCCUUAAAUGGCAUUUUAUUCAGCACUCCCAACAAAUGGCGACUUAAAGAUGAAAGAAUGGUUGAAGAUCAUAGACAUGGAAAACUGGGGAAACUUAAUGAAUGCCCCACUCAAACUACACGUAGGUACUAAUGAAAAUUCCAAUGAAUACACCAACCCCUUUUCUUAUAUUUUAUUUCUAUUUUUGGUUAUAGUUGAGCUUGACUCAUCAAGUAAACUAUACAGAAAUUGACCUUAUCAUAUGCAUAUGUGGAUUUUGGUUCAAAUAUGUCUAGCAAGAAUCUAACUUACUGGAGCGCCUUAUGUUGCUAUGCAUGAUAUUUUCAAUAUUUGAAUCUUCCAGAUCAUAAAGGACUUGUACUAAUUUAGUAUUCCUAUUAUGAUAUUGAACAGUUGAACUUUAAUUGUUCAGGGAAAUCUUCAGCUGAGUAUAUCCCGAGACACAUGAGGGGGAAAUUAGAAACUUUGAGAGUUCAAUAUAUUAACACGAAAGAAGUGAGGUUUUUCCUUACAAUCAAUUACAUGGUGGAUUGUUGUUUUCGAACCUAAAGUCCAGUUGGAAGAGUUUAGAGAUUUAUAUGUGGCUUGAUUUUUCUACAGAGUCACCAUUGGCACUUGGAAUAAAGCGGGAAGACUUUGAGAUGAGGAUCUAGAAAUUGAUGAGUGGCUUUUUAUGCAAGAACCAACAGAUAUCUAUAUUCUUGCAUAUGCCCAAAAUGAUUUUAGGCACUUGUCAAUUGACAACACGUUUCAGAGAAAUUGGUUGCACAAAUGGAGGUUGACGUAUCCAUCCCCAAUAACUUGUUAGUCAUCUUCUUUUAUUCUCAUCAAGAUUGCCCCAAGUUGUACAGACAUAUCCCAAGGUAUGUGAACAAUAUCCGCGAAUUAGCUAGAAACAUGAAUUUCCUUUGUUAACUAAUAUGUACAACUACAGCUAUUAUCAUUCUCAUCUUCAGGACUUCAAAUCUCUAACGGAUGGGGUUCCAAUCCUUUUCAACGAAUUCAGGUUCUGAAGUUGAGAACUCGGUUGGUGCUGAGUUCGGUACUAAUGAGUUGGGUUAUACAACGUGUGUGAAUCUACCUCCGCUCGCUCAAGAAUUAUUUGUUGUUCAUGAAUGGAGGUUCUUCAAGCAUAUCUUUCAUGGAGACAAUCAGAAUGUAAGUUCAAGCAUUUGAGCAUUUUCAGUGAAAUAUCACCAACUGUAUUACAUUGGUUAGUUUAGAAUUAAGUAAAGCUAAGUAUUUAGAUGUAGGAUCAAAUAUGAUGCUUAAAAGUACUUUGGUUUUCUUGCAGGUCACUUAAACAAUCAAUACAAUGCUUAUUUGUGGAAGUUUUUAUUUUUUGGAAUGUCAGAAAAGGAAGCCAAACAGAUUCUUAAGGUUUUGUAGUUCAUAACCCAAAUAUGAGACUAAAAAUAAUUCAAGUGUAAUUUAUUGAUUUAUUCCCAUUCGUAAGAAACAACAACUUAUGUUUCUCUUUGCUUUCAUGCAUUUAAAAGAACACUAAAUCUUCUGCUAAGAAAUGGGGAACUUAGCAAAGUGUACCGUUAUCUAGAAGAAGGUGUGGAAGUCUAAUUUAGAAUGCAGAGGUUGUCGCUGUUGACAUUGCAGGCUAUCAAACUGUUGGAAGUAACAGGUGGUUCUUAAAUGGUAGCAUCUAUAAAAGAAAAGUAAUUACAUGCAUGUAGAAGUCUUCAUAUAAAAUCACAUAUUAGAUAAGGUCUUAAAGAAAAUUAUAGUGACGGGGGAAAAAAGAUUAUGGAAGUUCAAGCAAGGUUUAUAGAGUUACAUAUUUGCCUACAGAUAUAGUCAAAUUGGUUGAAAUUCAUCAAAGCAAGCAAUCACGGCUUACUAAUACAUGUCAAAGUUCAAGGUAUGCAAUAAUUAGUUUAUAUUUUAUCUUGAUAUGCAACUUGAUUAUUAUAUUACGUUCAUAGCAAAAUUACGCGUUAGGCCCGUGCAAAGCAUAGGCAUACCUAUCUAGUUUUAUUAUAUAGAAGAGUGAGUUGGAGAGCGAUCAAGGGUAUAUUUGUCAUUUCAUAUUUAAAUGGUACAAUCAUUAGUCAAUAGUCAUAUCAAUUAAGAACUCCAUUAGCCACUUUUUUUUCUAGGUUAUUUGUUUAUAUUUUCUUAGUGGAUCCUUUAUGUGGCUAACAACAUUUUUACUUACAAGUUUCAACUUAUUUAACCACAUUAUUUACAAAGUAAUAUUUUAAAUAAAUAUAAAUAUCAGUGUAAAGAACUUUUAAUAUAAUAUAUAAAUAUAUUUAUAUGUAAGGUUUCAUAAAAUUGAGAUUUGUAAUCUUCAAAAUAAAAUAUAUUAUACUCCAGGUUCAUUCCUUUUUAUUUGCACCAUUUGAGUUGUGCUUAUAUUUCUAAACAUUUGGUUCAUUAUCUUCAAGAAUAGUUUGAACAGAAUCUUUUUUUUUUUGCCCUUGUUCAAUAAAUGUAAUCAUCAUUAAUUUGGAAAGAGAUAUAAAAUUUAAUUAGGGGUAUAUUAGUGAAAUUGCUUUUAAUUUUAUAGGAGUAAGAGACUAAAUUGUGUUUCUAACCCAAAGAGAGUAAAUAAAAAGGAAUGAAGAGAGUGCGAUAUGACAGAUAAAUUAACCCGCAUGUAAAAUAACUUUAAACUAACAUUAAGUAACGUCUAUUUUUUAAUACCCUUAAUAAAAAUUUUAACUCCACCAAUAUUAUAUUAAUUUGAUUUUUGCUUUAUUUUUUAAUAGAUAAUUUUCAACCAUCUAUAAUGUAUCUUUAGUAUUUCAUAUUAUUUUAUUAUGAAAAUGAAUAUUUGAUAUAUUUAUAUGGAUAAGAACAAUCUCUUAUCUCCUUAAUAUAAACACACUAUUUACUUUUAUUUAUUUAGUAUAUUAGGUAAAAAUUAUCAUAUUAUAAGAAAAUAUUGCACGUAAGAUUUUUUUAAAAAUGUUAAUUUACUGAAACUUAUAAUUUUAAUUUACCCUCUUGUAUAAUUUUCAAAUAAAAUUUAAAAAUAAAAAUAUUAAAAUUAGUUGCUUAAUUCAAGAAAAUGUGUUUAAGCCGAUGUUAAAAUAAGCAUUGAAGCAUAUUAUAUUUAAAUUUUAAUUAGGACAAUCUAAAUAAGUUGUAAGCUAGCUACUAUUUGAUUUUAUAAAAAUUAAAAUUGCUCUUUUAAAGUGUUAUUUCUAUUAUCAUUUUCUAUCAUAUUUAUUUAAAAAUAUUAAUUUAAUUUUUUAUAUAAAAUAACAAAAUAUUGAUAAAUACAUUUAAAACUGUAAUAUUGGACCCGUAAAAUGGGCCCUUCAUUAUCUAGUAUAUUAUAGAAGAGUGAGUUGGCGGACGAACAAGGACAAAAUUAUCAUUUCAUACAAAAUUUAGAAUAUUUAUUUAUAUGAUAUAACUUCAAAACAGAUAUUUAAAANNNNNNNNNNNNNNNNNNNNNNNNNNNNNNNNNNNNNNNNNNNNNNNNNNNNNNNNNNNNNAUAUAUAUAUAUAUAAUACUUCAUUCAUUUUUUUAUUUGCUCUAUUUAAGUUGUGCUUAUAUUUCUAAUAUUUGCUCUUUUAAUCUUUCAAGAAUAAUUUGAACAAAAUCUGCUUAUCAUGCCCUUGUUCAGUAAAUGUAAUCAUUAUUAAUAUGGAAAAAGGCAUAAAAUUUAAUUAGGGGUAUAUUAGUAAAAUUAAUUUUAAUAUUAUAGGAGCAAGAGAUUAAGGUUUGUGUCUAACCCAAAAGAACAAAUAAAAAAAAAUGAAGAGGGUACUAUAUAAUAGAUAAAUUAACCCGCAUGUAAAAUAAAUUUAAACUAACAUUAAAUAACAUAUAUUUUUUAAUCCCUUUAAUAAAAAAUUUAACUCCACCAAUAUUAGUUUGAUUUGCACUAUAUUUUUUAUAGAAAAUUUUCAACUUUCAAUAACGUAUUCUUAUUAUUAUUAUAUUAUUUCAUUAUGAAAAUGAAUGUAUGAUAUAUUUAUAUGGAUAAGAAGAAUAUCUUAUCUCCUUAAUAUAAAUAAACUAUUUACUUUUAUUUAUAUAAUAUAUUAGGUAAAAAGACCAUAUUUUAAGAAAAUAUUACUCGUAAAAUUUUGUAAAAAAUGUCAAUAUACUGACACUUAUAAUUUCAAUUUAUCCGCUUGUAUAUUUUUUAAAUAAAAUAUUAAAAUUAGUUACUUAAUUCAAGAAAAUGUGUUUGACCUAGUGUUAAAAUAAGCAUUGAAGUAUAUUAUAUUUUAAUUUUAAUGAGGGCAAUUUAAAUAAGCUAAAGUCUAUUAUUUGAUUUUAUAAAAAUAAAAAAGAUUAGCUUUUUUAAAAUUGUUAUCGUUAUUAUCAUUUUCUAUCAUAUUUAUUUAAAAUAUUAAUUUAAAUUUUUUUAUAAACUAAGUAAAUACAGAUAAAUAUAUUUAAAACUAUAAUAUUGGGCUCGUAAAAUGGGCCCUUCAUUAUCUAGUACCUAUAUAUAAGUGAGGAUACCAAGUUUUGGUAGUCCUCACAAAACUUUUUAUCCAUUCUUGUUGCUCCAUAUGGCUCUUUCUUUUGUUCAUGUUGCUCUUUCAUUUGUUUUUAUUUUAUUUUUUCCUUUACAAUCAUUUCUUUCUUUUAUCUUUUCCUUAAUUUAUCUGACACUCAAUUCUUUUUCUUUUCUUUUUUUUUUUAAAUCUUUUUAUUUUAAGUAUAUUUUUGCAUGAAUAUUUAUUAUUGAUGUAUCUUGAGUCUUUAAUAUUGUACUCCUUCCAUCUUAAUUAAAGUUUCUGAAUUUUGUGCUUUUAAAUUAAAAAUAUGUUCCUUCUAUCCCAUAUUAGUUGUCUACUUUCUUCAUCACAUGCCCUUACAUAAUCAUAAAUAAGAAGAGUAGUUUUAUAAAUUAUUUUAAAAAAAUUAUAAAUUUGCAUACACUUAAAAAAGAAUUUCAAUUGUUAAAGUAAAAUAAAAAAAUUCAGUUAAUUCUAUUUUGUUUUGAAACUUGACAAAUAAUUUGGGCUAUUAUUGUUGAUAAUGUGGACAACUAAUAUGAGAUGAAUGGAGCAUGUAGUUUUUAAAUCUUGUAGUCUUAAACUUGUCAUGUAGAAUGUUAAAAUUGAAAAACUUACAAAAUAUAGAAAAAAUCUUUUUUCGGAGACAUACCCAAAAAGAAGUAAGACAUUUAAAUUGAGAUGAAUGAAUAGUACAUUUUUAUGAAUGUAGCUCUUUACUUUCUCUGAUCUAUAUUAUAUUUUAUUUUUAACGUUUAUACUUAAAUUAUAAUGAAUAUGUUUUAUCUAAUGAUGAUGGUCUUAAUAAUUUUUUUAAAAUAAAAAUUAAGACAACUGAAUUUUUACAUAACCAAAAACUUAUAGUAAAUUGGUACUAUUUAAUUAAGGUAACGUAAUGAAGAUUACUUAUUAUUUAUGGAGGAAAAUAAUUUUGUAAGGAGUAUGUCAAAACCAAAAAUAUAUAACUAAGAAUAAAAAAAGCCAAUUAAAUUACUCUUUAUAAUUUUUUAUUGUAAAUUUUUGAAAAAUUUAGUAAUAAUGAAAAUUUUUGAACAAUUCAUUUUGAUGUGUCAUUAGGUUUUAUUAAUUAUACAGUAAAAGAAUAUGAUACAAAUAAUUUUUUUUAAUUAAAGUAUUAUUAUUUUUAUAUUUAGAGUUUAGGUCCGGGCUUAGCACGGGCUACGGAUAACUAGUAUUUAUAUAUAUAUGUGUGUGUGUGUGUGUGUGUGUGUGUGUGUGUGUGUAAUAGGGGAGAAUUCAAAGAUUUGGUAGUACUAAGUUGGAUUCCAACUAAUGUUUAUCCAAAUAUUUUGCCAUCUUUAGUUAGAUUACAACUAAUGCUUAUCAAUUACUUUAAAAGUUUUUUUCUUCUUAUAAAUUUACCCUUUGACAUGUGUUUUUAACUUAUUAUUUCGUAUUAAUUUGCUUCGUCUCCUUUUUCAUAUUAUCCUUGAUUUAGUUUAAUAUUACUUUACUUUUUGAGAUACUUUACAAUACCUUAAUUUGCUUCCCUCCUCNNNNNNNNNNNNNNNNNNNNNNNNNNNNNNNNNNNNNNNNNNNNNNCCCCCCUCUCCCCAACCCAAACACACACGUCUACCUCUUUUUCUUUUGCAUUAUCUAUAAUCUAUAUCUAUAUCUAUAAUAAUAUUAAAAGUGUGAAGUUCCUUAAAAAUGUUGUUUGCACUUUUACCCUUCAUUAAAAGUCUUCACUUUAGACAAAAUCAUCUUUUCACUAUUUUUUUUAUAAUAUUUAAGAGUUGAAAAUUAAUCAAAUAUAGUUAUGGUAAAACCUUUCUUUAUUAGAAGUCUCUAUUAAUUUAUGGAAUAAAAAUUAAAAUCUAUCAUAUUUAGAUAAUUUCUUUCUUGAAAGAAAAGGUUUUGGACUUCUAAAUCAGUUAGAAUUUUAUCUCAUAUAUAUAUUCAAAAUGUGAAGCGUCUUAAAAAUGUAGUUUGAACUUUUUACUCUUCACUAAAAGUCUUUACUUUAGAUAAAAUCAUCUUUUUACUAUUUUUUUCUAGUAUUUAAGAGUUGAAAGUUAAUCAAAUAUAUUUAUGGUAAAAACUUUCCUUAUUAGAAGUCAUCUAUCAAUUUAUGAAAUAAAAAAUAAAAUCUACCAUAUUUAGAUAAUAACUUUCUUGAAAGAAAAGGUUUUGGACUUCUAAAUCAAUUAGUAUGUAGUUAGAAGUCCAAAACCUUUUGAAUUUCUUAAUAUAUUAAAAGUGCAAAGGGUCUUAGAAAUAUUAUUUGAAUUUUUUGUCCUUCAUUAAAAGUCUCUGCUUUAGGUAGAAUUGUCUUUUCACUGUUUUUCUAAUAUUUAUAAGAGUUGAAAAUUAAUUAAAUAUUUAUAGUAAAACACAACUAAUAUCUUUUUCCUUAGUUUAAAAAUUCUAAAUCAACUAGAGUUGAUUUUAAGAAGAUCUAAAAAAUCUAGAAGUAAUAUGAAAGCAUUAGAGUAAGAAAGAUAUAAGAAAUACCAAAAUAUUAAAAGUUUUAAGUAAGUAAUCAAAUAUUUUCUAAAAGUUAACUUUAAAAAUAAAUAAAGAUUUUAAAUAUAGAAAAAAAAUAAUCGUACUACUAAUAUGAUUCAGAUCGACGCAUCUCUCUUAGACUCUAGCAGCAAGAAAAAGAGGUACUGCAUAACAAAUGCAAACAUAGCGAUCCAUUAAGCACUUGAAACUUCGAGUGGUAAUAUAUAUCUAUAUCUAUGAUAUAUUAAAAGUGUGAAGACCGUUAGAAAAGUGAUUUGAACUUUUUGCCCUUCAUUAAAAGACUAUUCUUUAGAUAAAACUGGCUUUUCACUAUUUUUUCAAAUUUAUUAUUUAAUUAUUUAUUAUUAUAUUAACUAGACUUCCUAAAAUAUAUGAGACUCCUAAAAUAUAAGGUAGGAUAAUUAAUUAAUACUUUUCUUUCUACUAGACUUUCUAAAAUAUAUGGAACUCCUACAAUAUCUAGUAGGAGAAUUAAUUAAUAUUUGUUUUUCUGCUGUUCAAUUAGAAAAAUACUCCUAAAAUAGGACUCUGUUAAGGAAAUACUUUUAUAAAUAUAUAGAUGUACGUUAAACUAGAGAACAAACCCGUUUGUCUAUUGGGAGAAUAUGAUUGAUGCUCAUCUAACUUAAUUCGAUUGCAUGUCUAGAUUGGUGAAUACUUAAUUUUCUAACCCUCAACUUCUUCACUGUUUUUGUUAGCAUAAUAGAAUUCAACAUGUAUGUAUAUGUAUUUCUUCUUUGUUUUCAUUCAAAAUCAUUCUUUAGGGUCAAAAUUUUGACUCAGACAAGAAUUAGUUGGAUCAAAAUGAAGCUUUGUGAUCACUAUUAUAUUAUUUUUUUAUAGUUUAUAGAUCGUAGAUGAAUGUCGGCUGGCUUUGAAGAAUUUCUCGUGUAAAGGUUAGGUAUAAUUAUAUUAUUUUGAUAUCUUUAUGAUCUUAUUAUUUUAUUUUAAUUAACAGAUGCUAGAUGAAUGUGAGUCAGCUUUGAAAUUUUUUUUAGGUAAAGGUUAGGUUUAAUUGUAUUAUCGUAAUAUUUCUAUUAGUUUGUUAUUUUGUGGUAGUUUACAGUUCGUAGAUGAAUCUCAAUUGGCUUUGAAAAUUUUUUGUGCGUAAAAUUUAAGUUUAAUUGUAUUGUUUUGAUAUCACUUUUAUCGUAUUAUUUUGUUGCACGUAACGAUCGAAAAAUUUGAUGAAAUGUGUGAUAUUUGUGAUUUUGUGUGAUUUGAGUAUUUUACCCCUCCCCAUAGUUGCAUUAUGAUAUUUCUGGGGUGUGGGAGUGAUUGUCAUGAUUUUUGAUGUAUUUUGGUAUCAUUUAUGCAAUAUUGUGGUUUUUUAUGGCUUCGAGAGCCUUAUUUUGGACUUAUGUGGAUAUCUUUAGAUCCGUGCAAGAGAUGGUCAAACGGAAUGCGCCAGCAGCUCCAGAAUAUCAAUUUUAGGCUAAAUAGACCUUCAGUUUGGAUCCCGAUGCACUCGAGCUUAUUUCGACCUAUUGGUCAGAAAGUUGAAAAAUUAGAAAUAUGAGUGUGGGAUCCACAUUUGAUCGAAACGACCUCAGAUGGAAAAUCCAACUUUGCCAGCAGAUCCGGAAUAUCAAUUUUAGGGUGUUAGCAUGUUUGGUUGGCCUAUAAUACCUACUGAGUACAAGUGGAUCGCACUCAUGCCUACUGCACCCUUUCGGUGCAGGUCCUAGCUCGAAUGCGCCUCAGUUUGAUUGACUCGGGCGAUUGUUGGAACUUCCAAGGUAGCGGGUGGACAUUCAUGCGCCCGAAGUUUACCUCUAUUAUUUUAUAGUAGAUAUGUCUUUAUUAGUAUUCAGAGACUGUCACGCCCUAUUUCGAACCGGUCGAAACAGCACAAGAAUUAUGGUGGUAUGUCGUGACUCUUGGGAUUUGAAAAUUAUUUUUUAGAGUCGCCACCUAAAUUUUUAGGGAAAUUAGAAAAAAACCAUUCUUUAUAUAGAAAACUCUGUUUUGGGUCUUUCAAAAAUAUUUAGAGAUUCUGAAUAAGGAUUUUGGUUACCCAAGGGGAAAGUGUUAGACAUCCCUCAGGGCCUAUCCGAAGAUAGUCCUUACGCUUAGUUUAGGAAAAUAUUAAAAAAACUUAUUUUGUUAUUUGCUCAAAAGAAUGAUAAGAAAAAUAUUUAUUAUUAUUUGUUAUUCAAAUGAAAAUUUAAGGUAUAUCAAACAUGACGUUACGACGUACAAAGAAAGUAAUGCAAUUAUCGCAAAAUAUACAUGCACUUUAUGUAUGAAAAGGAUGAUAAUAUAAUUUUAUAUAUAUUAGAAAAAUUUAAAAUCAUAUAAUUCUACAGGAAAAAUCGAAGAAAUAUGUAGGUUUAAAUGGUUAACUAUAAUUAUUUAUGAAGUAAAUAAAGUAUCUUAUGACAUAGGAAUUUAUUUGUGGAAUGUACUUUCAAGAGUAUAAAAAAAAUAGAUGCUGAAUUAUGGAUGUAUUGAAAUUAUGUAAAAAAUAAUAAGGAUAAUAAUAAUAAUUGUAAUAAUGAUAAUAAUAAAUUAAAAUAAUGACGAUAGUUUCAGUAAGAUAAUAAUAAUAAUAAUAAAAUUAAUAUUGGUAAUAACAAUGAUCAAUAAUAGUAACAAAAUAAUUAUUAUAAUAUAAAACAAUAUACCUUGUACGCGGUAACAGAUGAAUAUAUAUAUACCUUGCAUUUCUAUCUUGAAAACUCAAGUAAAAUAUGGCGCUAAACAAUUAGGAUUAUUUAUCAAAAAAAAAAAAAGAGAAGUUAAAUUUGUGGGUGAAAUCCUAAUAUUGUAAUUUUGUAAUGUUUUCCUAUUAGUUUUGAAAACUUUAUUUUAUUGUUAUAUAUUUUAAGAGAAACAUAAAGGUUACCAUGCCCAUUUUAUUUAAACGUUUGCAAUGAGUUUCGAAAGGUUAAUCGAAUAAAAAGCGUAUUUUCUAAUAGUAAUCAACGUGUUGUUUGCGGAAAUCAGGAAGUUAAAGCUACAUGAUAAAAUCUACAUGUAUAAAUAACACAAUUCAACAAUCAAAUAAAGCUAUUCUCAACAAGAUAGACAACAAAAGUUAUUCAUUAUAAAAGAACUCAAUACGGAUUAAAAUAUGAAUUAAAUCUGAAGACGAUGAAAAGUAUUAGACUCCAUUUAGGCUCCUAAUUUGCGAGACAUCUGAGGCUCUACACUCCUAUUAGCGUUUGACCCGAUGUGAGGUCAAGAUGAGUUCCGUUGGGGAACUCCAACUCCGGAAUUUACAUGAAAAAGAAAAAGAGGAUAAAGAUUAGAAGAUCGUUCAAGUAGUUAAAGAUAAUAUGACAACACCAUAUGAAUAAAUACCCCGAUAAACAUUUAGUCUUAAGUAAACAAAGCUAGGAAUCUGAGUAUGUGGGCUUAUUCACAAAUAGAUACAAAAACACCUCUUUAUUGCUUGACCAACGUUCACAAUUAAUAAAUACCAUUACUCAUAGGGAGAUAGAAACGAGCACUCACAGGGAAAACAAGCAUAUAAUGAAAUAAUAAGAAAAUCGAAGGGAAACUAUUAAGUGGAAGUAUUUACUGUCUUAAAUAUGUUGGCUUGAUCUAAUUAAAAAGAAAGAAGAAGCCUUUAGUACCAGAUGGUAUUCAACAUGCACAUCAUUCCAAAUAAUAUCUUUAGACUAGAAGUAUAAGAAUAUAUACAUGUGGAAAAACUGAAGAAACAUAAGCGUCACACAAAAGGGCACAUAACAGAUAUCGCCAAGCUAAAGUCAUUUCUCCACAAUUUCUUGUUUAAUUUUACCUCAGAACUCUAACCUCGGGACGUUGAGACAAGAAUUAAUUCGAUUUGAGGCAAACAAAUAACAACACUAAGAAAAAUUUACGGCCGAAACAAAUCACCUACCCACAAAACCACCCAGGGGUAACAUGGACAAAUGUUUUAACGAAAUAACAGUAACAUCACGGCGGAAAACUCAAACAAGAACAACCAGUAUAUCAGUGACUCUCCUAACUCUGCCAAUUUCCUAGUGCCAAUGAAUCCUACAUAUACAUAUGUUCAUUUAUGAGCCAAAACUACUGUGGAAAGCAUUUCUAAAUAAAUCGUUUUCUGGUUUUCAAAUUCCACAAACCUUCUUCGUAGUAACAUCCUAAAAAGUGAAGGAUGACACAAUUUCCUACUGUUGUAUGCGUUUGCAUUAAAACGAGAGCUUUGACGAGUUAUAUGAUUUCAAAAGACGACGCAAAUAGAAGGCGUUUCACGCAUUUUUUGCAUACUUCGACACAAAACAGUACUGAAAUUAAAAUGGCCAUGCUUGGUAUUUGACUUUACAGAGAAAACGAGUGAUAACAUCAAUACGGGCUCAGAACACAGACAAGACCCUUUUCAACCACAACCAUAUUAACUUGGCAGUAAUUCAUACACCCAACCAUCUCCGAAUCAACAAACAACCAUCAAAAUUACCAACCAUAUAUCCAAAGAAAAAAAAAAGAAAAAAAGAAAAAGAGACGAAGGCGAAAUGAAAAGACAAAAUCUUACAUUUUGGGGGCAGCAAACUCGGGCUUUUAACGUCAAGCUACUUCCUGGUAACCAUAAACUCAACUUCGGGACGUGAAGGUUGGACUCGAAAUAAUACAAAGAAGAAAGGGACAAACGAUUCAGUAACUUGAAUUUUACGAAUUUCUACCCCUUUUUUGGUUUUCUUCGUUUUUUUUUUCUCUCUAUUUCUUUUACACUAAUUUCUACUAUUCUUCUCUCGAAUUUUUGGCCCUUUUCCCUAAUCUUUAAACCCUUUUCGCCCCCUUUUUUUUUUUUGCAUUUUUCCUCACCAGUAAAAUCUUUUUCUCUCGAAUUUGCUCUGUUUUUCUUACUCCCUUUUCCUUUCUCUAUUUGUUUUUCUUGUUUUUCAAACUCUCCCCCAGCUAAGUUUUGCACUCCUCCGCACCAGUAUUUAUACACGAAAUCCGGAUGUGAAAGUUCGAAUUUAAACACAAGAGAAAAGUUCCAACGGGUGAAACUCCAUAUGGAGAAAAUCCCCAUUCGAAAACCAAAUUUCAUAGCCUUUUAGACAUCCAUUUUGAUGAUUUUCGGACUUCAAAAACUCGGAUUUGAAAUUGAUUUUGAAUUGUUGCACCGAAUCGGGAUCUGUUCUUUCUGAUUUUCACGGAUUCGAUGGGUUGGACGUUUAGAAAGAGGAGAGAUUUUUUGGCAAGUGUGGCAGCUGCGUCUGCCAUGGCCGCAGGCUAUAGCAAUUAGGGUUUUGAUAGCUUUCAUGGUUUUUGGUAAGAUGGAGAAGACGAGAGAGAAGAGAGAGGAAACGAUGUUCGGUUUUGGUAUUGAUUUGGGAAAGGAGAAUAGGGACUGCCUGUUUCUCGAAAAAUGGGGAAACCACGCGUGAACUGUUUUUGUUCAGAAGGAAAGAGACGGGUGAAAAAGCAUUUAAUGAAUCGAUUUUGAAAAUUUGACCAAUCUCGGUUUGUCCGAUCUCUUGAUCGGACGGAUAAAAAUAAAUAAUAAUAAUGGUAAAAAAAAAUAUUUAUAUAUAGAGAGAGCUAAAUAUAAAAAUGGAUUAAAAUUGAUUAUUUUUUUUAUUCGUCCGAUCAUUUAAUCGAACAGAUUAAAUUUAAUAAUAAUAAUAAACAAAUAAAUAGAUGAAUAAAUAAAUAAAAAUAAUUAAAUAUAUAGAGCAGAUAUAUACAUAUAAAUAAUCGGGUUGAAAACUUCAAAUUUUGCUAGAUUGAUUGAUGUCGGUUAGAUGAAAAGGUGAAAUGGACAUGAAAAUUGUACUGAAUUUUGGGCUAGUUUUCGGUUCUCUUGUUUGAAAAUUAUAAAAAAAAAAAAAAAAAAGUUGGGUUUGGAUGAAAUAAAUAAAUUGAAUGUUGAAUUAUUGUUAGCCCGAAUACUUUUCUACUGAAAUUAAAUUUAUCGAUGUUUCCUGAUAUUCUAAAAAUUAUUUUAGUUUAACGUAUAUAAAUUACAAACAUAAUUCUUAGAGCGUCCAUUCAAUAUCUUUUUACAAUUAAAUAUUAACAAAAUAUACGUAUAUACAUGUGUGUGUAAAAUAAGGAUAUAAGCUAUGUGUGAAAAUAAGAACAAAAUAUAUAUAUGAUCACAAUAUCGCCUAAAAUUAGAAAAGAUGCGAAUGCGAAUACCCAAAGAUAUAUAUAUUUCAUUUGUUAAAAUAUUUAAUUAUAUUUAAUUUAAAAAAUUUAUAUUAUGAUAGAAUAAUAGAUUUCUCUUUUAUUAAAAUUCGAAGAAAUAGAAAGAAAAUAUGAAUCUUAUUUUUUAUUUAAUUUUUAAAAAUUAUUUAGGGCCGAAGAGCAUCGGUAAAAUAAUUAAAGGAAAAAGUGCGAGCCAAAAUUGGUUGUCAAUAGAGAUAGUUAUUAUUCCUUUGUGGUUAUUUUUUUGAUGUAUUUACUCUUGAAUUGUAUUAGUAGUUCUUACACUAUUGACACCUAGUUUUGUGCAUGAUUGGUAUUUUGAAUAAGUUCUUUCUGCAUUGUUAUAAUUACUUAAAAGGUUCGGCUUCAUUCUAGAAGCCUUACCUUAGGAUAUUUCUUUCUUUUCCUCUUUUCGUAUUGAAUUGGGUGAUAGACUUACUUAUCAAGGUACGCCGCGACAAGUGCCAUCAUGACCCUCGUUUUUGGAUCGUGACAAAUUGGUAUCGCAACAGCCAAGUUUCAUUGGUCUCAACAGUGUAAGAAUGGGAUGUCUAAUAGAGUCUCACGAAUUGAUGCAUAGACAUUCGUAUCUAUCUUCGAGAGAUUAUAGGAUGUCUUUAGGAAACAUUUCUCAUUUUAUUCCUUAUCGUACGAAUUAUUUCACAUCUUGUGUUCUGAGUUGUGUUUCACUCUUUUUACGCGAAUGGUGUGGCUUAUACUACUAUCUAUUGAGAGAUGCAGAGAGAGAUUGGUGGAGGUCGCUUGUCAGUUAUAGACCCCGCGAUUCUUCUGAUAUGACUUGGAAUCAGUUCGUCGAGGCUUUCUAGAGAGAUUUGUGCCUUUAUGUUUGAAAAGAUCAUAUGCGAGAUGAGUUUGAUCAUUUAGAGCAGGGCUCGAUGACAGUUUCUGAGUAUAAAGCAUGCUUCCAUGCCCUGUCUAGAUAUUUCUAUGAUAGCAUUUCCAUCGAGUCUAAGAAGGUUUGAAAGUUCGUAAAGGGUUUGGAUGUUCCUCUUUAGUUGGCUACAUCUCAGAUGGUUGUGUUUGGGGUUUCUUUCUAGGGUAUAGUGGAUCAUGCUAAGAUGACAAAGGAUAUUCUUAGUGCAUCUCAGGGAGGCGCCAAGAAGGCGCGGUAUUUUGAUAAGUUCAGAAGUUAGAACUUUUGAGGUAGAGAUUUUAGAGAUUCUCGUGGAUACCAUGGUAGGCUAGUGCAGGUGAUUUUAUAGAGUUCAGCUGGUGUAUUUUCUAGUACAGCAGUUCAGGGUGACCGUUCAGGCUCAGUUGUACUUUCUCUUAUUGAGACUGGUCAUAGAGGUUGCUAUGUGUGUGAUGAGAUUAUUCAUGUAGCCAAGGACUGUUCUCGCCAUGUGUUUAGAGAUAUUCUUAUUUCAGCUGUGAGAGGUAGAGGUUCUACUAAAGGUGCAAGAGGUAGAGAUGGUAGAGCCCGUGUUGGUGGUCAUGGGGCUACUCAGCCAGUUGGUAGUUGUGGACAGUGUUAUGCUAUACCAGUCAGAUCUAAGGCGGAGGCUUCAAAUGUUAUGAUCUCAGGUACUGUUCCAUUUAUUUUAGACCUGCAUCUGUGUUAUUUAAUCCUGGAUUGAUUUUCUCCUAUGUGUCUGUGUAUUUCUCUUUGGAUUUUGAUUCUGUUAGUGAGCCUCUUUCCAUGCAUAUUCGUAUAUCUACCUCGAUAGGUGAUUUUUUAGUGGUAGAUUGGGUGCAUCGAUCUUGUGUUGUGGCUUUUGCCAAGUGUGAGACAUUGGUAGGCUUGUUUGUAUUAGAUAUGGUCGAUUUUGAUAUUAUUUUGGGUAUGGAUUGGUUGGCUCCUUAUCAUGUUGUCUUAGAUUAUUUUGCUAAGACUGUGACUUUAGCUUUGGCUGGUGUGACAAGGAUAGCUUGGAAGGGUGCACUUUAUUCGGGUCCUAAGAGGAUUAUAUCUUAUCUUCAGACUCGUAAAUUAAUUGAGAGGGGAUGUAAUCUUACUUGGCCCAUAUUCGUGACACCAGUAUUGUUUCGCCGCCUUCUCUUGGAUUUUAUCUGUAUCGUCCGUGAGUUGAUGGAUGUGUUCCUAUGGACUUAUCUAGUAUGCCUUCGAAUUGAGAUAUUGAUUUCAGUAUUGAUAUUGAGUCGGACACCAAGCCCAUUUCUAUUCCUCCUUAUAGGAUAGCCCCAGUAGAGCUGAAGGAACUGAAGAAUUAGUUGUAGGAGUUAUUGGAUAAGGGAUUUAUUUGACCUAGUGUUUUACCUUGGGGUGCGCUCGUCUUGUUUAUUAAGAGAAAUGAUGGGUCUAUGCGAAUGUGAAUUAAUUAUCAAUAGUUGAAAUAGGUGACAGUUAAGAAUAAUUAUCUUCUUCCUCGCAUCAAUGAUUUGUUUAAUCAACUUCAGGGUGUUGCGGUGUUUUUAAGAUUAAUUUGCGGUUCAGUUAUCACCAGUUGGGGAUUAGAGCUUCAGAUAUUUCAAAAAUAGUUUUUCAGACUCGAUAUAGUCAUUAUGAAUUCUUGGUCAUGUCUUUUGGGUUGACCAAUUCCUCUACCUCGUUCAUGGAGUUGAUGAAUCAGGUAUUUCGACCAUAGCUCAAGUCUUUUGUUAUUGUGUUUAUAAAUAAUAUCUUGGUGAAUUCCAAGAGUGAGGUUGAGCAUGAGGAGCAUUUACGUAUUGUGCUUCAGAGAUUGAGGGAUGAGAAAUUGUACAUGAAGUUCUCUAAGUGCAAGUUUUGGUUAGAGUCUGUUUCUUUCUUGGAUAAUAUGGUGACUAAGGAAGGUAUUAUGACUGAUCCAGCUAAGGUUGUAACGGUUCAUGAUUGGGAUAAACCUAUUUCGCCCAUCGAGAUUCAUAGUUUUAUUGACUUGGUGGGUUAUUAUCGGUGUUUUAUUGAGGGGGUUUUCAUCCAUUGCAGCUCAAUUGACUAAGUUGACUCAGAAAAAGAUUUUCAUCUAGAAGUCUGAUGUCUGUGAGGCAAGCUUUGAAAAUCUAAAGGAUUUGUUGACUUCAGCUCCUAUAUUGAAUUUGUCCAAGGAGGAUGUAAGCUUUAUCGUGUUUUGUGAUGCUUCUGGUGUUGGAUUAGAUACUGUGUUAAUGCAAGAGGACAAGGUGAUUACGUAUGCAUCUCUUCAGUUGAAGCCUCAUGAGAGGAAUUAUCCUACCCAUGAUUUAGAGCUGUACGCAGUUGUGUUUUUCUUGAAGUUGUGGAGGUACUACUUGUAUGGAGUCCGUUGUGAGAUCUUCUCAGGACAUCGUAGCCUUCAGUACUUCUUCACCCAGCGAGAUAUUCAUAUGAGGCAAUGUUGUUGGCUUGAGUUACUUAAGGAUUAUGACUGAACUAUUUUUUUCUAUCCGGGCAAGGCUAAUGUAGUUGCAGAUGCCUUGAGCCGAAAAUCGACUAGCAUGGGUAGCUUGGUGCAUUUUUUUUAUCCAGGAGAGGCUUUUGGCCUUAGAGGUUCAGUUUUUAGCUAACCAGAUGGUUAGGCUUGAUAUUUAGACACCGGGGUAUGUUUUGGCAUUUGUGAAUACUAGAUCUUCUUUGAUGGAGUAGAUUCAAGCUCAACGGUUUGACGAUGUUGGAUUGGGGUUGAUUCACGAUAAGAUGUUGAGUGGGGAGGCUAAGGAAGCCUCACUUGAUUCAGAUGGAGUUUUGACGAUUGAGGGCUGAGCUUGUGUGCCGAGAGUGGUGAUUGGAUUAGGUUGAUCUUAGAGAAGGCCCAUUAUUCUAGAUAUUCUAUCCAUUCAGGUUGACUAAGAUGUAUCGUGAUUUGAGACAGCCCUAUUGGUGGGGUGGUAUGAGGCGAGAUAUAGCAGAUUUUAUGUCUCAUUGCCUAUGUUGUCAACAGGUGAAGGCCGAGCAAAUGAGACCUGGUGGUUUGCUGUAGAGGUUACUCGUUCCCGAGUGAAAGUGGGAACGAACCACUAUGGACUUCGUGGGUUGCCUCGUACUUCUCAUUGUUCUGAUAGUGUUCGGGUCAUCGUGGAUCGAUUGACCAAGUCAACUCAUUUUAUUUUGGUUCAGGUCUUACUCAAUGCUGAGAGGUUAGCCCAUAUCUUCAUUUGUGAGAUUAUGCGUCUGCAUAGUGCGUCCGUGUCUAUUAUUUCAGAUUGAGUUUUUGUGUUCACAUCUCACUUUUGGAAGGCUUUCAGGAUGAGUUGGGUACUUGGGUUGAUUUUAGCACAACGUUUAACAUCUAGAUUGAUGGUCAGACAAAGCGGACUAUCUAGGUUUUGGAGGAUAUGCUCCGCACAUGAGUGAUGGAUUUUAGUGGCCAGUGGGAGCAGCAUUUGGCUUUAGCAGAGUUUGUACAUAGUAAUUAAUAGUAACUACCAUUCCAGUAUUGAUAUGACUUUUUUGAGGUGUUGUAUGAUAGGCAUUGUCACUCCCCGAUAAGUUGGUUUGAUGUUUCAGAGGUGAGACUUCGAGGUACGUACUUGCUUCGUAAGUCUUUGGAUAGAGUCUGGGUCUUUUAGGAUAGACUCAGAGCGACUCAGAGUAUGCAUAAAUGUUAUGUUGAUCAUAGACUUCGUGCCUUGAGAUUUGGUGUUGGUGAUCGUGUUCUUCUUCGAGUUUCACCUAUGAAGGGUGUGAUGAGGUUUGGGAAGAAAGGCAAGUUUAGCCCUAGGUAUAUUGGUCCAUUUGAAAUUCUUUGGGCUGUUGGUGAUGUGGCUUAUGAGUUGGAUUUGCCCCCUUAUCUAUCAGUUGUUCAUCUAGUUUUUCAUAUUUCUAGGUUUCGUUGCUAUAUUCCUAAUAAGUCUCAUGUUAUUCAUUGGGAGUCGGUUCAGUUAGAUGAGUAGAUGUCCUUUGUUGAGGAACCAGUUUCCCUUUUGGCUAGGGAUGUUAGGCAGUUGCGCUCUAGAGUGAUCCCUGUGGUUAAGGUCUAGUAGCGACAUCGACCUAUAGAUGAGGCUACUUGGGAGGUUAAUUCUGAUACGCAUAGCUCUUAUCCUCAAUUCUUCAUUGAUUCAGGUGUUGCUUUGCCUUAGUUUGAGAACGAAUUAGAUUUUUAUUGGUGGAUGAUGUAACGACCUAAAAAUUUGAUGAAAUAUAAUAUUUAUGUGAUUUGACUAUUUUACCCCUCCCUGUAGUUGCAUUAUGAUAUUUCUGGGGUGUAGGAGUGAUUGGCAUGAUUUUUGAUGCAUUUUCGUAUCAUUUAUGCAAUAUUGUGGUUUUUUAUGGCUUCAAGAGCCUUAUUUUGGACUUACGUGGAUAUCUUUUGAUCCAUGCGAGGGAUGGCCAAAUGGAUUGCGCCAGCAGCUCCGAAAUAUCAAUUUAAGUCUAGGUAGACCAUCAGUUCGGGUCCUGGUGCACCCGAUCUCAUUUCGACCUAUUGAUCGAAAAGUUAAAAAAUUAGAAAUAUGGGUAUGGGACCCAUAUUUGAUCGAAACGACCUCGAAUGGAAAAUCCGACUUUGCCAGCAAAUUCAGAAUAUCAAUUUUAGGGUGUUAGCAUAUUUGGUUUGAUUUUACGGCUUUUAAAUCUCAUGUCGACCCUUGGUUUGAAAAAUUAUAAUUUUAGAUUUUGAGAAUCAACUUUGUGAAAAUGAUGUUUUUUUUAAAUCUGAUAUCUCCAUCGCAUUCGAAGCUUCGAAUUUAGUAUGGUUGCAUAGUUUUUUUGCAUGUAUAGGACUCCAAACGCAUCUCGAGCACCCCGUCGAAGUCCGAUCAACCAACAAAAAAACUGCUAUUGCAGAAAAUCUGCAAUAAAUAGUAUAUUUUCAUCCUUUUUGAUCCAUUUUGCUUAUUUUCAUCUUGGCUCUUGCGAGUUAAACCCUAAAAUAGUGUGGGAGCUUAAAAGUAAAGUUUGUGAGAGCUUGAGAAGCUAGAAUUCACCUUUUUCUUGGUUUUGUUACGGAUUAAAAGUAAGAAUUCACCAUUUUCUUAGUAAUUUCUUGAUUAAUUUCUCAAAACCCCAAAAAUCUUAGGGCUUGAUUUUAAACUCCGAUUUCACUUAUUUUUACUUGGAUGAUAUUUUUAUCUUAUAAUUACUAGUUUUUCAUCAAUUUAACUCUUAAAACAACUCCGAUUCUUAUUGUAAUCCGGAUUUCAAAGAUUUUACCCGGUAAAGCUCAAAAAUAAUUUUUCUUCUAUUUGAACCCCAUUUUUUACUCGAUUUAACUUGAAUUUUCAGUUGUAGGUUCCUAAAAUAUAUGGGAAAUAUGUUUUUGAAGUAAAGUUCCGAUUUUGCCUUCUUUUUUGAAAAUCCAUUUUGGGGAUUCGUUUUGACCCCGAACCAAAAGUAGCCAAUAUAGAUGUCGUUGGUUUUGUCUUAAUGUAUAAAUUUCAUAUUUGAUGUUUUUAGGGGAGUUCAAGAUUAUUUGUGAAAAGUACGAUUGCGGAUUCAAGUGUAGCGGAUCAGUUUCGACUUUCGAGGUAGGUUAUGGCUUAACUCUUUCAGACUGGGCUGAGUAGUAAAUGGUGAUAUAAAAUGAAUGUUAAGGGUGGAAACUAAUCAUGAAAAAUAGCUAUUUAUGUGUUGUGCCCGUGUGGGGGCCUAUAUAUGAUGUACUUGUCGAAAUUGAGUUAUUAUGUGAUGAAUGUGAUCGUGUGAGGUUCUAUGUGAUAUUGAUAGCCUUGAAUAUAUGUGAAUAAUUGUAUUGUGUUGUUAAAAUGCUUAAUGUGGUACCAUUGGUGUAUUGUGAUUAUAUUCAUAUUUUAUUGGCUUUUAAGACAUGUGGAAAUUCAUUGAUGAAACGAAAAUAAUAAGUGGAUAUUGGCUUAUAUGGUUGUGGAAAUGUAUCAUUGUGGUUGGUUGUGGAAAUUUAUCAUGUGAUUAGUUGUGGAAAUACUCAUUGUGAUUGAUUGUGAGCAUUACAUCAUCAUAUGAUACUCAUUCAUGAAACAUUGGUACCACUAUGACAACGUCUGAGAAACACUUGCAACACUUUUUAAAAGAUAUUGUAACACCUUAUAAAACCUUUUUCGAGGGAUGUGCCAGAAAGGAGAUAUGAGAUAUGUGGAUUGUAUACGAGUUGGCAAACCCCCUAUGGGUCCUACAUCGGAAAGUUUUAGCUCCGUAGGUGUAUACGAGAAUUAUACGAUGAUCCUGGAGGUUAUGGGACGACCUCGUACAUCAUCAUCAUCAUUAUCAUAUACAUUGCACUUAAUUUAUUGUGUUUAUAUUGUGUUGUAUUGCUUUAUUGACUUGUCAUCUAUGUAUUUGUCUUACCUUCCUUUACUUGUAUUUGAUGAUCUUGUAUCUACAUGUUCUCUCUUGUUCUAUUUAUAUGUGAUAUAAUGUAUACUUAUGUUUUAUAUCUUGUUGUGUUAUUGUAUAUAUGUGAGAUAUAUUAGAACUGUUAGUGCAAACGGUGUGGGCUACCGUUGUGGGAUAUUUUUUGAUUGCAGGUGACGUGCCCUUAGUGUAUAUUUUGUAUGUUUUAUUUACUACUUUGCUUGGUCGACCUAUAAUAUCUAUUAAGUACAAGUAGAUCGUACUCAUGCCUACUGCGCCCUUUCGGUGUAGGUCCUAGCUCGAAUGUGCCUCAACUUGAUUGACUCGGGCGAUUGUUGGAGCUUCUAAGAUAGCGGUUGGACAUUUAUACGUCUGAAGUUCACCUCUAUCUUUCUGUUGUAGUAGAUAUGUCUUUAUUAGUAUUCAGAGACAGUUAUUAUUCCUUUGUGAUUAUUUUUUCGAUGUAUUUGACUUUUGGGAUUAUAUUAGUAGUUCUUACACUAUUGACACCUAGUUUUGGGCAUAAUUGAUAUUUUGGAUAUGUUCUUUCCGCAUUGUUAUGUUUACUUAUAUGGUUCGACUUCAUUCUAGAAGCCUUGCCUUGGGAUAUUUCUAUCUUUUUCUCUUUUCGUAUCAGUUUAGGUGAUAGGCUUACUUGUCAAGGUACGCCGCGACAAGUGUCAUCAUGACCCUCAUUUUUGGAUAAUGACAUUACAGUUUACAUGUGAUAGAUAAAUGUUGAUCGUCUUUGAGAUUUUUUUAUGUAAAGGUUAGGUUUAGUUGUAUUAUUUUGAUAUCUCUAUUAUCGUAUUAUUUUGUUAUUGUUUGCAGGUGGUAGAUGAAUGUCGGACGACUUUGAGAAAAAUUUAUGUGUAAAGAUUAGAUUUAAUUGUAUUAUUUUGAUGUUUCUAUCAUUGUAUUAUUUUGUUGCAAUUUACAGAUGAUAGAUGAAUUUCGAUCGACUUUUAAAAAUAUUUUUGAUAAAGGUUAGGUUUAAUAAAUAAAUUUUCCAUCUUUACAUACUCAAAAUAUAUUAAAUUUAAUUAUUAUAUUCAUUUUUAUUAUUUAAACAGAUAUCCUAUUUAGUGUAAUGUUUGAACUCAUUAAAGUGAGGUACACGUGCAAAGCGCGUACAUCUAAACUAGUAUAUAUGUAUGUGUGUGUGCGCGCGCUCGCGUGCUUAGAAUAAAAUAUAUGUUAUGUUUACAUUAUUAUAUUUAAAUCUUUGAGAGGUGAUUUAAAUUUUUUGCACUUCGUUAAAAAUCUUCGAAAUAGAUAAAAUUAUUUAUUUUUAAAUAAUAAAAAAUUACACGUGUGAAGCACGUACAGUUAAUAUAUAUAUAAUAACGUUAAGUCGCUAAUUUUGAUGAACAAGUAUAUGUUACUUGUAUUUAUUUUAUUUUAAAUUUUUCUCAAUAAAUAAUAAUCCUAAAACAUAUAAUGAUUCACAUUACUUUACUACCAUAUAUAAUGGAUAACACCCAAUUUUUUAGGUUUCACAUGAAUUUAUUAUGUCAAUUUUAUCAUAAAUUAUAUUUUAAAGACCUUGGAAGUUCUCACCCAUUUUUGUAAAUUUAAAUAAUUAUAUUGACAUUUAAAAUUUUAUACAAAAAUAAUGAGUCAAUAGUGACACCAUAAAAAACUACUUAUCUAAUUAGAUUAAAAAUCAAUUAAAAAAAAUUGUUGAUUUUUUUAAUAUAAAAAAUAAUAAGAGAUAACACCCAAUUUUUUUAAAAUCUAUUUUAUCCCUAAUUGAAGAUGUAAUAAUCUUGUAAGAUUUCAUCAAUUGAAAGAACAUCUACAAAAGCAUUUUGCUAAAUCAGACUUUCAAAUAUUUAAUUUAAAUGUUAUCUUUAUUUAUAAAUUAAAUUUAUUGACGUUCCAUCAAAUAUUUUUUAUAAAUUACUUAAUUAUUAUAUUCUUAAAAAGAACAUCUACAAAAGCAUUUUGCUAAAUCAGACUUUCAACUAUUUAAUUUAAAUGUUAUCUUUAUUUAUAAAUUAAAUUUAUUGACGUUGCAUCAAAUAUUUUUUAUAAAUUACUUAAUUAUUAUAUUCUUAAAAAGAAAAUGGGUUAGUCAAUAAGUUUAAUUGAGAAAAAGAUAAUGAAGGUACUUCAACAUAAACCAACAAUCAUUUUAGAUUGUUAAAACCUUUAAGUUAAAAAAAUUCAGUAAAAUAAAAAGGAAAACAGUUUUAGUGUGUGAAUUUGUUCGAAAUUUUAAAAAAAGUUUAAAAUAUGUUCUAAAAAAAUGUUGUUUUUUAACUUACAAAAAUUUUUGCUUCCUUCAUUUUAAUUUGUUUGUCUGAUUUUGACUUAGCCCAUAGUUUAAAUGCGUCAUGAAGAUUUUUGAAUUUUGUGAUCUUAAACUGAAGAUAUAUGUGAAAAGAAUCAAAAUAUCUUUUAAUUCUGUGGUAUUAAAAAUGUCAUAUGAAAAGAAAAGAGAUAUAUUAAAAGAGUCUUAAAAAAAGAAAGAAAGACAUAUUCAUUUUUAAACGAACUAAAAAAGAAAUAGGACACAAGAAAUUGAAAAGAAUAUAUGAUUUAACAAUUUAAAAAUGUUGGGAGAUUAUCGAACUACUUUCUACAAACACAAACAAAAAAUAAGAGUAGCCAAAAAUAAAAUAAAAAUAUAAAUAUAAAUGUUAAUGUAGUUUGGGCUCGGACUUAACACGAGCCAAAUGACACUAGUAUGUAUGUAUAUAUAUAUAUAUAUAUAUAUUAAAAAUAAUACUUUUAAAAUAACUAUGUUUUUUAUUUCAGUUUAUAUCAUUCAUUUUUUAGUCAGUCCUAAAAAGAAUGAGAUAUUUUUACCUUUAGUAACAUUUUAGCCUUACAUAUUCAUUUUAUCAUUAGUGAAAUGAUUUAUAACCACACAAAUGUUCAUGAUUUAUUUCUCCGUUUAGUCAUAAAAAUAAUAUUUUUUUAAAAAUUGAAGUUAGAGUUGAAGUUGGUGUUGUGUUUGACAAAAAUAUAAAUUAUAGUUGUUUUUAAAUUUUGUGAGAGAAAUAAGAGUGCUUGUUUUCAUUUUUUCAAAAAAUAAUUUUCACUAAACUGAAAUAAUUUUUAUGGUCAAAUAUUACUAUUUUUACUAGAGUGAAAUAAAUUUUGAAAAAAAAUAAAAAUUCUCAUGCCAAAUGCCUCUACAGUUUUAAAAAUCUUACUUUCUUUCUUAAAUUUGAUGUCAAGGCAAAUUACCUCUCACGCAAAUUAUGGAGAGAGUAAACCUUAUAAGCUAAGACCAAAUAUAGGCUAAUACUUCCUCCGUCUCAAAUUAUUCGUCUCAAAUUUUUUAAUUUAAUUUUUUAUUUUACUUAUCUUUUUUUAUUUAAUCAAGAAGAGAUAAUUUUUUUUCAUGUUUUACUCUUUGUAUUAAUUAUUUUUUCUUUAAAUUAAAAUAUAAAUAUUAUUUAAUAAGAAUAUUAUGAUAAAAUAGUCAUAUUAUUAAUUAUUUUUCUUAAUUAAUAUGAAAUCUCAAUUUGAGACGAGUAAUUUGAGACGAAGGGAGUACUAUAAUUUGACCAAAUAGGCUCUACGCCAAACAACCCCUAAAUAAUAGAAAAACAUCGACGACAACGCCAACCUCUCAUGGUUUGUUUUAGCCGCUACCCCUUCACUCCCUCGACGAGUCCGCCACUCUCUUUUCCCGAUCCACCUAAAUAUCCCACCAUACUCCCCUUUCCCCAUUUUCCCUUAUAUAUUCAUUUUCUUCACUCCAACUUUAAGAGCUCCUAUUACUUGCUCUUACCCAUAACUAUAUUUUUUCUCCAUUCACCAUGGAAAGCGCAACAACAGCACAAGCUCUAUCCCGUAUCGGCUUAGCUGGUCUAGCCGUCAUGGGACAGAACCUAGCGUUAAACAUCGCUGAGAAAGGUUUCCCUAUUUCCGUAUAUAACAGAACCACUUCUAAAGUUGACGAGACUUUAGAUCGCGCUGACAGUGAGGGAAAAUUGCCGUUGAUUGGGAAGUACGACCCUCGUGAUUUUGUACUGUCAAUUCAACGGCCUAGAUCUGUUAUUAUUUUAGUGAAAGCUGGUGCACCCGUUGAUCAAACGAUUGCGACACUCGGAGAGUAUCUAGAGCCUGGUGAUACGAUUAUUGAUGGGGGCAAUGAGUGGUACGAGAAUACGGAGAGGAGGAUUAAGGAGGCGGAGGGAAAAGGCUUGUUGUAUUUGGGAAUGGGUGUUUCGGGUGGAGAAGAGGGAGCGAGAAAUGGGCCUUCAUUAAUGCCUGGUGGGUCACACGAAGCGUAUAUGAAUAUUAGGGAUAUUUUAGAGAAGGUUGCUGCUCAAGUUGAGGAUGGGCCGUGUGUUACGUAUAUUGGUGAAGGUGGUUCGGGUAAUUUCGUGAAAAUGGUGCAUAAUGGAAUUGAAUAUGGUGAUAUGCAGUUGAUUUCUGAGGCGUAUGAUGUGUUGAAGAAUGCGGGUGGAUUGAGUAAUUCGGAGUUAGCUGAUAUUUUUGCGGAGUGGAAUCGUGGAGAGUUAGAGAGUUUUUUAGUUGAAAUUACUGCAGAUAUAUUCAAUGUGAAGGAUGAGUUAACGGGGAAUGGAGAGUUGGUAGAUAAGAUUUUGGAUAAGACGGGGAUGAAAGGAACAGGGAAAUGGACUGUGCAGCAGGCUGCGGAGCUGUCUAUUGCAGCUCCGACGAUUGCUGCUUCGUUAGACAGUAGGUAUAUGAGUGGAUUGAAGGAUGAGAGGGAAGAAGCAUCGGAGAUUUUUAAGAAGGAAGGAAUGAAGGUGGAGAUAAGUUCGGAUAUUAAUGGUAGCAGUGUUGAUAAGAAGAGAUUGAUUGAUGAUGUGAGGCAGGCAUUGUAUGCCUCGAAAAUCUGUAGUUAUGCUCAAGGGAUGAAUUUGCUAAGGGCGAAGAGCGGUGAGAAGGGGUGGAAUUUGAAUUUAGGAGAGAUGGCAAGGAUUUGGAAAGGAGGGUGUAUUAUCAGGGCAGUGUUUUUGGAUCGUAUUAAGAAGGCGUAUCAGAGGAAUCCUAAUCUGGCUAACUUGAUGGUUGACCCGGAGUUUGCAAGGGAGAUGGUGCAGAGGCAAGCAGCGUGGAGGAGAGUGGUGGGAUUGGCUGUGCAGAAGGGUAUUAGUGUUCCUGGAAUGUCUGCAAGUCUUCAGUAUUUCGACACCUACAGGCGUUCUAGGCUUCCAGCAAACCUUGUGCAGGCUCAGAGGGACUAUUUCGGGGCACAUACUUAUGAGAGGGUUGACAUGCCAGGAGCAUACCAUACAGAGUGGGCGAAACAUGCUAGGAAAGCCAGAGUGUAAUUCUGUUGCAGCUAUUGCGGAUUGUGAUCAAAAUCUGGUAUUAGUUGUGCUUUGUUCAACUGUUUAUUUUAAAUUGUGCUAUUUAGGCAUUUAAAAGUCCAAUGUAUCUUGUUGAGAGUUUCUAUUUGCUAGGCAUAAGAAAGAUUGGUAAUCUUUUUUCCUUUAAGGUCUGCCGUUAAUAAUAUUCUAUGCCUUUGAACAUUACAGGGCCUUGGCUAUCAAAUGACUUCUUUCAUUGAAGUAAAAGAUGUGGCUUUUCCUACAUUGCAUUUUGCUGCAUAACUGCCUGCAUUUGUAUUGAUACAUAGGAUUAUUGCAUCUCCUCCACUCCCCCAACUACUAUUUCUUAUAUUUGAAGAUACUCCAUAUCAUGUUAUAGCAAGUAGUCUGUGUUUGCUUCAGUGCUCUGCUCCGAGAGCGUUAUAUGGUUGUGUAUGUUGAUUUAAACUAUUGACUUAGUAGAGAAGAAUAAUUUACCAUGAAAAAAGAGUGACGGUUGUGAUGUCAGAUGAACCUUGAGGCCAAGGGAAAUGUGGCUGGAGAGCCAGACACAAUGCUUAAAUUUAAAGGGCAAAAAGUAAUGAGUAUGUGGCUAGGGGAAAUACACAUGUUAUUGAUCUUAUCCCGGUUGAUGCUAUAUGGAUUAAUGGGAUGGAUAUGGGAAGUGGUAGCGAAAGGCAACAGCCUGGUCAUUGGACCAAUGAAGUGGA
Molecule: long non-coding RNA, 96924 nt
Filed under: Capsicum annuum
Lineage: Eukaryota; Viridiplantae; Streptophyta; Magnoliopsida; Solanales; Solanaceae
Description: long non-coding RNA (CANN_LNC018842)
Source: RNAcentral